Molecule: long non-coding RNA, 89464 nt
Filed under: Coffea arabica (coffee)
Lineage: Eukaryota; Viridiplantae; Streptophyta; Magnoliopsida; Gentianales; Rubiaceae
Description: long non-coding RNA (CARA_LNC006063)
Source: RNAcentral
CAUGCUUGAGCCGCGAUUGAGGUCCAUUUUCAAGAAAAAGACUUUCACUUUUGGGUCAAUAUGGAGCUCAUCUUCAGUAGGAUUUCCACAAUAAUGUUUGAAACUACAGCUGUCAUCAUAUGUUUUCAACCUGAAAUUGCCCCUUUCCGGCCACUUCCCUGUAUUUAUUGGAUGAGCAACAAAUUAGUACAACAUAUAAAUCCGGCCAGCUUUUAUUUCUGGUAAUGGACUACAAUGUCCCUGCGCAAAUUCUUCCAGCAAUAUCCCCCUUUUUAAGAUCCUUGUCAUAUGCUUGCUCAUGAUUAAUGGAAGAGUAAAAUUAUUAAAAGAAAAGCAUGUUAGAUCUUUUUCUUUUCUUUUUUUUUUUUAACACGGUACAAGAAAACCCCUGUAAUUAUUGAAGUACUUUUUCUUUUUGUUUUGUUUUAAGUGAAACUAGAAGUUUUCUAUUACAAUUUCUCCUUUUUUUUUUAAGGUUUUGAACUUGAUGAGUGUCUUUCAAUUCCCCCAGAAUCCAAGGGAAACAAACAAAGACGCAACUCGAGCAAUAGAAGCACAGUAAACGGUAGAUAUAGGAAAGGACCAUUUCUGAGACAAACCAUCUUUUAGCAGGUCUCUAACAGCUUUGGGCAUAGGAGUGUUUGGAAGCUCGGAUUUCCAGUAGGCUUCAAGAUCUGCAUGGUUUGCCCCAACUCCUAGCUGAAAUAUAUUUCACGAUACGGAAAAAGAGUUAUGCAGUCAGUUUGCACACUAUCCAAAGUGCGAGCAAAUUAUCUAUCUAAAAAUUAACGUAGCUUAACUUUUUCAGUAAUGUACACUCACAAAAAGAAAAGAGAGAAAGUAGAGAAGCUUCAGAAAUUCCAUAAUAGUUUAUGCGCACGAGCCACGGUAGGCUGCUAGUAUGCAAGACGGAGUGAAGAUAGUAAUAAAAGCCAAUAUAUUUGAGCGAGAUGGCACAAGAAACUGGGCAGCUUUAUUUAUAAGCGGAAGAGCCAAGCGGGACUCGGGGCAGGGACGGUUGCAGGUGCAACCGUUCCUGCCAAUUUUAGCUCAUUUUAACUGCGCGUAACAUUGGUUCAACUGCGCGUAACUUUUUUUUUCACAACAUGUAUUUUCACAACAGAUAGUGGUGGGCCCCACACUUGGCGCGAAUUUCGAGUUACAUGGUGUUAUUUCAACCGCACAAAAUUUUGAGGGCCAAUUUUCAGCCGCACAAAAUUUUAACCGUGCAGGGACGGUCAUACUGAUGACCGUCCCUGCCCCAAAUCCAGCCAAGUGCGAUUGCCAAUUGUUUGAGAGGGGGACAGUUUUGAUAUGGUGGCUGUACGGCACCAAUCAAGUUUUGACAUUGUUACUCUAAACAUGCACCUUAUCUACGAGUAGGCUUCUUGAGGGACAGUGAAGAUAAUACUGAAGGCAAAAAUACAUAAGUGAGAUUUCACAGGAAAUUGGCCGCAUUUUAGAUAAAUGAACUUAAUCAUCACCUACAAUUAAAUGUGUGACUAAGAAAACCGUCAUCUGUACCUUGAUUGUCACCAAGAAAACUGUAAUAUGUACUUUUAUUGUUACCAAAAAUCCGAUUGGUGAAAAUACUACCAACUUAUAACAUUGAGAAUUGAGUAUCUAGUAGUAUACCUAAAAAAGAAAAAAAAUUCCAUUUGAGAACCCUAAGAACAUAAUACUAAUAUCUCCAAAGCUCAUCAAAAUUCAGCAUAAUCAUGCCACAUGUAAAAGUGGGGUACAUGAUAUACAUGGAUGAGGAAAUUGUGGGCUAAUGUGGAGUGACAGGUGCCGAACCUGUGCAAUAAUAAAUCACUACUCGAAAGAAAAACAAAUUUUGCAUAUAGUGACGAGUAGGGUCGAAUCCACAAGGACUGAAGAUAAUUCGUUUCUUUUAGAAUUCAAAGUAUGGAGGUUUUCAGGAUUAAAUGCUAACUAAUUAAAUGCAAAAAUAAUUAAUUAAAAGAAAUAAUUAGAGAAACUCUAGCCAAGGAUACACUUCAGAAAUGGUUCAUGUACUGAUCAUCGAUUCACAGAUAAUUCCAAUAUUUAUUAAUAGAUUAGUUAUAGUUGUCAUGCACGCGAUAAACAACCAACCUUUCCUUAAUUUCUCGAUAGUUAAGGUACGACCGUUAACUAUUUCUCUAACUCGGAAACAACCUUAGGUACGACCGUAGGAUUUAAUUUCUAGAUUGCAUUAAUAAUUAGAAAAGUCCAAUCCUAACUAACAAACACGCUACGAGGGUUUGUUUAAACUAGAUCGUAUGUUCCCCUGACAUAAACCCAAUUACGCCAGUUGCUACUGGGAUGGAGAUAAUCGAACAAUUACGGAUUUAACUACCUCUAAUUAGCAAAUAGCCUACGUGAAUAAUUAAAUAUUGCGCACCUAUUCAAUCAUACACGAUAGCUAUACCAACAAUUAAAAGCAGAAAACAUAUAAAUACCAAUAAAUGAAGGAAAUAAUUAAAAAAAUUUAGAUCUCACAGUAAUUGCCGAACCAAAUCUUCAGUUGUCCUUUGACUAGAAUUAAGAAGCUAGUUUUCCAUUAAUAGAGAACCAGCCGUGCGAAAAUAAAACAAUCGGAGCUUUCUAAUGUUUUCAGAUGGGAAAAGGAAACUAAAGCUGAGCCCCCCAAUUACACGUGAAUCUGGCCCUUUUAUAUCUUCAGUAGCCGCCGCCCCCGAGAAAACUAACGUCUGACCUUAAAAAGCAAAAGCUAAGCUAAUGACUAAAUGCCCCUCCCGUAAAUUUGGCUUUUUUCCUCCUUUAUAGCGCCACCAGGAGCCAAGAAAACGUUUGACCCAAUUAACGAAACCAAAGCUAAUCUUUUGGAGUUUUAAUCCCAUGCUUCUCGCGGUUCACGUGGACCCAACCUUCUAAUUGCCCACUUUUGUUGCUACCAAGCCCGCGGGUCCGGCCUUUAGGUGAGUCUCCUCAGUUUCUGGCGUGGGCACGCUCUGAAAUGAAGGGUCUUCUGGAAAUUUGCCUCAAGAGAUUACUUUUAACACCAAUCACCUACAAUUCACACAAAUAUCAAAUAUGAGCAAAAUCUCAAUACGUAGCACAGUAAGUAGCCAAAAUUGGGACAAAAUAACAGUGCAAAAUGUGCCCAAUAAUUGCUCUAUCAAAUCCCUCCACACCUAGACAAUGCUUGCCCUCAAGCAUUUCAAAGUUCAGAAAUACAAUCAAGAAAAGAUAGGUCCUGCAGUAAUCUACACUAACACAAGCAUCCCACAUUCUUGACAAUGCCGCCAAAAUUAGAAUACACUAGAUAGGUGGUGAUCCGAAGAAUAUAAGCAGUAAUACUCGUCACCUUCAAGAAAAUGUAUGAAUACUAGGAACGCUCAAAUCAACAUUAGGAAAUGACAUUACCAUAGGCUUGCACAUUUAUCACAUCUCCACCACUGAAAAGUGAACUAAAUAUACAAAUCAAAGGGACUUUAAUAGGGUUGUAAUAGGGCUUAGGUAAAAGGCGGGAUAAGAAGGUAAAAAUAGGGUAUAAUAUGUCAAGAGAAUGUCUGAUAUCCACCACAUCACCACAACGCUUCAUCAGAGAAAUUUCACGAGCAAGGCAUUUUCAUUUGCCAUUUCCACUGUGCAAGUGUCAAAACUCUUCUCCUGUUCUCUUUUUUUUUUUUUUUGAACAAGCGGCUCACAAGGCGUGGGCACGUCUUGUAGGCCGGAGUCUUCUGCUCACGAGCUUUUUUUUUUUUUUAACGGAGCAGAUGUCUUGCAAGGCGUGGGCACGCCUUGUAGGCUGGAGUCUUCUGCCCACCAGCUCAUUGCCGACUUCUCCCCCUUCCCUUUUUUUCUUUUUAUCUCAGAUACACAGAGCACCGUACAACUUCUAUUCCGACAACACUCGCUACCUUAGAUUCAUUUGCCUUGCACAAACAACGGAAUUCAGACAUUUCUUGACGACACAAGGUUAAACAAGAAAGUCUAAAAAGGUCAUGGGUUAUCAAACACGGCUAAUCAAAUAAUAGUGAAGGAUAAAAGCUCAAAUAGGUUCACUACGGGGAGACAAGAUGAAGGGCAUGGUUUGUAGAAAGUUAAAGAAGGUUAAAUCCUAAAUGCCCUUAUCAUUUGAAAUGCAUCCAGUUCAACAAAAUGUGGUCUUGACAUGUACAAAAUAGCAAGUUCUAGAAUGCCAAUACCAUGUGUGAUACCCACUCAAUCAAACAAGAAUAGAGCGAACAAGGAUAAUGUGCUCAUACAAGGCCCAAAAGCUCCCAAAAGUUUCAAGAAUGAGUCAAGUCCAGCAUAUUCAAUAUUCAACACUAUUGUCAAGGAAAAACAAAAUGUAUAACUAGUAUGUAUAACCACAUAUCCGUGCACCUUGAUUGUGCAAUCCAUCAUAGCAACAUGCUCUAGCAGUUAACAAAUGUAGGACUAGAGAAGUCAACUAACUACACUUUUUUUCUUUUUUUUCUUCAUUUUCCUCUUCAUUUUUUUCUUUUUUUUUUGUGUUUCUUUUUUUUUUUUCUUAAAAGCAAAGCAAAAGGAGAUAAUAAUGGAAGUCAUCCCUCCACACCUAAUACCUACAUUGUUCUCAAUGUAGAAAAGAUGAAUGAAGUAUAAGGAGAAAAUGAGAGAAACUUCCCUGACCACCGAGAGGGUGCAGCGAGACACUAAGGCGGAGAAGGGUGGGGUGGCUAGAAUCCAAUGUGAGCAAAGAAAGUCGUCUGAUGAGAGAGAUAGUGAUGGUGGGGCGGGCAGCGGCGUGCGAUGGAUGGCGCGAGGGGGAGAGAGAGAGUUUCUAGCGGCGGUGGACAAGGGGGAAACCUUGGACUAAAACAAAACAAAGAAAAUUGAAAAGUAGAAGCUGAGACAAUGGAAAUUGAUAAAACCAUACAAGACAAGAAAAGAGAAAAGUAGAAAGUGGGAUUAGAGAGGGUCCUGGUCAAUCUUUGACUUUUGUUGGCGCAAAGGCUGGAAGGCGUGGGCGCGCCUUGGAAGCUAUAGUCUUCUGACCGUCAAUUCCAAAGCUUCAUUCCUUAGGCGUGACCAACGAAAGUGGGCAUGUCUAACUGCUAGCUUCCUGCCACAAAACAACAACCCACUAAAUGACACUAAUACUUAACAAAAAUUUCGAAAAUAUAAGAAAACUAAAACAAAAGAAGCCUUGGGUUGCCUCCCAAGCAGCGCCUUUCUUUAAUGUCUUUAGUUAGACAUCGUCAUGUUUAUUCACGGAGGAUAAAAUCGUGUAGCUCGUCUCAGUAUUUCAUCUUCUAUGUAUCCUUGAUAUCCCUCGUAAAUAGAGUAAUUCUUGAGCACACGAGGUAUGGUCUUCCAUGGAUUAGUAGAUGCCUCUAAACAAGUCGAUAAGAAUCUUAGUUCUUCACUUACUCCUCCAUUACGAACACUUAAUGGUUCGAGAUAUUUUUCCAUUGCAACUCUUAACUUAUUCCUGUCAUGAAACUCAAAAUUAUCUGGCAUAAUAAAAUCUAUUUCACUAACAGGAUUUAAAGAAUAAGAGUUCGAAAAAUAUUGACUAAGGAAUGGAGGAAAUGUCACCGCAUUUAGGGAUUGUUCACUGAAUUCAUUCACUUGAACAAUUUGAUAUUGGGAUCCUAUUUCUUCCACUUCAAUUCUCUUCUCAACUGCAUCUUUAGCUUCUUCUUCUUGAGACUCUUGCAGCUCCAUGUCAUUUGUCAGGAUAAUUGCACUCUCAUCAUCAUCAUGAUCGAUAAUCAUCUGUGAAGGCAAUUCUUCACUCAUUCGAGAAGUCAAUUGCGUUAUUCUAGAUGUCAUUUGAUCCAUUUGAUCUGCCAAGUUACGCAUGCUCGCUUGUGUCUCCUGAUGAAAUUGAUAUGUGUUAGUAGCUAAUAAUUCAAUCAUUUCUUCAAGAGACAUACCUGACAUAGAUGAUGGUUGUUGAGACUCUUGCUGUUGAAAACCUAUUGACCUUUGUUCAUAAUUAAAAUUGGAAUCAUCCCACCAUCCUUGAUCAUACCCAUUUGAAUAAGGGUCAUACCAUGUUUGAUAUUGAGGUGAAAAAUCUCCAAAAGUAUCGAUUGGAGCACCUGGGCCAUCUUGAAAUGCGGGAUAUAUGUCAGUUGAUUGACCUGAGGCAAAAUAAGUUCCACAAUUCGCAACAGCCUAUUGAUCAUUAGAAAAAACAUGAGUCUCAUAACCCCAUCUAGAAAUAAAAUCCACUCUAUCACCAAAAUACAGAAUAUUAGUAGCCAUAAAAAAAAGAUGAACUAAAAAAGAAACAAAUUAAUCAAGCGCCAGUCCUCGGCAACGGUGCCAAAAAUUAACAGGUGCCGAACCUGUGCAAUAAUAAAUCACUACUCGAGAGAAAUACAAAUUUUGCAUAUAGUGGUGAGUAGGGUCGAAUCCACAAGGAUUGGGGAUAAUUCGUUUCUUCUAGAAUUCAAAGUAUGGGGGUUUUCAGGAUUAAAUGCUAACUAAUUAAAUGUAAAAAAUAAUUAAUUAAAAGAAAUAAUUAGAGAAACUCUAGCCAAGGGUACACUUCAGAAAUGGUUCAUGCACUGAUAAUCGAUUCACAGAUAAUUCCAACAUUUAUUAAUAGAUUAGUUAUAAUUGUCAUGCACGCGAUAAACAACCAACCUUUCCUUAAUUUCUCGAUAGUUAAGGUAUGACCGUUAACUAUUUUUAUAACCCGGAAAUAACCCUAGGUAUGACCGUAGGAUUUAAUUUCUAGAUUGCAUUAAUAAUUAGAAAGGCCCAAUCUUAACUAACAAAUACGCUACGAGGGUUUGUUUAAACUAGAUCGUAUGUUCCCCUGACAUAAACCCAAUUACGCUAGUUGCUACUGGGAUGGAGAUAAUCGAAUAAUUACGGAUUCAACUACCCCCAAUUAGCAAAUAGCCUACGUGAAUAAUUAAAUAUUGCGCACCUAUUCAAUCAUACACGAUAGCUAUACCAAUAAUUAAAAGUAGAAAACAUAUAAAUACCAAUAAAUAAAGGAAAUAAUUAAAAUAAUUUAGAUCUUACAGUAAUUGCCGAACCAAAUCUUCAGUUGUCCUUUGACUAGAAUUAAGAAGCUAGUUCUCCAUUAAUGGAGAACCAGCCGUGCGGAAAUAAAACAAUCGGAGCUUUCUAAUGUUUUCAGAUGGGAAAAGGAAACUAAAGCUGAGCCCCCGAAUUACACGUGAAUCUGGCCCUUUUAUAUCUUCAGUAGCCGCCGCCCCCGAGAAAGCUAAUGUCUGACCUUAAAAAGCAAAAGCUAAGCUAAUGACUAAAUGCCCCUCCCGUAAAUCUGGCUUUUUUCCUCCUUUAUAGCGCUGCCAGGAGCCAAGAAAACGUUUGACCCAAUUAACGAAACCAAAGUUAAUCUUUUGGAGUUUUAAUCCCAUGCUUCUCACGGUUCACGUGGACCCAACCUUCUAAUUGCCCACUUUUGUUGCUGCCAAGCCCGCUGGUCCGGCCUUUAGGUGAGUCUCCUCAGUUUCUGGCGUGAGCAUGCUCUGAAAUGAAGGGUCUUCUGGAAAUUUGCCUCAAGAGAUUACUUUUAAUACCAACCACCUACAAUUCAUACAAAUAUCAAAUAUGAGUAAAAUCUUAAUACUUAGCACAGUAAGUAACCAAAAUUAGGACAAAAUAACAGUGCAAAAUGUGCCCAAUAACUGCUCUAUCAAGGAGGCAACAAAAUAAAUCAAAAUGUGGAAUCUCUUAUCUAUUUAAGUAGUUUUGUUAUGUCUUACUUGUACCUAAAACUAUUACGUUCUACAAUUAAAGCAUAUGGUUAUUGUUAUGAGCUUGUAACUUCGAUUCCUUAGCAUCAACUUGCGUUUAGUUUUAGCCGAGUAUCAAGCUAUGCAAAACAUACUUAGAUAAGUUUGGUAUACACACCGAAUUGCAUUCACAUAUUAUAAUUCCACCUAUAAACAGCAACUCUAAAUUAUAAUAUUUUUAAACAAUAGAUACAAACAUGAAAAUCGUUAAAAUUAAAGAGGUAAAUUAGUCAUUAGUUUUGCUUUUGUCGCUUAAGUUGUACAUCACUUAGUAUAGAAUUUUCCAUGUAGUAUAUUUCAAAGCACAUAAACAUAAUAAUGUUUGAUGAUAUAAGAAGAGCUUAGAUGAAAAUAUAUAAUAAUAUAAGAAAAGUCAUGUAAAUUGAAUAUAAUAAUAUUAGUUAAAGGUAUUUGCAUUUUACAUGGUAUGGGCUUCCUAAGGAAAUGUCAAGAAUAUUCUUAUUUGACAACUAAAAUGAUUGAAGUGACCAAAAUAAAUAAAUAUAAUAUGCAUCACAUUUUAACCCGUCAUGGUUUUGUGUUUUAUUACAUAAUCCCAAUUAUUUUAGUGCUAUACCACAUAACCCUCAUAUGAUUUUUAAAAUACAUAACCCCCUAUGGUUAAUUAAUAAUUUUAGAUUUUAUAGAUAUUUUAAUUGAUUUCAUUAUGAAAUACAAAUAUAGUCAUUUUGACACUUUAGUUCAAAUUAUGAGAGGAUUAUAUAAUUUUUUCAAACCACAAGAGAGUUAUAAAUUUACUAAUAUUUGGUUCCCAUGUGAGGGCCAUAUUUAUUGUCAGAUAGUCCAUUAGCGUAGGUCCAUAUGACAAUUUGGAAGUAUUGAUGACUUGAUGUCAAGAGGCUUGAACUAAAAGACUAUUUAAAAAAAAAAAUCAAUAAAACUACUUUCAUUUAGUCCAAACAAAAUACAAUAAAAAACGUACUAAAAAGUUUUCAAAUAAUUUAAACUUAAAGUUUGGUGCUACCUGGACUUUUCUAAAGUGCUAUAAAAACGCAGCAGGUUCACGACAGAAAACAGUUGACUAUUGAGAGGUUGUAUCCAGGAAUAUUUAUUAAGGAUUAAAAUUGAAUCCUACAAUUCUCAGACAGUUUAGUAAUUGCCCUUCACUUUCUUCGUCCUAUGAGUCUGGAGUGGAGUGGUGGUAGUGGUCGACAGUGGAGGGAGUAGAGUGGUGGUUGUGGAGAGGGAGGGAGGAGGGAAGAGGAAGAAGGGACAAUGUGUUUGGGGCCGGGGGAGGAAGAAAAGAAAAUUUUUUUUUUUAUAUUUCUUAAAUACCUAACUAUACAGAAGUUUUUUCACAAAUUUUAUAGUAAAUUACAACAAAAUUUUAUACAAAAAACCAAAAAACUCACCAUUUAAAUGGGGUACUGGUUUGACAAAAAAAAAAAAAAAAGGGGUAUUGGAUAAUCAGAUAACCCCCCUUCUUAUAUUAGCUAGGGUCACAAAGCUCAAGUUAUUUCCAUGAUUUCAAUGUGUUUCUCUUGGAUUCUAUCUCUCACAUAUAUUAAUUGCUGCGUUGGUUUUGUACUUGAUGUCCAUUUGGGGUAUAAGUUGGGCGAAUAAAAGUAUAAUUAGAAGGUGAAUAUAGGAACAGAUAUCUGUUACAAGGUUGCAGAAACCUUCAGAAGGACCCUGCAGAUGAUAAUCUUGCAAAAAAGGGUAGCCCCUAGAGGAUAUCUCUUAUAAUUUCAAGAUGUGAUGAUAAGGUUAGAGCAAUGGGCAUUAGCACACUGAUCGUUCGGACAUACGUUGGGAGCAUUGUUUAAGGUUUCCAUCAAUUGAGUAUGAUACGUGAAGACAAGACACUUCAAAUCACAAGAGCAACGGUUAAUUCCAAUUUUCACUCUUCAACUAUAUUUUUAUUUUCACUUUAAUUUCUAAAUUUUAAAGUGGAAUACUUUAUUUCUUAAAAAAAUAAAAUUUGUCUGCUUAAAUAAAAUGGUUGACGGAAAUAGGACAUAUUUUAUAUUUAAGUGAGAUACAUCUUAUGCUUUAAGAAUUAAAGUAGAACAAAUUUUAUUCAUAAAUAGAAUACUUUUUAUAUAUAUAUUUUUAGAACUAAACAGUGAAAAAUUUCACUUAAAUUCAAUAGAUUUUAUGUUUUAGAUAUAAAAGUGUCUCGUUUUCAAGUUUAGAUACCAAACUAGGGAUUCAACUAUAGUUAAACGGUGCAACAUAGAAUUAACUCCAAGAGGAAUUUUUUAGUUAUCUGGAAAGAGAAAUAUUUUAUAAAUCUGUCCCCUCCUCAUUAGUGGCUCAAAUUGAACACGGCAGGCUACUAGUGCCCAUAAUGCAUUUAACGUCAUCAUCGCUAAUACGGACGGAUUGUGGUGGCCGGGGUUGGCAUUUUGGGGGACAGUUGAUAGUGCCACUGGCGUGCUUCAAUUUGCCACCAUGACAGUGCCAUCUCAGCCGCCCCACUCUAAAAGAAAAGGAAAUGAAAAAAACUAAAAAUAAUAAUAGAUGUCUAAUGAAUAAUAACAAAUUGUAUUGCUGACGAGACCUUGGUCUAAUAAUUAAGUUGAGAUCCUCCUUCUUUUUUCCUAUUUGUUAAAUCUCAUUCAUUUUCUACUAAAAUAUUUUGAGGAAAGAGAAAAACAAAUUAUAUCUUUUGUGUAGUCGACUUGAACAAAAUACUAAAUAGCUUAGCUCGAUAUACUCGCAAAAAGAAGUGAAGAGACUUUUUGAAAUUAUAGAGAAAUUAUGUUGCAAAAAUAGACUUUUUUUUAAUAUUUUACUGUUGGAAAGAAAUUUACUUUCUUCUUUUUCUUUUCUUCUUUUUCCUCUGUUCUCGAGAAGGUAGUGUUAAAUUAAACUAGCAUGGCAUCAAAUAGGGCUGCAAAUGAAUCGAGCCGUUAAUCGAAAUCGAGCUCGAACUCGAGAUCAAAAUAUUAAACUCGUUAGCUCGCGAGCCGACUUACAAGUUCGAGUAUAUAUCUUUUUUUUUUAAUUUUUUAAUUUAAGUAUAUAUAUUUUUUAUUUUAAGUAUAUAUAUUUUUUAUUUUAAUAGUAAAAUUACAUAUAUAUCCUUAAUAUUUUAUUAUUUAUUAAAAAAUAUUAUUUUAUUUAUUUUUUAAAAAAUACAAUAUUUAUUUUUUAUUUUUUUCGAGCUCGAGCUCGAGCUUGAAAUUGUCAGCUCGUCGAGCUCGAGCUCGAGUUCAAUAAAAUUAAGUCAAGACUCGGCUCGAUUAGGUCAAAACUCAACUCGAUUCGACUCGUUUAAUUUGCAGCCCUAACAUCAAGUCAGUCUCAGCAAUCAAUAGCACUUAAAUGGUCCCAUGAUUAGGCGUGUCAAUUGAGAUUUUUGAGCUAGACUUUGGUAAGCCCAAGCUCAACUCACAAUAAAAAUAAUGUGUGUUUGGAUAUCAAUUUUUUUUAUCAAAAUAUUAUUUACUUGCAUCAUAAUUAUAAUUUUCAAUCAACUCUGUAUGUUCCUAAUAACUUUUUUAUCUUACAUACAUCAUAUCAUAAAAAGUGUUAUAAUAAUUAUUUCAAAUAAUCUCCUAUCCAAACACACUCAUCAUAAUUUUCUUAAAAUUUGCACUAAUGACAAAAGUUACAUCAUCAAUCAUACACCAAUAUCAAAGAACAUAUCUAAGAAGUACGGAGACUACAUAUUUGAAGAAUAAAUAAAAAUUAAAAUAAAAUAAUUGUAACUCCAAGAACAUUUGUGCAUGCUUACAAUCCAAAUGAAGAUGCUUUAAUCUAGUGUCAGUUUUGCUGAAAGGUAGGGAAAAUGAAAUAAAAUGUUCAAUUUGGAAUGAAACACACAUACAAUUAUCACUAUGUAGAUUCCAUAUUAACUUGGCCUAAUAAUAGAGUAGGUAAAAGUUCGCCCGUUAGGGGAUUGCUAUUAUUAUGGUAGAUCAACUUGCAUAAAAAAGAAAAAUUUUUAUAUAAAAACAUGGAUAUAGAUGCUGAGAAGGCCUUAGUUGAAUGGUUAAAAUUAAAACGCCAGAAAUUCGAGAUUUUGGAUUCAAAUUCCUUGUCCCCUCCUGCUUCUUAAGUCGCACAUCUCCCCUGAUGAUGAAAAAGUUUUUUUUUUUUUUUUUUUUUUUUUUUUUGUAAAUGGAUACAGAUAGAGGUCAGGUUCGGUCCAGAAGGUUGAUGUAUGUGUUGUAGAUUCAUCCAAAAGUUUGGCAUAUUUUGUUAUAGGAUCUAUUUUGCAAUCAUUCAACGUAAAAUAGUACACAAAAUUUGUACAUCAACCAUCAAUAAUACUCAUCGAGUACCUUUACGGUUGAGGAAAUAUUACACCGACAUAAUUGAUACUACAACUGGCAGAGAAGAGACUAAACAAGGAUUAACUUAUUUAUGGGUAGAUAAUCAGUCGCACUCCCAAGCCAAGCUGAUAUUGUCUACUUAAGAGGGGGAUUAUAAGUUCAAAUGGUUUUAUAUUUGAUAUUGUCUACCAGUUUAAAAAGGUUUAAGUCAUAACUAAGUAUUGUUGGACUGUCAUACUAAUAGCUUAGAACUAACUUGGAACCACCUGAAGGGAUAUAAAUUUCUAUCUGAGUUGUAAACUUGUAAUUUGUAAGUCUUGAAGGUCUUGAUCUUACACAUUUGAAUUUAAAAAAUUUGAAGUGGGUGCCACUACACCCUUCUAAUCUAAACGGGCCCCAUAUAUAACACAGUUGGGGGUAAUAUAUGUGCUCCCAAUUAUUAAAAAGCAAACAAAAACCUUACCAGCAUUUUGGUCCUAUGUGAGGGCCACAUCUAAUGUGAGAUUGUCCUUAAGCAUAGGUCCAUACUACAAUUUACAAGGAUUCAUGACUUGAUGUCAAGAGGGUUGAAUUAAGACUACUUUCUUGUAUGCUUAAAAAAAAGACUACUUUCUUGUACACCAAACAAAAUAUCGAAAAAACAUAUUUUCUAAAAAGUUUAUUGGGAUGAUUUGAACCCAAGGCUUGGCACUACCUGGACUUUUCUAAAGUGCUGUAAAUUUUUUUUGUUUGGGAUAUUCACAGCAAUGAUGGCUGGAUCACCUCAACCUACUUUAAUUUGCAGCCUGCCGACUUUUCUGCCCUGCCUUAAAAGAAAAGGAAAUUAAAAGUACUUAGAUAUUAAGAAAUGUCAAAUAAGAAACUUUACCUCUUGUGCAGUCAAAUUGGACAGAAAGCAGCUUCGCUCUAACCUAAACUAGAAGAAAGUAAAGUGGCUAUUUUGAAACUACACAGAUUGCAAAAUCUUAAGUAAUAGAUUACCAAAAGGAAAUUUACCAUCUAUUUCUUUUUCGUUCUGCUGAAAGUAGUUUAACCAGCAUGAUUUCAAGCCACAGUACUCAACACAACUUGAAUAGGCUCACGGCGAUGGAUCCCUUCGUGGACUUGACUCGAGUACGCAGCAGGUUCAGUGCAGUGAAGGGUUAAUCCAAGGAAUUAUAAGGAGAAAGUUUCAUUGAGUUCCUCACUCCACCACCAGUUUAGCAGUUACUCUUCACCUUCAGCGUCUCUGAGUCUGGCUCAUUUGUUUAUCAAUUUUGUUUGUUAUUCUGUCAGGCGCACAGAGUCUGCUGAAGUCAAGUCCAACGAGGAGUCCAUUAUCUUGAGCCUAGCUACUGGCUUCAAAUGAGCACAUUUUUUGAUGAAUUAUUUCAUUUUUAUCUGUCAAAAUAUAUAUAUAAUCUUUUAUGUAUGAAGUUGAAACUACUAAUUAAGUUCGUAUAUUUUCAAAAGUUAUCUUCUUAAACAUAUAAAACCAUUAUAUACAUGUAAUUAGGAAUACGAAAGUGAUACUUGAACUCCCAAAUUACUCUUUUGCAUUCGCUGAUGGCAUUUCAUUGAGUGAAUAGAUUAAUGUUAGAAAGGCUAACAUAGGAAUGCGAAUAUCACUCAUCACUACAAGAAAAUUACCAUUUAAUGACACUCAAAAAUGCCUCUUUUUGUAUGUUUUAGUGACAAUUUUUAAUCUAAUAGCAUUUCCCCCGAGUGUUGGCAAUAUCACUGCCACUAUAGUCUAGUGACACUUGAAAAGUGCCACAAAAGAGUUACUAUGAUAACAUUUUAACAUUUCAUUGUACUAGGGAUAUGUGUCAUGAGAAGAUGCCACUAUGUCAUUUUUUUUGGGUGUUUGCGAAUGCCAACAAUUUAAGUUUUGAUACAACUUUAAAUGCCACUAUUUAAAACUUUCCUGUCACUUUGAAAUGCCACUAAAAAAUUAAGAAAAUAAAAAAAUAAUUUGAAAUUAAAAAUCAAAGUACUCUUAUUGAUCCGGGUAAUUAAUUACAACUCAAGAAAAUGAAAGUUUCGCCAAUUAAACAAGUCACUAACUAAUAAAUCUAGUAAGAAAUUAUAUGACAACAAUAUAAACAAAUUCAUGCAUUUUACAAAUGAAACAUGUCUAAAGACAUUAAUCUUUUAAGCUGAUAACUUGGAAAAGAUCAUGUCUUCUUUGCUUCAUUAAUCUCUCAAAUGCUAUGUAAUCUGCAUUUAAACAAUACAAUGAAUAUAUUACCUCUUCUCAAGGAUUAGUUAGUAAAAAUAUUAACUCAACUCAAGAUAUUAGCAAUAGUGGUUGAAAAAUUAACAAUGAUCAAAGUGGGAAGUAAAAUGGGGCACCUUGAACUUGCCAUAGAGAUACUAAAGUGAUAGGUUGUCGAGCCUAUGCAAUAAUAAAUACCUGCUCAAACAAAAGUUAAUUUCUGCAGAUAGUAAUAAGUAGGGUCAAAUCCAUAGGGAUUGGGGAUAUUUGUCUCUUUUGGAGUUCAAACUAACAAUGGGGGGUUUUUAUAGUAAUGACAAUGAUUAAACAGUUCGAAUAAAAUCAAAUAGCUAACUAAAAAGUAAACGACAAGUCACUAAAAUUAGAUUAAUGAUAACUAAAGUUCUAGCCAAGAAAUAACUUCAGCAAUGGUUCACCUAAUUGAUCAUCAAUGCAAAGGCAAUUCCAAUUAUUUACUAAUAAAUAGGUUAUAACUGUCAAACAAGCGAUGACAGUCAACCCUUCCUUACUGUGUCGGUGAUUAAGGUAUACCCAUUAACCACUACUCUAAUUGAGAAAUAAUCAUAGGUACGCCCGUAAGAUUUAAUUCUCUAAUUGCCUUACGUAUUAGAGGAGUCCUGUUCUAACCAAAUAACGCACUACCAGGGUUAUUUUAUGUUAGCCCGCGUAUUCCCCUGACACAAACCCAAUCAUGCUAGUUGUCACUAUUUCAGGGCAAUUAAACAAUUACAGAUUUAACGCUCCAUUUGACAAUAGAUUACUAAAUUAACUAAUUAUCUGGAUCCAAGACAAUCAAUUAAUUGAAUAACCAUGAACACUGUAAUCAGAGAAUAUGCGAAUAUCAAUAAAUAAAAGAAAAAGAUAAAAUUAAAUCGAUCUCACAAUUUUUAGGCGAACCAAAGCCUCAGUUGUUCCUUGACUAGAAAAGGUAGUUUUGUUCAUCUUUAACGAAUAAAGCCCACAGGAGAUCGAAGCAACCGUAGCAGCCAUUGACUCCAAAAUUGAGAAAAUUCAAUUCGGUUCAGCAAUGAAGAAAAAGUCAAGAUUACAAAGAAUGCCCAAUUGCUUUUCUUUGCCUUCACAUCUGAUGGAAGCAAAAGCACAAUAAGAUGACAAGAGGAAAAGUCAAAAGAAAAGCUAAGCUAGAGGUCCUACCAUACGAAGAAAGAAAAACUACCCAAGAAAAGUCAAUGGAAAGCUAUUUAAUAUCUAGUUCCUACUGCUACUGUCCGGCGUCCGCGGCCAUGAAGAGACCGAAGAAAACUCUAGCCUUUUUAUCCUCUUUCCAUGUUGUCUUCCGCCAAAUUACCAAAGAGGGUCGUAUCCUCAUAUUUCAAAAAUGCCCUUGGACGCCUGCUACUUGAAUUCUUUUCCGAUGACUGUCAAAUUGGCCUUGGUUGUGGUAUUUUCAUUCUACUCCCUAAAAUAAAUGUAAAUUACGAAAAGUGAGUAGAGUCUAAUAACUGAUUCACAUCAAGUCAGGUAAUAGGGGAAAUUAACAAUAAAAUAAAUGAUAAAAUAGUAACCUAUCAAUUCCCCCCCACACCUAAACCCCUCUUGUCCUCAAGCAUAAGAACAAUAAACAAAUACCAAUAUUUGACAAUAGCUAUUGCUCCACCUACCAUAUUGCCAAGAUACCAAGAAAAAUAUAUCAAGCAUCAGCGAUCAAAAUCAAAGAAACAUCACUGUGAUUAGCUUCUAAACCACAAACUCCUUUAAUUGCAGGUUAACUAAUCUAAGAAGAAGGAAUGACGCACAACAUUUAUCAACAAAUGGUCUAACUAUUAACCAAAAUCUCAACAUUAAAUCCAUAAAUCGGUAGGCUGACUUUUAUUAUACACUAACACAACAUUCACUUCUUUUUUCAUGUUUUUCUAUUUUUCUGUUUUUUUAAUAGUAACACAAGACUUAGUCCCUGUCCAUUGGAGUUUUUUGACGCGAACUCCGACAUUUGUCAGAUGAAAGAGCUCGGUUACUCAGUUCCUAUCGCAUGUGACCACACACUCAUAGCAAUUACUACUUUUUGACGCGAGAAUUGACACUUUUGGUGAAAAUCCCCGAUUACUUGGUAGUAACUACUAGCGGAGUACAGUCAACUCUUAUUCACAGCUAAAUAACACAAAAAAUUCAAAAUAACACAAAAUCAAAAGAAAAUUUACAUCAGCUAGCUUCAUUUUCAAACAUGGAGAACGAAGGUUAAUAACCGGACCAAUUUACAUGAAAAUGCCAACAGUUAUUUUCUAUAUCUAGGAAAGUUAACCAAAAAUUAUAAAAGUCACACAGUCGUCGAUAUUCACCAUAGAGAUAUUCUUAGACUCAACCACAUCUACUUAAUACACUUCCAUUACUAAAACUUGGCAAUAGCAGAAAUAGAGACAACAAUCAAACAUCAAAUUUUGGCAUCACAUACGAGCUAAUCACUAAAAAGAAAGAAAGAUUGACAAAUAACAAACUAAAAUGAAAGCAAAAACAUCUAAAAAACUAAAUAGUAGAAAAACUAGCACAGCUGCCCCCUCACACCUAGACCCUACAUUGUCCUCAAUGGAGGAAUUAAAGCAAUUAAAGCGAAGAGGACAUCGAAACUUCCCUCUCGAGUGGCUACGAGGUAGGCGGGAACGGUAGAGGGAAACCGAUGUGGUGGAAGUACGCGCCCAAGUUCUUCACUGGUUGUCGAGGGAAAAAGUAGGAAUGGAUGCGAGAGAGAGGGUGGCGCGCGAAGUAGAUGCGACGACUGGUGGUAGAGGUUGCGCGAUUGGAGUGAGAGAGAUUGGAGUGGUGGCGCACGAUGGUAGAAAAUGAGGAAGAAAGAAGAAGAAGAAAGAAAAAAAAAAGAAAAGAAGGAAAAGAAGGAAAAAGAAAAAGAGAAAGAAUUUUUUUUUUAAUUUGCAUCUUGCAGAUCUAAGCUACAGUUAAACAAAUGAUUCUUUUUUUGUCUUUUUCGAAUUAAUUUAUUAUUUAUCUUUUUUAAAAAAUUUAUUUUAUUUUAUUAUUUUUUUAAAGAAAUUUUUUUUCCAAAUUCGAAAUUAGAGAUAAGAAGGAAAGCGAAAUAUUUCUUGAGAUUUGAAAACUUAUCUUUCUCGCGAAAAUAAUGCGGGCACAUUAUGAAGGCUAGAACCCUUUUGAUGAUGAGCUCUCCAUACGACUUGACGUAGGAGCGUCAUGAGGGUCCGAACCCUUCUGAUCAUGAGCUCUCCAUACGACUUGAUGCGAGCGCGUCAUGUCAGAGAGAUACCUACGGAUCAUCAAAAACGAGAAUUGAAGCCUGAAAUCAGUCAAACUCAAGGAAAACAUAUUUAAACUAAUAAACAAAAUCAAACAAAUAACUAAAAGAAAUUGGGUUGCCUCCCAAUGAGCGCCUUUUUUUAAUGUUUUUGGCUAGACAUUGAACAUUAUUCUUAAAUCUGGGUGUAACUCAAUUUUUCUUGUAAUCGAUGGCCCUCCUCCAGGAUCCAAAUAGCCUUUAAGUGCAUCCUUCUUUCUUAAUUUUCUACUCCUUUUCACCUCAUACAUUGCUUUCAUCCCCUUAUACUUGUUCUCAGUAAAUUUGAAUUUGCCUCUACAAGUAAACUCAGAAAAAUUCUUGCACAGAAAGAUUAAUAACAUGAAUAGCAAACCAGAGUAAGAGUUAACAAGAUGUUCCAUUGUAUCUAAAAUAUUAAAGUGGACUAGUUCUCCAUCAAAUUCCAUAGACAAUGUACCCUUAUUAACGUUAUUUUUGUCUGGGCUGUACUAAAAAAUGGUCUACCUAAUAGCAAAAGUAAAGGGUCGGGAGAAUGGUCAUCAUCCAUGUCAAGUACAUAAAAGUCAGCCGGAAAUACCAAUUCAUUAACUUUAACCAGCACAUCCUCAACCAACCCAUCAGGGUAUGCAUUUGUUCGGUCAGCUAAUUGGAUUAUUAUCUCAAUUUCUUUUAAUGGACCGAGGUUCAGAGAAACAUACAUAGAUUUAGGCAUUACGUUGAUCGAUGCUCCUAAGUCCAGCAGGGUAUUCCUAAUCAAAGUAUUACCUAUCUUAUAUGGGACAGUAAACCUACCUGGAUCCCCGUACUUCGGUGGAAGCUUCCUUUGGAGAACUGCUAAUACGUUCUCCCCCACGAUGACCCUUUCAUCUCCCCUCAACUGCUUUCGGUUGACACAUAGGUCCCUUAAAAACUUUGUAUACUUCGACACUUGAUUGAUGGUGUCUAACAGGGGAAUAUUGAUCUUUGUCUUGCGGAACACCUCCAGGAUCUCCUUUUCCUUAUCCUGCUUCCACAGUUUCUCUAACUUACUAGGAAAGGGAGGCGGGUUAGUUCUAACUGUAAUGACUGGAUUAGGAAGUACCUUUUGAUUUGGGCCAUUGCUGUCCUCCUUCUCAAGCUCAUUCUCGAUCCUUUCCUCAUCUUUGUCCUUGGGAAUCGUGAGUUCGGGCUCUUGAAUUUCCUUCCCGCUCCUUAAAGUCAUCGUACUUAUGUUCUUCAAGUUCAAUUUUAGGUUGAGACGCAAUUUUUCAUAAACUUGGGAUUCCAGGUGAUUGAUUGCCACUGCCAUCUGAUUCAUCUGAUUUUGCAUUACUUGUACCUAUUCCAAUUGAUUUCUUAUGUUCUGCAGUUCGGAGUCUGUCUUUUGCUGAUGUUGCACGGUGGUAGCCAUAAGUUGUUUCAUCAUUUUCUCCAAAGAUGGACUAGAACUUAGUGGCGGAGAUGGUCGGGGUUGGUACUGCUGCUGGUACCUUUGUUGUCUAUUUGACACAAAGUUAGGAUGCCUGUUCCCUCCAUAGCUGAGGUUAGGAUGGUGUCUUCAGCCGAGAUUAUACGUAUUCGAGUACGGUUCAUAGGGCAUUCUUGGCGCAGGCGCGUGAUCAGCCAUGUUCACUUUCUCUGCACUUUGUUCUUGAAUUAUCGGGCACAUAUCUGUAGAAUGACCCAUAGUAGUGCAAAUUCCACACACCUUGGCCUGAGAUGCGUUUCCUACAACCAGUUGCCUAACAAACGAGGUUAACUCCGUCAACUGCUGUCAGAUAGAAGAUGUCUCUACCUCAUUUACCUUGCGUAUCGGGACAUCCUCUCUCGUACCAAACUAUUGUGAAUUCUCGACCAUUCCCUCAAUUAGCUCCCAUGCUGCCCGAGGGGUCUUGUUCACCAGUGCCCCUCCACUCGCAGCAUCAAUGAUACUCCUGUAUCUGAAGAUUAGCCCCUCGUAAAAAUAUUGUAUGAGUAACUGCUCACUUAUUUGGUACUGAGAGCACUUGAUGCACAAUUUCUUGAAUCGCUCCCAGUAGUCGUAGAGUGACUCCCCUGGAUGCUGUUUGAUACCACAGAUCUCCUUUUUUAGACUUGCAACUUGGGACGCGGGAAAAUACUUGUCUACAAACUUUUUCUUCAACUAGUCCCACGUGGUGAUACUACCUGGUGGUAGGUAGUACAACCAGUCUUUUGCGAAGUCCUUCAAGGAGAAGGGGAAUGCCCUCAUUUUUAUUUGCUUUUCUGUGAUACCCGGGGGUUUCUACUAUUGCACACGAUAUCAAACUCUUGCAAAUGCUUAUAUGGCUCUUCACCUGACAAACCAUGAAAGGAUAGUAAAAGAUGAAUUAGACCAGAUUUGAAUUCAAAUGGAGUAUUAUCAUUUAAAUUUGGGAAAAUAAUACACAAAGGCUGUUGAUUUAAAUCAAGAGCAGCCAACUCCUUUAAUGUUCGUGCGUUUGUCAUAGUGAAUUCUUCUUGAUCCGAGUCACUUGAAGUGUCAUCAAACGAAUCUGUUGGUUCAACUUCUAACUCAGGUCUCUGAGAUGCAGCACUGGAGUACUUUUCCCUGAGUUGUCUGGUCUAUUUUUGUGUUCUCCGUGCGGUCUUCUCUAUCUCAGGGUCAAAAAUUAAUUCACUUGUACGAGAAUAACGAGGCAUACACUCAAAAGGUACUAGAAAAUUAGAACAAAAAUAAACUUAAAAAGAAACAAAUAACUAGCACCAGUCCUCAGUAACAGCGCCAAAAAUUGACAGGUUGUCGAGCCUGUACAAUAAUAAAUACCUGCUCAAACAAAAGUUAAUUUCUGCAGAUAGUGAUAAGUAAGGUCGAAUCCAUAUGGACUGGGGAUAUUUGUCUCUUUUGGAGUUCAAACUAACAAUGGGGGGUUUUUAUAGCAAUGACAAUGAUUAAACAGUUCGAAUAAAAUCAAAUAGCUAACUAAAAAGUAAACGACAAUUCACUAAAAUCAGAUUAAUGAUAACUAAAGUUCUAGCCAAUAAAUAACUUCAGCUAUGAUUCACCUAAUUGAUCAUCGAUGCAAAGGUAAUUCCAAUUAUUUACUAAUAAAUAAGUUAUAACUGCCAAACAAGCGAUGACAGUCAACCAUUCCUUACUGUGUCGGUGAUUAAGGUACGCCCGUUAAUCACUACUGUAAUUGAGAAAUAAUCAUAGGUACGCCCGUAAGACAUAAUUCUCUAAUUGCUUUACGUAUUAGAGGAGCCCUGUUCUAACCAAAUAACGCACUACCAGAGUUAUUUUAUGUUAGCCCGCGUAUUCCCCUGACACAAAUCCAAUCAUGCUAGUUGUCACUAUUUCAGGGCAAUUAAACAAUUACAGAUUUAAUGCCCCAUUUGACAAUAGAUUACUAAAUUAACUAAUUAUCUGGAUCCAAGACAAUCAAUUAAUUGAAUAACCAUGAACACUAUAAUCAGAGAAUAUGCGAAUAUCAAUAAAUAAAAGAAAAAGAUAAAAUUAAAUCGAUCUCACAAUUUUUAGGCGAAUCAAAGCCUCAGUUGUUCCUUGACUAGAAAAGGGAGUUUUGUUCAUCUUUAACGAAUAAAGCCCACAGGAGAUCGAAGCAACCGUAGCAGCCAUUGACUCCGAAAUUGAGAAAAUUCAAUUCGGUUCGGCAAUGAAAGAAAAGUCAAGAUUAGAAAAAAUGCCCAAUUGCUUUUCUUUGCUUUCACAUCCGAUGGAAGCAAAAGCACAAUAAGACGAAAAGAGGAAAAAUCAAAAGAAAAGCUAAGCUAGAGGUCCUACCAUACGAAGAAAGAAAAACUAUCCAAGAAAAGUCAAAGGAAAGCUAUCUAAUAUCUAGUUCCUACUGCUACUGUGCGGCGUCCGCGGCUAUGAAGAGACCGAAGAAGACUCCAGCCUUUUUAUCCUCUUUCCAUGUCGUCUUCCGCCAAAUUACCAAAGAGGUCGUGUUCUCAGAUUCCAAAAAUGCCCCUGGAUGCCUGUUACUUGAAUUCUUUUCCGAUGAUUGUCAAAUUGGCCUUGGUUGUGGUAUUUUCAUUCUACUCCCUGAAAUAAAUGUAAAUUAUGAAAAGUGAGUAGAGUCUAAUAAUUGAUCCACAUCAGGUUAGGUAAUAGGGAAAUUAAUAAUAAAAUCGUAACCUAUCAUAAAGGCAUUCCAACAAAGAAACCUCAACACUCGCCAAUAUUUCUAAAAUAAAAAAAGGAAAUAGUACCAUCAAUUUAUAUUUAAUCCUAAAACUUGAGAAAAAGAGUAAAUCAUCUAGUAUUUGAACCAUAUAGUACCUAAUGCUUGACCAUCUUUGAACCUACAACCACACCUUUUGGUCUGCGUAGAAAUUAUACAUCACAAAACUAGCAUCACAUACAAGGUGAAUGGGAUGUUGGCACAUUUCACCACAUAAUAAUUAACUGAUAACAACAUGCACUGCACUUUUUAUUAUUUUUUGGGGGCAUUGCACCAACAUAGGAUGACUUAAUGUAAAUGAAUUCUAAUUGAUACUUAGUUGUCUAAUCAUACCUAUCAUUACAAUUUAACACACAUUUUUGUUAGAAUAUGGCAAAUAAAGACACUUCAUACUAUAUGAAUUUCACUAAAAGUCCUACAAUUAUGUUUUUGAAAUGCUAAGUAAUAUGCUUUUUUUUCCUGGCCUACUGAUUGUGCUUUACAUUUCCAAGGUUUAUGCAAAGAGCAUCAUACUAUCUCUCUUAGUCAAGUAAUACAAUUCUUUCCCUUUCUUGAGACAAAUUUCCAAAAGCAUCUCUAAACCUAGCUUGGCAAAAAAAAAAAAAAGAAGAGAUCAUGUUAUUAACACUAUGAAAGUACAAUGAUACAAUGAUUGUGAAAGAAAGAAGAUUUUAACACUAGAGUAAUCAAUACAACUACUCAAAGGAAAGAAAAAAAUUGAAAUAACUGAUAUUUCUUGUCUUAGAAUUGUACCCAUAAUCACGAAAUAUAAAAUGAUAAAAUAGACAAAAACCUAUAAACUAUUGUUUUGUUCUAUGGAAUUUAGAGAGGACAAAAAGUACCUUUAAUGAUUUCUUGUGAUGGUAGAUAACAAUGGAAUUGAGAUGCUAGAUGAUAGGGUUUGUGGAUAAAGAGACUUGUAGAGAAUGCAAGAUUGAAAAAAUUUUAGUGAGUUUCAAUGUUUGAGGGAUUUACUUUGAUACUUAUCAGUUAAGAGAAGGAGUAAAUCAAGAAAGGAAACCUCAUCAAUUAGGCAAGAAAAUCUCAUCCACUUAGCAAACUGUGUUUUUAUUUUCAUUUUUUAAGAAAAUGCCAGUAAAACUUUUGAUCUAAUGACAUUCAAGUGCUAUUGAUUGUUAAAAUUGACUUCAUGCCUUAAUGGUUUAAUUUAACACUACUUUCUCGAGAACAGAGACAAAAAUAAAAAAAAGAGAAUAAAUUUCUUUUCAAAAGUAAAAUAUUAAAAAAAAUCUAUUUUUUUCACAUAAUUUCUUUAUAGUUUUCAAAGUCUCUUCACUUCCUUUUGCGAUUAUAUCGAGUUGAACUAUUUAGUUUUUUGUUCAACUUGACUACACAAAAAAUGUAAUCUAUCCUUUUUUUAAAAUAUUUUAGAAGGGGAAUGGUGAAAUUUAAGAAAUGAAGGAGAAAAAAGAUUUCAGCUUUAACUAUGACAUCAAUAUCUCAGCAAUACAAUUUGUUAUUACUUGCAAGACAUUUAUUAUUACUUUUAGUUAUUUUCAUUUUCUUUUCUUUUAGAGUAGGGCGGAUGAGCUAGCACCGUCAUGGUGGCAAAUUGAAGCACGGCAGUGGCACUAUCAACUAUCCCACCAAAUGCUGACCCCGGCCACCACCAUCCGACGUGAUUACCAAUUCAAAAGGAAAGAAAAAAUUAUAUCACUUCAUAAGCAGCCCGUAUUAGCAUGAUGUUAAAUGCAUUACGGGCACUAGUACCCCACCAUGUUCAAUUUAAGCCACAAAUAAAGAGGGGACCGAUUGAUAAUCUUUCUUGAUAACUGAAAAUUCCUCUUGGAGUUAAUUCCAUGCUGCAUCAUGUAAUUAUACUUAAAUUCCUUUUUUGGCAUCUAAACGAAAUGGAAAUCGGGUUUUCCAUUUUUGAAAUAUACGAAUUUGGUCCGAAUUCGAUAAUGAAUUUUCUGAAUUUGAAAUCAAAAACUGUAAGAGAUAUCCCAUAGGGGUUACUUUGCAAGAUUAUCAUCUGCAGGGUCCUUACUGACGGUUUCUGCAACCUUGUAACAGAUAUUUGUUCCUAUAUUCACCUUCUAAUUAUACUUUUGUUAUCCCAACUUCAACUCGAAAUGCACAUCAAGUUCAUAACCAAUGGAGCAAUCAAUAUAUGACAUGAGAGCUAUAGAAUCCAAGAGAAACGCAUUGGAAAUCAUGGGAACAACUUCAUGGUUUGUGAACUUGCUACGAGUACGGUUAUCGGAAUAAUUAAUUUCUUUGUUCGCCAUUAAAGAUGACAUUUCAUCAUAUGCUUAGUGUGGUACCCAGAAUCAUCCUCCUCAAGAUGAUCUCUCCCGGACACUUUCGAAUCUGAGUAGUCAUCUUGUAGUUUAGAUGUCCAGUGAGCCGAGGACAUUCAUAACAAGAAGUGAUUGAUGCGACACAUUACAAGCUUUUGCAGGUCUAACCUCUUGCACUAGUAGAUCUAGAGUCGACCUAUAGCUGCACCCUGCCCUAUCAAUGCGGCCUGAAACCCAAGGACACCUCUCACGUUUCACUAUAAUUACCCCUCUUUUCUUAGACCCCAGAGGUAACUGUUUCUUAAUUCUCACAUGUAACUUAUGUCUGAGCUGUUAACUCCUGCUAAGUUAAGCAUCGGAGCCAAAUUGGGGGAAUACUCCAUCUCUGCUUUUGAUAUCAUACAGGAAAUCCGAACUAGAGUUCAUCGAUCUCCAGUCUUCUUGGGAGUUUCGACCGUGACUCUACAAUUGGCACUGUUCGUAGGAAGUGAAGUAAAUACAGUUGCUCUACUUUCUCAUGACUAAGACUUGCUCUAAUCGUGGAAACAAGAACCCCCGAACUUUUGGGAGCCGUAUAGCCAAUCCAAGGGAUUAGGACAUACUAGAGAAUUCACAGCCUCAUGGAGAGGUCAUAGCUCGAGUGGCCAAGUUUGUGGCCUCCAGUUCAGGGUUUUUUGAAGAGAUUGUUAGGCAUAUGAAAGGUAAGGAUAGAGGCGAAUCUGUUCAGAGAUAACCCGAAGAGUCUUCUUUGUCUUCUUUCGAGGGUGACUCGGAUGACCAUCACAUACUCCAAGAGGAAGAAGGAAAAGAACCUUUCUAAAUUGCAAGGCAAAGUGCAUUCUAAAGUUUCCUCAGUUUUCGAGAGCACUGCUCAAGAACCCAUUCAAGAGGGAUGACACAAGUGAACGGUCUAGAUACGGAUCGACCCUUUACGGAGAUAACAUGCCCCCUUCACCCCUAACAUUAACGAAGAAGUUUUUCCAACGAACUUUGAAGAGGUGAUUUUAGUCCCGCUGGGUGAACCUUCCGAACUGAAGAAGUGUUUUGUCUUCGGCAAGGCACUGGGACGAGGUCACCUGCUUAGGUUACAGGAGGGGCUGAAUCCCCCGGUGUAACUUCGAAACUUAAGUUAGUUCGGUAGUGAAAAAGUAAUAUAGUGGAGAAGAUCAGUAUAGUUUUACCAGAAAUUAGUCAUCCUCCUUCUCAGUAGAGGUGUUGAGUAUUUAUAGAAGACUGAUUUGAAGAGGAACUGUUGGCACGAGUUCCGAGAGAUCUGAUACGGAUAUCAUAUCAAUUUGAUAUGAUAUCCCUGCGAAAAGGUGCGUCGGAACAGGUAUUAGAGUCAGGCGGCGCAUGUGUCAGAACAGCUCUCCGUCAAGUGUCAGAUGUGUCAGGGGUCACAUCAUCUUUCCACAGUUGUCAAGUCGUUUGGGCAUCACCUCGGCUCACGCUUCGAAGAUCUCCGCCGAGGUGAUAAACGGGUCAGGACUACCUCACUAAAUGACGCGCCGAGGUGGCACUUCCAGUAGUCUUGCAGGGUGAGGCCCCACCCUAUCCGGGCUGAAACGACCAUCCUCACUAAGCCCCCCAAGCUUCGAGAAGGGCGAGAUCGUGGUUUCCCGAGGUCGUUGCUUCCCGAAGUUGACAAGCGUGUAAGGCACGGGAUCCAGCAAUCAUGGCCAUGUGGAUGGGACUGCUGAGGAACUGACAUGAUGGCUGUCAAUCGUGACGGCAGGUUCAUGAACAGGCUCGAGAUCAGCAGGACGAACAGCCUUUUCAUUAAUGAGGAGAGAGAGAAUGCGCCCUCGAGAAUCUCAAAGAUACCGCCUCUUCAUUUUCCCCCUGGGUGCCUAUAAAUAGAAGCCCCUUUUCACCGUUUCACUCUUUACCAAAAAUCUAAAAUCACCUUAGAGCUCUGUUCCUGUGUCCUUUCACUUCGGCAAUUCCUCGAGGCAGAAAGACCCGACCCCUCCGAGGAGAGAACUGCGUCCGAUGUCGGGGAAGGAGUGCCGAGGCGUCUCACCGAGCCGGAACAUCUGGAGGGCAUCACGAGGAGAUCGAGGUCGAAGCCGAGGUCCUGUACAAUGAUGAUCUCGGGAACGAGGUCCCUAGGGACGAGGGCGUGCAAGAGCCUUCCACUCCUCCGAACUUGACAACACUUAAUUACGGCCAGAUGCCAGCCUUCAGUAGUAUUAUGGGACAAGCCUCCGUAGCCGAGGUGGUCCGCAAGUAUCAUUGGAGAAGGGAUUACAGCAUCUAUUUGCCCCAACCACACCAGUCAGCCGCAUUGCCACCGAAGGGUAGGGUGGCCAUCUACGUGGACCAACUGGAGGCCGGGCUCAGAGUGCCAACAACAAAGUUUCUUCGGGAAUGCUUGAGGUAUUGGGGGGUGAGGAUCACUCAACUCACCCCGAAUACCAUUCGUGUCCUCGUCGGCUUUCAACUGCUUUGCCGACAUCAGGAAAUAGAGCCCACUGUCAACCUCUUCUGCCGUUCUUACUCGCUUAAGAACAGCGGGAGCGAGAAGAGUUGGUUUUACUUCGGGAAUAAAGUUCCGAAGUUAGUGGUAGACGCCUCGAGCUCGAUAAAGGAAUGGAAAAGAAACUUUUUCUUCGUCCCGGCAGAAGACUUCCCACGGGGAUUCUGGUGGAGGCCUCCCACCUCAGUCAAAGAGACGUCCCCGGGCAUGUUAGAGGAGCGCAACUUCCAGAAGUUAACGGGGUCGGACCUCAGGAUUAAUUGCUGGGACUUUCCCGAAGUGGUGGUCGUAGAAGGCGGGAUCAGCCGAGUCUUGAUCAGCUCGGACCACCCCGUCUUCUUCUCUACUAGGUUUCAAAAACCUUGUACUUUUCCAUUUCCCUUUUUUGUUUAUUCUUCAUGAAUUCUAACUAACUCUUUUUCACACUAUGCAGUGGUGAAGGUUUCCGACCUGAUAACCUCGGAAAACAUCGAGGUGGUGAAGAGACCACCCAAGAAGCGUAAGGAUGCUGCUGAACCCUCCACCAGGCCUGCCAAGAACACCACUGCAGCUACGGGCGACCGCGAGCCUGCCGUGGUGAUAGUGGGCGAAGGCUCCCAUACCUCGACCACUCUCGGAGGUUCCCGAGCCUCGGCUAUUCCUGUCCCUAUUCGAGGGGUCACGAUAGCCACUCCACCUUGGGGUCAGGGCGUGACUGCGUUCCCGGAUAACCCCGUCACGAGGUCUUCGCUAUUCAACCUCUACCAUGUGCCUUCCAAAGCGGCCGGGGAGGACAAAAGGCACUCCGGAGCACAUUGGUGUCCCGAGUGGGAGGUGAACGUCAAUGACCGCUGCAAGAACCCCCUGGUCGUACAUGAGCUUCUGGUGCAUUCGGUGUUGCCGCGAGAUAACACUUAUGCCAGAAAGCUCACUCCAGGUGAGCUGAUGCAAAGUGCCUCGGUCUCAUGGGCCUCCACCACGGCCUUCUUUGUUGAGAUGAUCCAACGUUACGGACAUUUCAUGAAAAACUACGAGCCACCUGCCGAGUUCCAGAAGAAGAUUGCCGACCUGGAAGAGAAGCUGAGGGCAACCGAGCUGGAGCGCGACAAAGCCGAGGCAGCGAAGAAGAAGGCCGAAGUCGCGAACAAUUCCCUGAUAACUGCCCUUGAUGAGGAGAGAGAGAAGGGUCCAAAAAGAACAGUCGACCAAGGAGGCAAUAGACAAGGUCGGGGUCACUGCCGUGGAGGCCUUCCGGAAGUCGGAGUUUUUCACCCACGACCUCGGCGAGCUCACACGCCCAAACUUUAUGUUCGACUACACGUCGGCUGUUAACGAUGCUAUGCCCUUUCUCUCUUCUGAGCAGCUGGAGUCCCUUCAAAGCGCUCCUCACUACAACGAAGAUGCCAAGGAGCUGUGCGACCGUAUGGCCGAGGGCGUCCAAGCUGAAAAAGAUCUAGCCGAAGUUCAUGUUGAGUUCAACAAAUGACUUCAGGAGUUUGAGCUAGACGGUGAUGGCCUUGAAGGGAAUCAGUCCGGCGGAGGAGCUGAGGGACAGCAGGACGCCGAGGCGGCGAAGAAGAGACUAUGGGGGAGUAAGGCUCCGGGGCAGGGAAUGCUUAGAAGCAUCCCUUUUUUCCAUGACCUCGGUCUUCUACUUUUUGUACUUGUGCUUCAAUUCAAUUGACUUCAUAUUUUUGCAAUCUUUUUAAUUGAGUUCGGUUUUCUUUUCUUUACUGCUGUUGUCCCCUUAUUUUUCACUUGUAAUGAAAUGGGAAGAAGUGAGAAAUAACUCAAAACUUAAAAUUAAAAGUACGUACCCUUCAAGGGUAAUACAGUUUAAGAUUUUCAGCAUGCCGAGUUCGGAGCACCCGAAAUCCAUCUCGAUAUGCCAAUUUACAGUAUCCAUUUUGGCUGGACUCAACGACACGGUAUGGUCCCUCCCACUUGGGGUUCAGUUUACCCUGGGGUUUAGCUCGGCUGACCGAGUUCUUCCGGAGCACAAGGUCUCCCGGAUUGAACCGCAAGUGUCUGAUCCGAGCAUUGUAGUAGCCAGUUAGGAUAUUUUUUUAAAGAGCGACUUUGGCUGCAGCCAUAUCACGCUUCUCUUCGGCGAGGUCGAGGUCAACUCGCCGUUCAUCUUCAUUAACUUCAGCGGCGUACGCUGCCAUUCGUGGGUUCGGAGUGAUGAACUCGGCUGGGACGACAGUUUCGGACCCAUAAAUUAAAGAAAAUGGAGUUUCUUGGGUUGCUGACCUCGGCGUGGGUCGAUAGGACUACAACACGCUGGAAAUUUCUUCCAUCCAGGACGACCCAACCCGGUGGAGCCUGGUCUUGAGGCCAUAAAGGAGAGUGCGGUUGAAGUUUUCGGCCUGUCCAUUGGCUUGGGGGUGUCCAACCGAGGUGAAAUGCUGUUUGAUUCCCAAGUUUUCGCACCACGCUUUGAAAGGAUUAUCUGCGAACUGCCGGCCAUUAUCCGAGAUGACCACCCGGGGUAGGCCGAAGCGAUAAACCACGCUCUUUCAGAAGAAUUUUUGAACGGCUGCUCCGGUGAUACUUCUCAGAGGCUUUGACUCGACCCAUUUGGUGAAGUAAUCUACUGCCACCACUACGUAGGCGUAGUUGCCUGGAGUUCUAAGAAAUGGGCCGAUUUUGUCAGUCCCCCAUUGCUCGAAGGGCCAUGGCGAGGUGAUGGGAAUCAUGAAAUUAGUCGGCUGGUGGUGCUCAGGGGCGUGGUACUGGCAAGACGGACAACUAAGGACCAUGACCUGGGUAUCCACCCUCAUGGUGGGCCAGAAAUACCCAAGCAACAAAACUUUUUUGACGAGCAUCCUGUAGCCGACGUGAGCACCACAAAAUCCCUCGUGUAUGUCUUGCAGGAUUCUGUUACCUUCUUCCUGUGUAAUGCACCGCAGCCAAGGACCGAGGUACGACCUCUUGUAUAAGAGAUUUUGCCCAAAAGCGUACCGAGCUGCUUUGCGCUGCAGCUUUCUCAACUCAGCUCGGUCCUCGGGGAGCUCCCCCUGGCUGAGAAAUCGGAUCAAAGGCUCCAUCCAGAUGUCCCCAAGAUAGAUAGGGUACACGACCUCUCCUUUGUACCUCGGCUCGGCCAAUACUUCUAUGAGAACCGUCUUGUUCAGGUCAGAAAAAGAGGUAGAAGCGAGCCGGAGAGGGCAUCAGCCCUCCUGUUUUGUGACCGCGGUAUUUUUUGGAUUUCAAAAGACUCGAAAUGUGCCACCAAUUGGAGGACCUUGGAGAGGUAGCGGUUCAUCACCUCUUCCCUGGCCUCAUAUUCGCCCAGUAUCUGGCACACAACGAGUUAGGAGUCGCUAUAGACCAAAAUGUGCGCGGCCCCGAGUUUACGAGCUAGUUGUAGGCCGGCAAUGACUGCUUCGUAUUCGGCCUCAUUGUCAGAAGCGGCGAAGUCAAACCUUAAGGCGUAUGAACACACCUCUCCCUGGGGGUCUUCGAGGAGUAAGCCCGCCCUACUACCCUCACUAUUAGACGAGCCAUCCACAUGCAAAAUCCAACGUUGGAGCUCGGCGGCAGCCGAGGUGGUCUCCUUCACCUCAUCAAAAGUGAGUUCGGCGAGAAAAUCCGCAAGGGCCUGUGCCUUGAUUGCGGUACGAGACUCGUAAGACAAGUCGUACUCCCCCAGCUCGAUGGCCCAUUUAGUGAGACGUCCGGAAGCCUCUGGCCGUGAUAAAACUUGCCUGAGGGGUUGGUCAGUUCUCAAGCAGAUGUGGUGAGCUAAGAAGUAGGGCUUAAGCCUGGGGGCUGUAUGGAUUAAGGCCAGCACGAGUUUCUCCGCUUGACUGUAUCUGGUCUCCGGACCUCGGAGGAUUCGGUUGACGUAGUAAACUGGCAUUUGAACACCUUCCUUCCUUAUCAACACGUCGCUCACAGCUUCGACCGCGGCAGACAGGUACAAAAACAACUUGUCCCCUGGCUGAGGCGAGGUGAGUAUUGGGAGGUGGUGUAGGUACUCCUUUAACUGAUCAAAGGCCUGUUAACAUUCUUCAGUCCAGAAGAAGCUAUCUGCCUUCUUCAGAGUCUUGAAAAAGGGCAACGCCUUGGAAGCUGACUGCGAUAGGAACCUGUUCAGGGCUGCCAACCGGCCUGUCAGCCUCUGGACGUCACGGACGCACCGAGGUGAAGACAUUUCUUGGAUCGCUUUCACCUUAUCCGGAUUUGCUUCGAUGCCUCGCCUCGAGAUGAGGUAACCCAAAAACUUUCUCGAAAUUUCCCCAAAAACACAUUUCUUGGGGUUUAACAUCAUUCCCGUCUUCCGUAGGACCUCAAGGACCUCUUUCAGGUCAGAAAGGAAGAUGGAGGUCGUCCGGCUCUUGAGGAGGAUGUCAUCCACAUAGGCUUUAACAUUGCGGCCGAUCUGGGAUUUGAAAGCCUGGUUGACCAGGCGUUGAUAUGUGGCCCCGGCAUUUUUUAGUCCGAACGGCAUGGUGGUGUAGCAAUAUGUGCCUUGGUCAGUGUAGAAGGCCGUCUUCUCUUGGUUCUCCUGACUCAUUCCAAUCUGAUGGUACCGCUUGAAAGCGUCAAGAAGGCAAAGGAACUCGUAACCCAUUGCUGAGUCCACCAGGGUGUCGACUUUGGGCAACGGGUAGCAGUCUUUGGGGCAGGAUUUGUUUAGGUCGGUGAAGUCGACGCACAUUCUCCAAGCCCCGGUGUCCUUCUUGACCAUGACUGGGUUGGAUAGCCAGGUCGGAUAUUGGACCUCCCGGAUUAUCUUUGCCUGUAGGAGCUUGUCCACUUCUUCACCGACAGCUCGGCUGCGCUCAGGGUCGAGGUGCCUUCUUUUCUGUUUGACCAAACGAAUUUGGGUAUCGACGUUCAACUCAUGUACUAUAAGGUGAUGCGGGACCUCUUGGACCUCAUCUGCGACCUAGGCGAAGACGUCCUGGUACUUUCUGAGGAUGUCCACCAUACCUUUUUUGAUCGGGUCAGGCAAUCGGGUGCCGACGCGGAUCGUUCGCUCCGGCUUCAUAAGGUCUAGGAAAACCUCUUCCACCUCAUCUCCAGCCCCCAACCUCGGAGCCUUCUCAGCCUGCUGAGGGUCGAGGCAGUCUAUUGAGAGAAUGUUGGAUCUCUUCUCGGACCUCACAUCGGAGGUCGAUGUGGAGGCUGCUUGUAAGGUGGCGAGAUAACACUUCCGGGCAGUGCAGACGUCGCUGUUGACCUCGGCAAUUCCCGCGGGGGUAGGAAACUUGAAACUCAGAUGGUAUGUGGAAUAUACCGCUCGCAGAGCAUUAAGUGUGGGUCGGCCCAGGAACAAGUUGUACGGGGAGUCAGCCUUAACCACCACAAAAUUGAUUGGGAUGGUUCGACGGCGGGGGUGACGCCCCACAGUUACUGUCAGAGUCACCAUCCCUUCAGGAUGCACGAUGUGUCCCCCGAAUCCCACCAGGGGGUUCUUACCGGGGUCAUGUGUUCUUUGGCCAACUUAAAGCUUUCAAAAGUGCGGAGAUACAUAACGUCCACCGAACUCCCUGGGUCGAUGUAGACCUUCUUCACAAUAUAGUUAUUGGUGAGUAUUUCAAUCACCAAGGCUUCAUGGCUACUUGAUGCAGCCGGAACUAGAUCGGUGGGGCCAUAAGAAAUGACUUUAGAUAGGCGAGAACUUGACUCGGCUUGAUCCGGGUUAGCUUGCCUAUAGGUCCUUUUCCGGGAGUUCUGACUAUCCCCUCCCGUCGGACCUCCGGCAAUAGUGUUGAUGACUCCAGCAAUGUUUGACCCAUAUCCUAACCUCUGGCCUGAGGAUCCGUCUCGGGGAGGCCUUUUUGUCUUCCUAGGUUCCUCAGGGGGUCGGCAGCUGCUUCUCGACGUCCGCCUUUCGUUUCGGCUUUGGUCACCUCGUCCAUCACGCCGGUUAUCAUUACGCUGAUGACUUCCACCUCGGCGGACAAACUGCUUCAAGUGUCCCUGUCUGAUGAGGUUCUCGAUCUCCCUCUUGAGGUCGUUGCAAUUCUCGGUCUCAUGCCCGAUAUCUCGGUGAUACAGGCAGUAGAGGUUCGAGUUCCUCUUGUUUCUGCUACCAAACAUCCUGGGAGGUGCCUUCUCGAGAUUGUUCUGUUCCAUUACGAAUAACACCCAAGAUCGGGUGGUGUUCAGAGGAGUUAACUCAGACUCGGGGAUGGGUGACUUCCCCUUAGAAAUCCUGUCAAACACACUGCGGCGAUCUCGGUUAGGGCUUUGGAAGCCACUCCCUGUCCCCGCUUCACUUCGGCCCGCGUCUUUUCCCCUUCGGAGGUCAGCCCUCGGGCGAGCGGCUUGGACCUCUUUCUUCAUGCGGUUGAGGUCUUCUGCUUGUAUGUCCUUCUCGACCUUCAACCAUAGUUCGUGGAGCGUGCGGGGAUACUUCUUGUGGAUCCCCGUAUUGAAUACCCCGGCAACGAGCCCAUGGAUAAAAGCAGCAAUGGUAACCUGCUCAUUGGGGUCAGGUAUCUGUACGCUUUCCUCAUGGAACCUCUGGACGUACGAUCGAAGUGACUCUCCUGGGUUCUGUUGCAUAUUCAGCAAGUAAGCCGAGAUCCUGGUCGUAGGUCGGAGGAGACAAACCGAUGGAGAAAUCUCUCCACUAAUUCCCCCAGGGUUGAGAUGCUCCUAGGUUCUAAACCCCAGAACCAUUUUCGAGCUAUCCCCUGGAGGAACACUGGAAAAGCUCGGCAUAUGACGGGGUCAGGGAUGCAAUAUAGGCGAAAGGCCGAGAUAAAGGCAUGGAUAUGAUUCUCGGAUCACCUCGACUGUCAUAAGAUUGUAUCGAGGGGAGUUUGAAAUUUGGAGGAAGCCUUUCCUCGUUGAUAUCAUCAGUAAAAGGAGGGGCUCUCAUGUAGUCCAUCCCGGGCCUUCCUAGGGGUCGAGGUUCCUCCUUAGGUCGUCGUCCCAAGAGCCCUCGGGAAAAUGCCUUGGAUAAGGAGGCUACCUUAGAGGUGGCCUUGGAAAAUGCCCGUUUUGAAGCGCUUCGGCUGAGGCGCCUUCCAUCAGACUCCUCUUCAGAUGAACCUUCAGGAGAUCUAUCUGACUUCCUUUUAGAAGACUCCGCCUUCUGCUUGCCUUGCCUUUUUAGGUACCUCCCUAACUCCUCGAAGAUGUUGGGGUUCUCGGUUACAAACUCAACCAUACGGGUUAUGGCUUGUUCAUUUGCGGGCUGAGUCCUUGAAGACUCCUGCCCUUCGGAAAUAUCUUCCUGUUGAGCUACAUUGCUUUGCUCAGCCCCAAUAGUGAGAGCUUUCCUGCUCCUAGAACGUGUAGGCUUCAUAUUCUAAUAUCUUCACGUUCCCACAGACGGCACCAAUUGAAGAGGUGAUUUUAGUCCCGCUGGGUGAACCUUCCGAACUGAAGAAAUGUUUUGUCUUCGGCAAGGCACUGGGACGAGGUCACCUGCUUAGGUUACAGGAGGGGCUGAAUCCCCCGAUGUAACUCCGAAACUUAAGUUAGUUCGGUAGUGAAAAAGUAAUAUAGUGGAGAAGAUCAGUAUAGUUUUACCAGAAAUUAGUCAUCCCCCUUCUCAGUAGAGGUGUUGAGUAUUUAUAGAGAAUUGAUUUGAAGAGGAACUGCUGGCACGGGUUCCGAGAGAUCUGAUAUGGAUAUUAUAUCAAAUUUGAUAUGAUAUCCCUGCGAAAAGGUGCGUCGGAACAGGUAUCAGAGUCAGGCGGCACAUGUGUCAGAACAGCUCUCCGUCAAGUGUCAGAUGUGUCAGGGGUCACAUCAUCUUUCCACAGUGGUCAAGUCGUUUGGGCAUCACCUCGGCUCACGCUCCGAAGAUCUCCGCCGAGGUGAUAAACGGGUCAGGACCACCUCACUAAAUGACGCGCCGAGGUGGCACUUCCAGUAGUCUUGCAGGGUGAGGCCCCAGCUUAUCCGGGCUGAAACGACCAUCCUCAAACUUCAAAUUCCCAAAUGUUCCAUUCUAUGAUGGAAAAGGUGAUCAUGAAGACCAAGUCCAUGCCUUCUUAUCGGCAUUCAGACUGUAUGGGAUCCCCAACGCAGCGAUGUGUCGGGCUCUUCAUCAUUUCGUUAAGACUUAGUAGUUGAGAAAUUUAAUGGCUAGUCUUCUCAUGCAUGGUAUGCACCGAUCUUUAGAAUCGGCAUAGUAUGCAAGGGCAAACGCCACCCCCAAGUUUUUGAGAAUUUUCUUUUAGCUCCUAGGAAAUUUUAUAAAUUUUCAUUAAAAAUCUCUCUCUUGCACCCGUAGAUUAUCAGUUUUCAGUGUAAUUCUAUGAUUAUGGCUUGUAUGUUUUUUUUUUCCUCUUCUAGCGCUUAGCUAUUCAAUCUUGAUAUCUGAUUACAGCUCAAAAUUUUGUUAUCACUGCCUUAUUUUAACAAAAAAUAAUAAUAAAUUUAGUGACAUGAAACACAACAAUGAAGCUGCGUAUUCAUUACUGAAUCGAAAUAUGCAUUAGUUAUUUAUUAAUAGGGUUAUUAUUACUUUACCUCUUAACAUUCGGUGUCACUAUCAAUUUCUCCUUUAACCCUUUUAGUCAUUUUACUCCCAAGACUAAUGGUCAAAUUUAACAGAGUUUGUUAAUUAAAGUGAAAAGAUACAUUUAACCCUUAAAAUUAUUAUCACUUUACUCUCAUAAACUAUAGUCUGAUUAUCAAUUUACCCCAUAGAGUUAUUUUUUAGACAAUUUAUUGCACUAUUAAACCAAUUUAGCCAGUUAAAGAACUCUAGAAGAAAGUACUCUUUUUUUUGUAUAAUAAAAAUAAAAAAAAUGUAGAAUAACUCUUCUUGUUUUUAGUAUCAAGAAAAAAAAUAUCAAAUUGUUAAUCUCUUUCUUCUUAAUAAUCUUAUUAAUAUUGAAAAGAAAAGAAAGAUGUGGAGGAGGAGGGGGAGGGAGAGAGAGAGAGAGAGAGAGCUCAAUUCUUUUUUUAAAAAAAUAAAAAUAAGAAAAAAUUACGUACUUUUAUUAUUUUAAAAUUAUUUCAUUUUUUUGUUUACUACCAAAUUUCAAUCCUGAUCUUGAUAAUCUUAAAGUAAUACGAUAAUGUUAGACUCUUCUUUAUUUUCUUUCUUUACAAAAUCUAAUUUUCUUUCUCCUUCUUUCCUAUCUCCUUUUCUUUUCCUAGCAUUAAUAAGUGUGAAAAAAGAAAUUUGAGAGAUCCUUUUAUUUUUACGUUUUUGGAUCCUUUAAAGUGAAAAAAAGGAAGAAUAACCUUUCCAACCAUUUCAUUUUUUAAUUAUAUAUAAAAAUGGUAUAUAUAUUUUAAAAAUUUUGAUCAUACUAGUUAGAUUAACGAUGAGAUAAAAUGCUUAAAAAAUAAUGUUAAGAAUUAAAGCGAUUGUAUCAUUAUAAUUUCAAGGGAUAAAAUGGUAAUAACAAUAUGAUAAUGCUAUAAAAUAAAGAGGUAUUUUCUGUCUAAAAUUUCUUAACAUGUUGAGUUGAAUUACUUAUGAAGGUGAACUGACUAAAAGAUAAUAUUACGGGGCAAACUGAUAGUAGUGGUAUAGUUUAAGAGAGUAAAGUGAUAAUAACCACUACAAGAAAUUUGGCCUUUUGUAACAACAAAAAGUCAUGACUAAAAAUCAAAAAGUCGUCAUUAUAUGAGUAUAGUGACGACUUUUUCCAUUGUCACAUUGUUUUCACUAAUUCUAUAUCACAAAUGGGUACGUGUGACAACCCUUUGAAAGUCGUUACUAAAUCUUGUUAUUUAAUGAUGAGGACAAAGUCGUCACUAAUGAUUAUCAUUCUGUGACAAAUUUUCUUGUCACUAUUUCACAUAUUUUUUGUCAUAAAUGGAGCAAAAGUAGUAACAAAUUUGAAGUCUAUAGUGAUGACUUGAACUUGUCACUAUCAGUCCUAGUAUUCAGUGACAGGAAUAAUCGUCACUUAGUGAACUUGCAUAUAGGUUGUCACUGAACUUUAUCUUAACAAACUGCAAUUGUUCAUCAUUGUCACGGUAUUUCCGACAUUAUAGCGAAACUCAAUUUGACAAAAAGGCAUGGUAAACUUGCAUGCUAGUGACAACCUUCCUUUGAAAGUUGUCACUGAGUUUUGUCUUCAAGAGUUGACAUUGACCAUUACAAAUAUAGUAUUGCCAUGGCAUUUUCAACAAUUAUAGUAAAACAUUCAAUUUGACAAAAGGCAAAAUCAACAUAAAAGAUAUGUCGCAAACUCAUAUAUAUGAUCAUAACACAUCUUUAAAUUAAUAUAAACAAAAGUGAAUCACAAAUGUUGGGUCCCAAAUCCCACAUAAUCAGUUCAAGUAAUAAUAACCAAUACAUAUACUUCCCAAGAGAUAGAGUACUAGAUUUCUAAACUAAAGCAUAUAUUACAGCACCAAUGUCAGAUUUCAGUCAUCUCUAUCAGCAUAUCCAAUAGUCUUCUCAUGAUCACUAUGAAGCUGGACUGCAUUGAAAAUAAACUAUUAAAUGCAUUAGAGUAUACUUUAAUCAGAAAAUAUGCUAUUACAACCUUACACUACUGAAUUUGAAUGAAUAAUCAACAUAUGUUGCAAACAGGUCAGUACUUUUAACAGCAUAAUCAACAUAUUCGAGUUUAUUCUGAGAACAAGUUCGAAAAGCACAACUUUUGCCAUUCCACUUUUGCAUAUUGGCCAGAAAAAAAUCACUAAUACUAUACUCUUCAAAUUCAUAUCCAACAUGACAAUUACAUGGAAACUCAAAUUGGGACUUUGUGCCAGGCAAUUUCAUUUGUUGAAAUAGAUAAAAGUGGGAUGAUUGAGAUAAUUUAAGACAAUUACAUGAUCACUUUGAACAAUUCAAAUAAAGCCACACCAAUAAUUUAUUUUUCACAGUUAUGAACACAACUACAUACAACAAAUUCCUUCUAAAAAGUUUUGCAGGAAUGUUAUAAAUUUUGUUCCAUCUCAAAAUAUAGUUGAAAAGGAUGCGGCAUCUCAUCAAGAAUUUAACUAGCCAAUGCCGCCAUGUUCAAAACUCAAAGGUGCAAAGUUUAGUAACAUUUAACUUCCAAAUUGCAUAGCCCACGACCCUUUGAAGUCCCAGGUGAUAUAUCAUGUGGAAAACAGAUAUAUCUUAUGUAGUUUUGAAAAUGCUUUCAAUCAAAAACAUCCCUUCUAGUUUAAUAGCUGCACAAGAGAACAACUAAACUAACAUUUUUCUAGCUUCAGUUCUAAACCAACCAUUUACAAAAUUUAAAUGGUUUACAAAACGAAUAGCAAAAGAUAGGGAAUCGACUCACAGUGUUGUCUUGAAUUUUCAAGAAUCUACGCAAUCUUUAGAGGAAAAGACAAUCUUCUUGCCAAGAGAAGGGCAACCGAAAAGGGCUAGCUUUUUCAAGUCGUUGUGUGACAUCCAUCUGAAAAUCCAAUUCACAAGAUUGAGAUGGAGAAGAUACAAGCUAGGAAACUCAAUACAUUGAAAAUGCUUUACUAAUCUCUGUGACGUAUAAAACUUGCACCAGAAGAAGCUAGAGCAAGAACUUAUUAGAAGGCCAAGUAAUGGUAGACUGUUUCACUCCAAAUUCAACAGAAUAUGCAACAUACAAAGAAUUACCCCGGUACUUUAGCAAUCUACUCCACUCUGUAAUAGUACAAAUAUUGAGCACAACUUAAAAAGUUACUCAUUGCUUCACAUCAAAGUACCAAAAAAAUUUUUUCCCUCAGUUACCACGUCACUUGAUAAUUUUAUUGUGUUUUUGAAUGCAAUGACUUGUUAAAAUGAAAAUAGUCAAGCAUAACUACAACUUGAGCACAAAUGGCCAUUAAAUUAUGUGAUCUUCACAUGUAGCACAUAAUUGAAUUUGCAACGAAUUGCAAUGUACCCUCAAUAUUCUUGCAACAACGUCCUUAACCACUCUACUUGAUUUCAUCUACUUGAUUUGAAAAUAAAAGCAUGAUGUCCAUCCUCUUGUUUGCUUGCUAACUCACUUCCAUUUACAGUUUUUCUCUUCUUGCUUUCUCAAAGAUUAGUUACAAACAGGACAAAAAGGAUUAAUAGCAGGGCAGUAGUAGGCAAAAGCCAAAAAAAUGAACGGACACAAGCUGGCAACCUAGCAACAAAAUUUCAUCAAAACACUUGUUGUUCACAACAAACAAGAAAAAAAAAAAGGAACAGCCACUACAAAGGGAAGAGGAAGAUGUCAGGAAAUGGAAUAGGCAACCUUCUUGUCCACAAGUUUGAAGAAAGCAAGGUUCCAUCAGAUAUCCAUUCUUAAGCAUUGUAUAACUAAUCCUAAGUUUGAGAUAAAAAGUUAGAAUCUUCUUUCUGUUCCCCUCUUAAUAGUUAAUACAUUCAAGUAAGUAACCCAAAGAAAGCAGAACAUUCAUUAGUCCAUGCCAAAAAUACCAUUCCUACAAUUGCAUUAACAUGACUACAAGCAACUCACCAGGGCAAAUUAUAAUCUAAGUACACAAGAGAAAGCAUAUUACUAGAAAAUUUAUCCGAUUAUUCUCAUAAUGAGAUUGAAGAAUUCAAAAAAUCACAUUUGAUGUCUAGAAAUCAACCACUCAAUAUUUAUAGAUUAGCGCUUCAAUAUACAAACGCAAGGAAUUCAUAGAGAAUCUAGGAUGCCAAGAACGAGCAAAUUAUAUCUUUGCCUUAUGAAAAGAAUAAAAAUCCUUACUUUGCAAUCUCCUGAUUAUCCUUUUUUUUUAUCAGUAACAAGAAGUACCAGCGUAUAAUCCAUUAAACCCAGAAAAAAGGUGCCACCAAAUAUUUUUAAGAAAUUCCUUAGAUUGAUUUGAAGACCUAGAGCAACCAAAACUGUAGAUAGAGUCUCAAUCAACUAUGUAUCUCAACAUGCAUAACUUUCAACUGCAACAUCUGAGAGCCUAAAUUGCAAAUAACAUAAUUUAGCAAAACAUGAAUCUAAGAGAAGCAUGAACUUGGUGGUGCUGAACCAUAACCUCCAGAUCCACGGCCAAAGCCAGGCCUUCCACCAGAACCCCUGAAAGCAGGCUGGUUGCAAGAGCUCCACCUUUCUCACCACCAAACUUACCAGGAGGUCCACGGGGACCAGCACGAUACCCUCCCUGUGCACCAAAUUCACUAUCCCUCGUCCAAAAAGACAACAGCAGGGGAAGAAAGAGACAGAGAACAAGAGAGGAUAUGUUCUACUUCCUGAAUUACAAAUCUACCCGUCCACUAGAGAGACUAUCUUUUCUAAGAAAUGUUUAUGCAGCCUUCUGGAAAUGCUUGGAAAGCAGCUUCACAAUCUCAGUAAAUCCAACUUUCUCCUUGCCUUCAAAUAUGGUCUUCAGCUUCUCAUCACAGUAGAUCUCUUUCUUGUUGUUUGGAUUCUGAAGGUUUUUGGAUUUGAUGUAAUCCCAGACUUUCCUGACGGCGUCAGUGCGGGAAGUUUCAGGUGCGCCAAGGAACUAGCGGAGAGCAGGAGAGACAGGCUGCUUCUUCAGGAUGCCAUUUCUGCGGCCAGAAGUUUUAGCAGCGGCGGAUCCAGAAGUGGUGGAGGCGACGGAGGUCUUAGCGGCUGCCAUAAGUGCUCUGCAGCGGUUUCCGAAAACCCCAGCGGUCGACGCCAUAGAGAGAGACCCUAGAGAGAGAAGAAAGAGUGAGAGAGUGAGGGGACUGGGAGUCUGUGAGUGAAGAAGGCAGGCAGGGUGGAGGGAAAAUAUGAGAAAAGACCAAAAACGAUGUCGUUUCUGCUUCUUUUGUUCACGCACAUGUACUUCUUCAAUUUUCAGCUUCCCGCUUCCAUUUUAGCUAAGACCAAAAAAUAACACUUUCAUCCUCUUUUGUACGGCUAAUUGAUCAAAUUAUUGUUCGAAAAAAAAUCACAACAAUAAAGUUAUUAUUUUGAGCUUUUUUACUUCACAAGUUGUAUCUGGAACUUUAUUUGUUACAUUAAAACUUUGAAAAUUUAGUGUUUUUGGAUAAUUUUUGGAAAAUUUAGUGUUUUUGGGAUUAAUUUAGUGUUUUUGAAAAUUAGUGUUUUGGAAUAUUUAGUGUCUUAUUAAUAAUAUGUUUAUGAUUCAAAAAAAUCUUUUAAUGCAAAUAUUUUUGGUAUUGAUUUAAUAAUUUUAUUAAUUAUGUACGAAAUUGUGGUCUGACAAGACCUAACAAGCUGCUAGUUGAUCAAUUAACCAAAAUAGUUUGCUAAUACAUGCAUAAAACACUAAAUGUAUUUGGUACAAAUACCGAUUUAUAAACCAUAAAUAAUGUGAUUAUUGUAAUUAAUAAUAAACUCCAUCCAUGCGAUUGUCAAGAUUUUACUUAAUUUCAUGUUGAAUUUUAUUGUUCUUUGCCAUUAUUUUCACACUAUGCUAGUCAAUAAUUUUCCAUGUGUUGUCAAGACAAUUAGAUAGGGAAUCCAUGAUAUUUUUUAACCUUAGCUAAGUUCGGUACAAGUUAUUGGCUAAGUUUGGAACAAUUAUAAAAAUAUGUAUAUAUAUUUUAUUAAAAUAUCUUUCUCAUUUUGCUAAUGAAAAACAUCAACUAAAGUGUAAAGGAUAGGGUGCCAUAAUAGAAUUAAUGAAAUCGGUUUAUCACAUACGAGACUAAAUUGUAAAAGAUAAGGUGUCAUGAUUGAGUUAAUGGAAUCAAUUUAUUACAUAUGGGGCUAAAAUGUAAAAUUUAGGGUGUCAUAAUAAGAUUAAUAAAAUUUAUUUAUCGCAUAUAAGCCACAUUGAAAAAAUUAGGGUGGCAUAGUAGAAAUAAUGAAAGUGAGUUAGGAACAAGCACUUUAAAAAUAUGUUUAUGAUUCAAAAAAAGAUAUUUUAAUGCAAAUAUUUUUUGUAUCAAUUUAAUAAUUUUAUCAAUUAUGCACGAAUUGUGGUCUGACAACACCAAACAAUUUGUUUAGUUGAUCAAAUAACCAAAAUAGUUUACUAAUACAUGCAUCAAACACUAAAUCUAUUUGAUACAUGUACUGAUUCAUAAACCAUAAACAAUUUGAUUAUUGUAAAUUGUAAUACAUAACAAACUCCAGUCAUGAAAUUGUCAAGAUUUUUACUUAAUUUCAUAUUAAAUUUUAUUAUUCUCUUCCAUUAUUUUCACACUAUGUUAAUCAGUAAUUUUCCAUAUGUUGUCAAGAGAACUAAAUAAAGAAUUCAUGAUAUUUUUUAACUUUAUAAUAAGGUAUUAGCUAUGUUUGGAAUAAUUAAAAAAUAGGUAAACAUUGUUUUUUACAAUACAUUCCUCAUUUUGCUAAUGAUAAACACAACCUAAAGUGUAAAAGCAUAGGGUGCCAUAAUAGAAUUAAUAAAACUUUUCUUUAUCACAUACGAGGCUAAAUUGCAAAAGAUAAGGUGUCAUGGUAGAGUUAAUGAGAUUAGUUUACCAAAUACGGGGCUAAAGUGUAAAAGUUCGGGUGUCAUAACAUAAUUAAUUAAAUUUACUUGUAGCGUAUGGGCCAUAUAGAAAAAAUUAGGAUGGUAUAUGGAGUUAAAAUGUAAAAGUUAGGGUGUCAUAAUAGAAUUAAUAAAAUUUAUUUACAACACAUGGGCCAUAUUGAAAAAAUUAAGGUGGUAUAUGGGGUCAAAAUGUAAAAGUUAGGUGUCAUAGUAGAAUUAAUAAAAUUUAUUUACAACACAUGGGCCAUAUUGAAAAAAUUAAGGUGGUAUAUGGGGUUAAAAUGUAAAAGUUAGGGUGUCAUAGAAAAAUUAAUAAAAUUUAUUUACAAAACAUGGGUCAUAUUGAAAAAAUUAAGGUGGUAUAUGUGGUCAAAAUGUAAAAGUUAGGGUGUCAUAGUAGAAUUAAUAAAACUUAUUUACAACAUAUGGGCUAUAUUGAAAAUAUUAGGAUGACAUAGUAGAAUUAGUGAAAGUGAGAUGGGAAUAAAUGCUUUGGACAGUGACGACUAGUUGUUGUCACUAAUUUAGAACUGGCAACCAUAUUGUGACGAUAUUUUAAGUUGUCACUGUAGGACAAGUUUCAGUGACAACAUGUUUUCCAGUUGUGACAAUGGUGAUCUCCCGCCACACUGGAUAGUUGCGCGCCUUCCAUAUUGUAACGACUUAUCCCGUGUUGUCACUGUUGAUGGGUGAACCCACGAUCAAGUAUGACGACAUUAAAAGUCAUUCCUAAAGUUUCAAUUGUGACAACUUUCUCUCUUGUCGCAGAGAAUGUUGUCACAAAAGGCCAAAUUUCUUGUAGUGAACCCAUAUUAAUAUGACUACUCAUUUCUCUAUUCUUCUCAUUCAUACAAUCUUAAGGGCAAAAAGUUGACCAUUCUCAAAUCUCAAACUCUGAAAAGCAAUCAUAUUUGAUCAGGAUGUAAAUUGAAAAUACCCAUAUACAUACUAUUGCUAAGAUGUGUGAUAUUUGCACUCUUAUAUUAGCCUCUCAUAUUGAAAUUCACCUACUGAAUAAAAGGCCAUCUAUGAGUGUGAGUGGCAAAUUUGGGAGUGGAAAUAUCACUUUUUUGUGUCUAAUUAGAUGCACGUAUUGGUUUUAUAUGUUUAAGGAGAAAACUUUUGAAUAUAUACAAAAUUAAUUAUUAGAUUCAACUUCACAUAUAAAAGAUCCCAUGUAUUUAGGACCAAGUACAUAAAUUUGAAAUUUGGCAGACAAAAAAUUGAAAUAAUUAAUUAUUGAAUAGAUCACAUGUAUUUAGUUUUGAAAAAAAUUUUCUUGGCAUAGUAAAUAGAAUUUUGAAUAAAUCAACAUGUAAUGCUAAUGCAAUUAAUAACAAGUUGAACUUCACAGAUUAACAACAAAAUAGCAAGGUCAAAAAUAUUUAAAGAGGAAAACUUUAAAUUUUUGAUAAAACAAAAGUUAGGUGUACAAUUCAAUUUCAUUAAAUCUAAUGAAGCAUAAUAAAGAUCUUCAAUGAAAAUUUUUGAAAUUUCAUAGGGACUAAAAACAAUCAAAAACUUGGCUGUCCCCGCAGCUUCCCGACGCCCCUGAAAAAUUGGCCACAUGCAUGGUUUAUUGCCCCGCUCAAAACGAAUGAUUGGCAUUCUGAAAGAUUAUUUUGCUGAUGUCCAUGAAAAGAUUUAUGUGACAUCCUAUAAAACUGAUGGGGACAAAUAUUCAAAGAAUUUAUUGUAAUUAUUAUUAUUAGAAUAGGAAAGAAGAAUCUCUUAUCCAUCUGUCCCCUCCUCUUUGUCUGCAUUGAACAAUGUUCUGUAGUAUAAGCAGGAAUGAUUGUACAAUUUAAACUAGUAAAGCUAAAAUCAACCAAACAACUGAACCACUAACAAUACUUAAAAAGGAAACCACCAGCAUUUGGGCUGGUGGCCACCACCUAACUUGGUGAGGUGGGUGUGUUGUGCACCUUUUUGAUUCGGUGAUGGUUCAGUCCUUUCCGAAUUAUUUCUUGGCCUCCUUAGGUUCGCCCCCCUCCCCCUUAGUGUAGGAUAGAUUAGGUUAUACAAAGUUGUCGUAUCCGCCAAAAAAAAAAAGAAAACUAACAAUACUUAAAAAUGAAACCAGGUACCAUUACAUCUUUGUAAUAGUAGAUUGACAUAUAUAAUUUGAUAUCAAAGUAGAGAACAAACUAAACAAGGAUUUAUUUAAUUAUGGCAACAUAAUGGAUAGAACUCCCAAGCUGCAGAAGACAUACGUAAAAACCAUCAGAGCAACAAACAUAGAUCACUUGGGAGGCGUUAACAUGUUUCUGUACUAUAUUUAGUGCUUCGGAACCCAGACAAUGUGAUCCUCAGGAAGGAAAUGGCAGAUUGGAACAGUUCCUGGCUUCACCUUCAGCAGCUGAAAAGCCAAAUGCCUUGGGUUCCAUGCUGACGUAUCCCGGUGACAAACAGCUACAGCCUUGACUUUUGCUCCAUCGGCACCAACUAAAUUAACCAUAUAUGCAUCUGUAUUCUGUGUGGUGUGGCAGUAGAAAACUGCGUAGAAAUAGUUUUGCCUGUGGCAAGAAACUAUUUCUUUAUCGUUGUUGUUCAACUUGGAAACAGACACAAUACCAUAUUUCUGGACUUCUGGAUCUGUUUUCUGUGCUUCGUUAGAAAUUGCUAGAACAUCUUUGCCCAGCUUUGAAGUAGUGAAAUCAACCAUUGAUUCGAGAGAAGUCGCACAAUACUUGUCUUCUCCUUUCAUUGCGGGCACCUCGCAUUCUGCUAUCGUUUCCUUAAUAAUUCUAGCAUCUUGUGAUUGUGGAUUCAGUGAGUAUUUGUUCAAAAUUUCAGGAACAGAUUUUGAUGAGAAGGGAAUCGAAUUAGCAACCUGGCGGGGCAGGAAAGCCGUAGGACUUUUCACUGAUUCAACAAACUUCAUAUUCAUGCUUGAGCCGCGAUUGAGGUCCAUUUUCAAGAAAAAGACUUUCACUUUUGGGUCAAUAUGGAGCUCAUCUUCAGUAGGAUUUCCACAAUAAUGUUUGAAACUACAGCUGUCAUCAUAUGUUUUCAACCUGAAAUUGCCCCUUUCCGGCCACUUCCCUGUAUUUAUUGGAUGAGCAACAAAUUAGUACAACAUAUAAAUCCGGCCAGCUUUUAUUUCUGGUAAUGGACUACAAUGUCCCUGCGCAAAUUCUUCCAGCAAUAUCCCCCUUUUUAAGAUCCUUGUCAUAUGCUUGCUCAUGAUUAAUGGAAGAGUAAAAUUAUUAAAAGAAAAGCAUGUUAGAUCUUUUUCUUUUCUUUUUUUUUUAACACGGUACAAGAAAACCCCUGUAAUUAUUGAAGUACUUUUUCUUUUUGUUUUGUUUUAAGUGAAACUAGAAGUUUUCUAUUACAAUUUCUCCUUUUUUUUUUAAGGUUUUGAACUUGAUGAGUGUCUUUCAAUUCCCCCAGAAUCCAAGGGAAACAAACAAAGACGCAACUCGAGCAAUAGAAGCACAGUAAACGGUAGAUGUAGGAAAGGACCAUUUCUGAGACAAACCAUCUUUUAGCAGGUCUCUAACAGCUUUGGGCAUAGGAAUGUUUGGAAGCUCGGAUUUCCAGUAAGCUUCAAGAUCUGCAUGGUUUGCCCCAACUCCUAGCUGAAAUAUAUUUCACAAUACGGAAAAAGAGUUAUGCAGUCAGUUUGCACACUAUCCAAAGUGCGAGCAAAUUAUCUAUCUAAAAAUUAACGUAGCUUAACUUUUUCAGUAAUGUACACUCACAAAAAGAAAAGAGAGAAAGUAGAGAAGCUUCAGAAAUUCCAUAAUAGUUUAUGCGCACGAGCCACGGUAGGCUGCUAGUAUGCAAGACGGAGUGAAGAUAGUAAUAAAAGCCAAUAUAUUUGAGCGAGAUGGCACAAGAAACUGGGCAGCUUUAUUUAUAAGCGGAAGAGCCAAGUGCGAUUGCCAAUUGUUUGAGAGGGGGACAGUUUUGAUAUGGUGGCUGUACGGCACCAAUCAAGUUUUGACAUUGUUACUCUAAACAUGCACCUUAUCUACGAGUAGGCUUCUUGAGGGACAGUGAAGAUAAUACUGAAGGCAAAAAUACAUAAUUGAGAUUUCACAGGAAAUUGGCCGCAUUUUAGAUAAAUGAACUUAAUCAUCACCUACAAUUAAAUGUGUGACUAAGAAAACCGUCAUCUGUACCUUGAUUGUCACCAAGAAAACUGUCAUAUGUACUUUUAUUGUUACCAAAAAUCCGAUUGGUGAAAAUACUACCAACUUAUAACAUUGAGAAUUGAGUAUCUAGUAGUAUACCUAAAAAAGAAAAAAAAAUUCCAUUUGAGAACCCUAAGAACAUAAUACUAAUAUCUCCAAAGCUCAUCAAAAUUCAGCAUAAUCAUGCCACAUGUAAAAGUGGGUACAUGAUAUACAUGGAUGAGGAAAUUGUGGGCUAAUGUGGAGUGAUAGGUGCCGAACCUGUGCAAUAAUAAAUCACUACUUGAGAGAAAUACAAAUUUUGCAUAUAGUGACGAGUAGAGUCGAAUCCACAGGGACUGGAGAUAAUUCGUUUCUUUUAGAAUUCAAAGUAUGGAGGUUUUCAGGAUUAAAUGCUAACUAAUUAAAUGCAAAAAAUAAUUAAUUAAAAGAAAUAAUUAGAGAAACUCUAGCCAAGGAUACACUUCAGAAAUGGUUCAUGUACUGAUCAUCGAUUCACAGAUAAUUCCAAUAUUUAUUAAUAGAUUAGUUAUAGUUGUCAUGCACGCGAUAAACAACCAACCUUUCCUUAAUUUCUCGAUAGUUAAGGUACGACCGUUAACUAUUUCUCUAACUCGGAAACAACCUUAGGUACGACCGUAGGAUUUAAUUUCUAGAUUGCAUUAAUAAUUAGAAAAGUCCAAUCCUAACUAACAAACACGCUACGAGGGUUUGUUUAAACUAGAUCGUAUGUUCCCCUGACAUAAACCCAAUUACGCCAGUUGCUACUGGGAUGGAGAUAAUCGAACAAUUACGGAUUCAACUACCCCUAAUUAGCAAAUAGCCUACGUGAAUAAUUAAAUAUUGCGCACCUAUUCAAUCAUACACGAUAGCUAUACCAACAAUUAAAAGCAGAAAACAUAUAAAUGCCAAUAAAUGAAGGAAAUAAUUAAAAUAAUUUAGAUCUCACAGUAAUUGCCGAACCAAAUCUUCAGUUGUCCUUUGACUAGAAUUAAGAAGCUAGUUCUCCAUUAAUAGAGAACCAGCCGUGCGAAAAUAAAACAAUCGGAGCUUUCUAAUGUUUUCAGAUGGGAAAAGGAAACUAAACCUGAGCCCCCCAAUUACACGUGAAUCUGGCCCUUUUAUAUCUUCAGUAGCCGCCGCCCCCGAGAAAACUAACGUCUGACCUUAAAAAGCAAAAGCUAAGCUAAUGACUAAAUGCCCCUCCCGUAAAUCUGGCUUUUUUCCUCCUUUAUAGCGCCACCAGGAGCCAAGAAAACGUUUGACCCAAUUAACGAAACCAAAGCUAAUCUUUUGGAGUUUUAAUCCCAUGUUUCUCGCGGUUCACGUGGACCCAACCUUCUAAUUGCCCACUUUUGUUGCUACCAAGCCCGCGGGUCCGGCCUUUAGGUGAGUCUCCUCAGUUUCUGGCGUGGGCACGCUCUGACAUGAAGGGUCUUCUGGAAAUUUGCCUCAAGAGAUUACUUUUAACACCAACCACCUACAAUUCACACAAAUAUCAAAUAUGAGCAAAAUCUCAAUACGUAGCACAGUAAGUAGCCAAAAUUGGGACAAAAUAACAGUGCAAAAUGUGCCCAAUAAUUGCUCUAUCAAAUCCCUCCACACCUAGACAAUGCUUGCCCUCAAGCAUUUCAAAGCUCAGAAAUACAAUCAAGAAAACAUAGGUCCUGCAGUAAUCUACACUAACACAAGCAUCCCACAUUCUUGACAAUGCCGCCAAAAUUAGAAUACACUGGAUAGGUGGUGAUCCGAAGAAUAUAAGCAGUAAUACUCGUCACCUUCAAGAAAAUGUAUGAAUACUAGGAACGCUCAAAUCAACAUUAGGAAAUGACAUUACCAUAGGCUUGCACAUUUAUCACAUCUCCACCACUGAAAAGUGAACUAAAUAUACAAAUCAAAGGGACUUUAAUAGGGUUGUAAUAGGGCUUAGGUAAAAGGCGGGAUAAGAAGGUAAAAAUAGGGUAUAAUAUGUCAAGAGAAUGUCUGAUAUCCACCACAUCACCACAACGCUUCAUCAGAGAAAUUUCACGAGCAAGGCAUUUUCAUUUGCCAUUUCCACUGUGCAAGUGUCAAAACUCUUCUCCUGUUCUCUUUUUUUUUUUUUUUGAACAAGCGGCUCACAAGGCGUGGGCACGUCUUGUAGGCCGGAGUCUUCUGCUCACGAGCUUUUUUUUUUUUUUAACGGAGCAGAUGUCUUGCAAGGCGUGGGCACGCCUUGUAGGCUGGAGUCUUCUGCCCACCAGCUCAUUGCCGACUUCUCCCCCUUCCCUUUUUUUCUUUUUAUCUCAGAUACACAGAGCACCGUACAACUUCUAUUCCGACAACACUCGCUACCUUAGAUUCAUUUGCCUUGCACAAACAACGGAAUUCAGACAUUUCUUGACGACACAAGGUUAAACAAGAAAGUCUAAAAAGGUCAUGGGUUAUCAAACACGGCUAAUCAAAUAAUAGUGAAGGAUAAAAGCUCAAAUAGGUUCACUACGGGGAGACAAGAUGAAGGGCAUGGUUUGUAGAAAGUUAAAGAAGGUUAAAUCCUAAAUGCCCUUAUCAUUUGAAAUGCAUCCAGUUCAACAAAAUGUGGUCUUGACAUGUACAAAAUAGCAAGUUCUAGAAUGCCAAUACCAUGUGUGAUACCCACUCAAUCAAACAAGAAUAGAGCGAACAAGGAUAAUGUGCUCAUACAAGGCCCAAAAGCUCCCAAAAGUUUCAAGAAUGAGUCAAGUCCAGCAUAUUCAAUAUUCAACACUAUUGUCAAGGAAAAACAAAAUGUAUAACUAGUAUGUAUAACCACAUAUCCGUGCACCUUGAUUGUGCAAUCCAUCAUAGCAACAUGCUCUAGCAGUUAACAAAUGUAGGACUAGAGAAGUCAACUAACUACACUUUUUUUCUUUUUUUUCUUCAUUUUCCUCUUCAUUUUUUUCUUUUUUUUUUGUGUUUCUUUUUUUUUUUUCUUAAAAGCAAAGCAAAAGGAGAUAAUAAUGGAAGUCAUCCCUGUAGACACCAAAUUUUGGUGUAAUUUCAUUUGCUGUUUAUUUUUAAUUUUUUCAUUUUAGUUUUAUUCGAUUUUUAGUUUUAGUUUCUAGUUUUAUUUUUAUUUUUAAGCUGUUAGCAUAGAAUCUCUUGGAAAAUGAAUGAAAAUGAGAAAGUGAAAAGAAAAGAGGAGAGAAAAGAAAAAAAAAGAAAAUUGCCCACAAAAUAUGUUUUAUGUCUUCUAAAUUCAAUCUUUUGGCAUUUUGUUUAUUUUUGUUAAGUUAUUUUGAAAAAAAAAAAGAAAAAAAAAAGAGAAAAACGAUGAAAAUAGGAAAUGGAAAAGAAAUGGAAAUUGCACUUUAUUGUUCUAGUUUAUUUUUCAUCAAAUGUUAAUUAUUUUGUUUUGGUUAUUUUUUUUUAUUAUUAUCAAUUUUGUUUGUUUCAAAAAAAAAAUCAAAAAAUCAAAAAAUCACAAUUCUAUUUCUGCCGAAUCCAUUUCCAUUUUACAUUCCAGCACCUUCCAUCUCUAUGCCGACUUAUAACCACUAAUGCACUCCACUAUAUCACACACUAGUAUAUCAACUACCAUCCACCACAAUAUAUUUCUUUUCAAUGGCUUUUCAGCCGUGAGUGAGCAAGGCUUCCUGGGCCAACUUUAAAACAAAAACAUCUCCAAUUCUGCCGGAUGACAUCUGAGUCUCCACUCACACCCCAUUUCCCUUCAUUCGUGACUUGUUUCCCAUUUGAGCAACUCCAACAUUCCAAAACACUUCCUCUCCAGCCUCUGCCUUGGGACCAUCGACAGAAAGUGCGAGAGAGAGAGAGCGGCAACCGUUCAUCCGAGAGGGAAGAAAAGGAUCCGCGAGCGGCAAAAAUUUUUCUGGUUCCGUCCGUGAGUUGAAGUAAGACAGAGAGAAGCUGUGAGCGAGCUUCACCCUUCUGCACUUCUGUUCUACCAGCUGCAAUCAAGUUUCCAGCCGCAACAACCACCAUCUCCACCGACAACCACAGCCACACCAACCCAAAACAGAAAACCUGUCGCGUGCUUGUGAGCCGAGAGGAGGAAAACAUUUUCCAGAUUUUCGUGUGAAAGCUUGACUAGUUGUGAGUUAUUCUUUAAUGGGGUAUGUGUACACCUCUUGGCUUGUAAUAGAUAGAGCUUUGGCGAGCAAUUUGGUCCAUUUUCCCCUUCCCCUUUUGUUUUAAUUAGUGAAUGUAAUAAGUUCAUUAGUUUGGUUGCAUGCCUUUGUGUUACGUGUUACUUGCUUUAUUAGGUUUUGCAUCUAGUCGAGCAUGUUAAGUGUUACGUGCUACGUGUUUAUGGGCGUUUGGCAUGUCUACUAGCUUUCUGUAGUGUAGAUGAAUGGAAUGGAUGAAUGUACGUUUCCACUAGUCCGACGCUAGUCGGAAUUCAUAGAAUGGGCUAGUCCAACGCUAGACCCUUAGGGAUUUCCCCUCAUUAGCAUAAUCAUUUGCUUGUUCACCACAUAUCAUGCAUUUUUCUUAGUUUUAUCACUUGGCAUGCUCCUCGAACCCCCUUUCCCUUCAUUUUAGGAUUUUUGCAUAUCAUGAUAGUUGUAGGGUCCAUUUGCUUGAGGGUCCCUUUCUGAUAAGGGAAACGAGCGAGUGUGGCUACUCGAUAGCCUUAGCACACUAGUUUUGCCUUCUAAUCAAAGGGAAAAUCGAAGUCGACAAGUUAGGAGUCAUUCCCAUACCCGACCUGAUGCAUUCCCUUAGGUUCAUUCAUUCUCAUUUAUCACUCACUCAUUCUUUUCAAUUCACAUUUCCUUUCCUUAUUGUUCAUUUUGAUUUCUACUUCACGAAAUUGCAUUUAAUUACACCUAUAUGCACUUAUCACUAUAUUUCAUACACUUGCACACAAAUACUUGGAAUUUUCAUACAAUUGCACACGUGCACCUUUUCAUACACUUGCACACAAACACUUGGAUUUUUAAAUUUCUUUUCAUACACUUCCACACUUGCACAUUUGAGUCUCAUUUGCAUUAAUCGACCUCUAUGGGGUUUUCCUUUGUUGGCCGCCACAAUUCAUGUGGUUUGGGAUCAAAAGCCUCACGAGAGACAUCGUAGAAUUUAGGAUUGCAUUUUUCUCUCCGUUUUGCAUUCAUAUAGUCAUAUCCAACGUGCGAACAUAUAUUGGGUAGAAAAUUAGGAAAGGUAAGGUUAAGUCGCGCAACUAGCCUUGGCUAGGUCAAAGGGGUGCCUUGGAUUCUAUCCUUGCCUUCCCCUUUGUCAAACGUGACCCCCGAACCUUUUUCUUUGGCUUACGUGGACUAGGAGUCGUUUUAAAAAGGGUUUUACUACUUUGUCUUUAAAAAACACUUUUUGGGUGACUUGGUACACCCCAAAUCUAUACCAAGUGGCGACUCCGUUUUCAUAUUUAAAAAACCCUUUUUAAAAUUUCAAUUGGCCAAAUCGUCGCUUUCCAAAGUCCCAUGGCCUUUUUACCUUUCAUUUUGCACACGUUCACACCACACUUCACACACACAUCACUCACACAAUUCACACAUUCAAAAGUGGGGCGCGACAAUCCCCCCACACCUAAUACCUACAUUGUUCUCAAUGUAGAAAAGAUGAAUGAAGUAUAAGGAGAAAAUGAGAGAAACUUCCCUGACCACCGAGAGGGUGCAGCGAGACACUAAGGCGGAGAAGGGUGGGGUGGCUAGAAUCCAAUGUGAGCAAAGAAAGCCGUCUGAUGAGAGAGAUAGUGAUGGUGGGACGGGCAGCAGCGUGCGAUGGAUGGCGCGAGGGGGAGAGAGAGAGUUUCUAGCGGCAGUGGACAAGGGGGAAACCUUGGACUAAGACAAAACAAAGAAAAUUGAAAAGUAGAAGCUGAGACAAUGGAAAUUGAUAAAACCAUACAAGACAAGAAAAGAGAAAAGUAGAAAGUGGGAUUAGAGAGGGUCCUGGUCAAUCUUUGACUUUUGUUGGCGCAAAGGCUGGAAGGCGUGGGCGCGCCUUGGAAGCUAUAGUCUUCUGACCGUCAAUUCCAAAGCUUCAUUCCUUAGGCGUGACCAACUAAAGUGGGCAUGUCUAACUGCUAGCUUCCUGCCACAAAACAACAACCCACUAAAUGACACUAAUACUUAACAAAAAUUUCGAAAAUAUAACAAAACUAAAACAAAAGAAGCCUUGGGUUGCCUCCCAAGCAGCGCCUUUCUUUAAUGUCUUUGGUUAGACAUCGUCAUGUUUAUUCACGGAGGAUAAAAUCGUGUAGCUCGUUUCAGUACUUCAUCUUCUAUGUAUCCUUGAUAUCCCUCGUAAAUAGAGUAAUUCUUGAGCACACGAGGUAUGGUCUUCCAUGGAUUAGUAGAUGCCUCUAAACAAGUCGAUAAGAAUCUUAGUUCUUCACUUACUCCUCCAUUACGAACACUUAAUGGUUCGAGAUAUUUUUCCAUUGCAACUCUUAACUUAUUCCUGUCAUGAAACUCAAAAUUAUCUGGCAUAAUAAAAUCUAUUUCACUAACAGGAUUUAAAGAAUAAGAGUUCGAAAAAUAUUGACUAAGGAAUGGAGGAAAUGUCACCGCAUUUAGGGAUUGUUCACUGAAUUCAUUCACUUGAACAAUUUGGUAUUGGGAUCCUAUUUCUUCCACUUCAAUUCUCUUCUCAACUGCAUCUUUUGCUUCUUCUUCUUGAGACUCUUGCAGCUCUAUGUCAUUUGUCAGGAUAAUUGCACUCUUGACGGGUAUUUUACAUACGUGCAAGCUAAAAAAUACCGAAUUACACCCGUUCACUGCAAGUAUACAGAUCAACUAGUAGUUUAGGGUAUAUAUCGGGUCGAUUCCACAGGGAAGAGUGAACAAUUACCGGUAUUGCUAAAGCUUCUCUAUUAUUUAGACUAUCAAUAAAUUAUAACAAGUAAAACCUACUGAACUUAUGCAAGAAAAUAACAAAUGAAAGCUCCUUAGGUUGUGGUAUCCCUAACUACUCAUGCAAGUGCUAUUUUUUGAUCAUUGAGUACUACAUCUAAGCUAGUUAUGGUGUAAUUUCCUUAUGCAUUUGAAUCCUACUUUCGUAGUGAAUCAAUUAUACUCAUAACUAAUCCAUACCUAUUCUCAUGGUUAUGAAAUUAGUUACAAGUUCAUUUCUUCAAUGAAAUUACAUAAAAUUAAUCACCAAAACCCCAUAGGUGCACCUCUACUCUCGUGAGUGUACUCCCCAUGUUUAGCACUUAUUGAACUAAUAUUAAAUCUCAAUUUUCAUUGCAGAAAUAACACCUUAGAUAAUCACAAUUAAUGGUACCAGAUUAAUCAUGAUUUAAAGAGCUAAAGUGCUAAAUAACUUGCUCAAAUUAUGGCAGUCAAUUAGCCAAAUAAUAAAUACUAACAAUCAUAGAAAGUUCAACCAAACCCAAGGUAUAAACUUUAAAGACACAUAUUAAAUAUAAAAUCCAGAACUUGCAUAAUAACCAUAGUUAAGAAUCCAAUACAAAAGAUAAAGAAUUGGAGUAGAGAUAACCCAUGUCACUUGAGCUUCAACUCCUCCUUCUUCAUCUCCAUCUUCAUCCUAAUCUACCUAUUAUACAAGAAUGGAUUAACUACACUUACUACACUAUAUAUCCUACACUAAGGAAAUGGAAGAACUACAUUUCUGCACUUCAAGCUCUCUCCCGUAUGUUUUUUUUUUGUCUUCCCAAGUGUCUCUGCAUAUAAGCUGAUGAAAAUCUCCUUUCUAGUCCAAAAUUUCUGCUCUAAUGAUUCUCAAUUCUCCAUUUGUUAAGGAAGUCAAAAACAAUGACUUUUGACUUGGAAUAAGCCAUAUUGUAUGCUCUUUUUGUCUUCUGAAGCAUGUGCACCGAAUUCACUUGCAACUUAUAGCUGGAAAGUAGUCUGAACACAAGAGAAUUGACUGAACAAAUUGCAGAAUUUCGGCCAGAAAACGCGCCUACACAAAACGCGGUUACAAGUCACGUUUUGUGUACUCGCGUAUUCACUUUGGCCUUACUUCAUCUGUGAUUUUCUCUAUCAUAAAGGCCUAACUGGCUUUUGUACAAAACACAAAAGUUGUAGCCCUUUGAGUUAGCUUUUCAAUGCUUCAAGAAUCAUCCAAAUCGGAGCUUUGUAGCCUGAGAUAUGAUCAUAAUACUAAACACUGGUCAGAGCUCUGUUUUCCACUUUGGACAGCUGAGUUGAAUUUCGGUAUUUCAACUUUUGGGCUAUGAAAACGGCUGAAUUGGACUUUGAUGUUUUCAUACCAAAUUUAGAUCUCUUUCUUAGCUUUAAAUUGGUAUAAAGAUCACCUCAAUCUGAUCAAUGUAGCUCCAGAUAUAGUCGAAAUACUGAAGAGUGUCAAAACUGUCUUGACUUGCAUUUCCUUACUUAAACGUUUUUCACUUCAUUUUUCUUUUUACCACUUUGAAUUCAUCACCAAAUCUCUAUUUUUCACUUCAAUUGGCAUCCUUUGGUGGUUGAAUCAUCAUUCCUGCAUAAAAAUGAAGUUUUUACUAUUAAAAUCAAUAGAAAUGCAAUAUUAGCCACUUUUACCAAAAAUGUAUAUUUUUACCAAAACCUUAGUUAUUUUAAUUAUAAAACUAAAUAAUCAAACCAAAUUAACUAAUAAAAUGCACUUAAAAAUACGUAAAAUAAAUCCUUAUCAAAUACCCCCACACUUGAAUCAUUGCUUGUCCUCAAGCAAUAAAAAAAAUACAAACCAACAAUGAUCCAAAAUUUGAAAAUAAACAUAUGUAGCAUUUCAACUUCAUUUCCUAAAAACAAAGUAAAUAACCAUUAUGCAAUUAUUCAAUUAAGUUCAAGUACUCAUAAUAUCAAGUAAAGGAGAGCCAAUUAUACCGUAAUUAUAACAAGUUUAAUUCAAUUUCUCAUUCUUACUUAAUUUCAUACGCAAGUAACUCAUAUGGUCAAUAAUAUGCUUCCUAAACUCAUGAUCUUUUUUUUAUUCAAAUUUAAAAAGGGAUUUAUUUAUAUAAUAUAGCUAAAUAUUACUUAAGUUGUGAAAGUAUCUUUUUACGCGAGGAUCGACAUUUUUAGAUGAAGAUCACCGGUUACUCAAUACUUCACAUACUCAAGUUGUUUUGCAUACUCUUAAUUCAAGUACCGUUUUACGUGAAAGUCGACAUUUUUAGAUGAAGACUCCCGGUUACUAAGUACGAGAAUCAUUGGAGUAGAAUAAAUCUUAUUCAUUUUUUUUUCUUUUUUCAUUUUUUCUUUUCAUUAUUUUUCAUUUUUCUCUCUUUUUUUUUUUAGUAAAAAUAAUAAACAUUCCCUCAAUUGAUUAAUCAUGAGAGGAGUGUUGCAAUUACUGACCAUAUUUAUCACUUAACUUAUAAAAUCAAAUGAAGCGAAGAAAUUUCAUCAAAUAUGCAAAAAAAUAUAGGCAUAAUUUUCUCCACUUUAAAAGAUAUACUUUUUUACAAAUGCAAAAAUUAUAAUCACAUAAUAGUCAUUUCCAAGUUAAAUGAGAAAAGAAGUGCUUAAAUCACAUAUAUUUAUUUCAAAUGUAGAAGGAAUUUGAACUACUAAUGGUAUGGAACUUGUUACCCCUUGGAUAAAAUCGAAAAAACUUUAAACAUUUUUGGGGCAAGUUUGCAAUUUCGGACAAGAUUUUAGAAAAAUUGUGAAUUUUAACACAAGUCUCAUAUUUGCAACUAAUAAGUCAAUCACAUACAAUGUAUAUAAUCUCAAUUCUCCCCCCACACUUAACAUACACAUUGUCCUCAAUGUGUAAAAAGGAAAAUCAAGAUAAAGAAAGUAAUACUCCCCUAUGAUGUGAUUGAAUAUGAAGUAUCAAGGUACGUUGUUCACCUGUCUUCAUCGCUUCAUGAAUUCCAUUUGGUAACCAUUAGUGAUAUAAACUUAAAAAUGGAAAUUGAGAAACAAAAGUGAUAACAAAGGCUUAAGAAAACAAAAUGGCGAUCCGUAACUUCAAGUCUUUGUUUUGGUGAUGUACCUAUAUAAAAUACACAAUAAACUAUGCAAGGUAUAAUAAAAUACAUGAGGCAAAGAAAAAGAAUGCGCAAGAAUGUCAUGUUUCCUUCAUUCUGGGGCAGAAUUGAAAACGUUGCUUACGUUUUCAAAACGUGGCAUAAAACGUGGCUCGAUGGAGCGUUUUCAAAACGUGGCUCGAUGGAGCGUUUUCUGCCACAUUUUCUGUUGCAAAUUUUUGCAGAAAUGCCAACUUUGAAAAAUUACACAUCUUUCUCCAAUUACUCAAAAUGCAUCAUAGAUCAUUAUUUCGACAAAAUUAUCAAUGCACGCACAUGUAAAAUGAUCAAAACAUGCAUUCUAAACCUCUUUAAUGCAUCAAAAACCAUAAUUACUGAAUUUGAGGUGUUGAGAUCUUUGAUCAAACUUCGCAUUUUUCACCUCAUUUGGUCACUUUUGCAUCUUUUUCCAAAACCUACAAAUGAAAAAUAACAAAAUAACUCAAACUCAUACUUUAAACAUAAAAUCACUCCAAAGUAACACGAACUUAAACAAAUAUUGGGUUGCCUCCCAAUAAGCGCUUCUUUAAAGUCAAUAGCUUGACUAUUUCACCUCAUUUUUCAAGGAGGUUUAGUUAACGAAUAAUCCACCAUUUUUGGCCUUGGUGGAUCAUUGUAAGGUGACUUAAUAGAAAAAGUCACAUGAUCUAAUAAUCUGAGAGAUGGAAGUGACUUAUAUAUUCCAAAUGUUUCAUAGAUAUUACCUUGAAUAUGCACCACUUGAGAACUUACCAAAGGAAAUGUCAUGAGAGUAUCUUGGGCAGGAAUACCUUUAGAACCUAUACUUUCAAUGCACUCCUCAAGAGGGGUGAAAAACGAGUCGUUAAAACUCUCUUCUUGAGGUUCAAAGUUAGUUCCAAAGAUAUUAUCAUGUGAAAUGGAUAUUUGCUCAUUGAAACACAAUUGAGAUUCAUCAUUUUCAUUAAAAUGCAACCCAUUUUCACAUACAACAUUCCCACCAUUCAUGCUAGGAUCAUUUUGCAAAUUAUUAGAGGAAAUAACUUCACACAAUGCAUUCAAUUGCUCAAGUAUUCUACCAAAGUGAGAAGCGUAUUCAUCUAUUCUUUCCUCAAUCCUAUCAAAACGGUCGAAAGUUGCAUUUGCUAGCUUUUCUAUUGCUGAAUCAAAUUGAUUAGAAAAAUUUUCUACAGCUAGCUCCCAAGAUGCAUUAGAAUCAUUAGCUAAUGGUUCACUUUCUAACUCCCAAGGCAGAGGUGCAUUAGCUAACUUCUCUAUUGCCAACUCCCAAGAUGGUUUUGAUUCAUAUUGGACACUUCCAGGUUGGUAAUCAUAAAAACAUGAAUAAUCACUAUAAGUACAUUGAUCAUCCCAACCAUAAGCAGGAGAAUUGCUCCAAUUAGCACUAUAUUGAUCAAAAUAGGGAUUGUAAUGCUCUAAUUCAUCAUAAUAAUCCACAUUUUGUGCUUGUCUACAUGUAUUAGAAGCAUGAUAACCUCCACACAAGUCACAAAUCCAAUGAUAAGAAUUAAAAGCAUUAGCAUUCCUCCCUUGCUUAAUUUCAUGCAUAAUUGUGUCCAUUUGAACUUGUAACAUCAUAACAUCAAAUUUAGCCUUUAAGCACCUUAAACCAUCUUCAAAAGACAUACAUUCAGUAAAUUCUUGGUUACCUCUAUUGAAGGAGCUUUGCACUUGGUAACCAUCCAUUGCCAAUCUUCCACUUCUCAAACUUUGUCCUCCAAAUUGACCUACCCUUCUCAUUACCUAAAAUUGCUUUUAAACAACCUCAAAAGCAAAAUUAGUAAGAAAAAUAGGUAAUGAAACACAUACACAUAAAAUACAAAAAAUAACAGAAAAUAACAUUCAUAUUAUAACUAAUAUUAUGUCUAAACUAAUAAAGUUGCUCUUCACACCGAUAUUGCCAAAUCAUCCCCGGCAACGGUGCCAAAAACUUGACGGGUAUUUUACAUACGUGCAAGCUAAAAAAUACCGAAUUGCACCCGUUCACUGCAAGUAUACAGAUCAACUAGUAGUUUAGGGUAUAUAUCGGGUCGAUCCCACAGGGAAGAGUGAACAAUUACCGGUAUUACUAAAGCUUCUCUAUUAUUUAGACUAUCAAUAAAUUAUAACAAGUAAAACCUACUGAACUUAUGCAAGAAAAUAACAAAUGAAAGCUCCUUAGAUUGUGGUAUCCCUAACUACUCAUACAAGUGCUAUUUUUUGAUCAUUGAGUACUACAUCUAAGCUAGUUAUGGUAUAAUUUCCUUAUGCAUUUGAAUCCUACUUUCGUAGUGAAUCAAUUAUACUCAUAACUAAUCCAUACCUAUUCUCAUGGUUAUGAAAUUAGUUACAAGUUCAUUUCUUCAAUAAAAUUACAUAAAAUUAAUCACCAAAACCCCAUAGGUGCACCUCUACUCUCGUGAGUGUACUCCCCAUGUUUAGCACUUAUUGAACUAAUAUUAAAUCUCAAUUUUCAUUACAGAAAUAACACCUUAGAUAAUCACAAUUAAUGGUACCAGAUUAAUCAUGAUUUAAAGAGCUAAAGUGCUAAAUAACUUGCUCAAAUUAUGGCAGUCAAUUAGCCAAAUAAUAAACACUAACAAUCAUAGAAAGUUCAACCAAACUCAAGGUAUAAACUUUAAAGACACAUAUUAAAUAUAAAAUCCAGAACUUGCAUAAUAACCAUAGUUAAGAAUCCAAUACAAAAGAUAAAGAAUUGGAGUAGAGAUAACCCAUGUCACUUGAGCUUCAACUCCUCCUUCUUCAUCUCCAUCUUCAUCCUAAUCUAGCUAUUAUACAAGAAUGGAUUAACUACACUUACUACACUAUCCUACACUAAGGAAAUGGAAGAACUACAUUUCUGCACUUCAAGCUCUCUCCCGUAUGUUUUUUUUUGUCUUCCCAAAUGUCUCUGCAUAUAAGCUGAUGAAAAUCUCCUCUCUAGCCCAAAAUUUCUGCUCUAAUGAUUCUCAAUUCUCCAUUUGUUAAGGAAGUAAAAAACAAUGACUUUUGACUUGGAAUAAGCCAUAUUGUAUGCUCUUUUUGUCUUCUGAAGCAUGUGCACCGAAUUCACUUGCAACUUAUAGCUGGAAAGUAGUCUGAACACAAGAGAAUUGACUGAACAAAUUGCAAAAUUUCGGCCAGAAAACGCGCCUACACAAAACGCGGUUACAAGUCACGUUUUGUGUACUCGCGUAUUCACUUUGGCCUUACUUCAUCUGUGAUUUUCUCUAUCAUAAAGGCCGAACUGGCUUUUGUACAAAACACAAAAGGUGUAGCCCUUUGAGUUAUCUUUUCAAUGCUUCAAGAAUCAUCCAAAUCGGAGCUUUGUAGCCUGAGAUAUGAUCACAAUACUAAACACUGGUCAGAGCUCUGUUUUCCACUUUGGACAGCUGAGUUGAAUUUCGGUAUUUCAACUUUUGGGCUAUGAAAACGGCUGAAUUGGACUUUGAUGUCGUCAUACCAAAUGUAGAUCUCUUUCUUAGCUUUAAAUUGGUAUAAAGAUCACCUCAAUCUGAUCAAUGUAGCUCCAGAUAUAGUCGAAAUACUGAAGAGUGUCAAAACUGUCUUGACUUGCAUUUCCUUACUUAAACGUUUUUCACUUCAUUUUUCUUUUUACCACUUUGAAUUCAUCACCAAAUCUCUAUUUUUCACUUCAAUUGGCAUCCUUUGGUGGUUGAAUCAUCAUUCCUGCAUAAAAAUGAAGUUUUUACUAUUAAAAUCAAUAGAAAUGCAAUAUUAGCCACUUUUACCAAAAAUGUAUAUUUUUACCAAAACCUUAGUUAUUUUAAUUAUAAAACUAAAUAAUCAAACCAAAUUAACUAAUAAAAUGCACUUAAAAAUACGUAAAAUAAAUCCUUAUCAACUCUCAUCGUCAUCAUGAUCGAUAAUCAUCUGUGAAGGUAAUUCUUCACUCAUUCGAGAAGUCAAUUGCGUUAUUCUAGAUGUCAUUUGAUCCAUUUGAUCUGCCAAGUUACGCAUGCUCGCUUGUGUCUCCUGAUGAAAUUGAUAUGUGUUAGUAGCUAAUAAUUCAAUCAUUUCUUCAAGAGACAUACCUGACAUAGAUGAUGGUUGUUGAGACUCUUGCUGUUGAAAACCUAUUGACCUUUGUUCAUAAUUAAAAUUGGAAUCAUUCCACCAUCCUUGAUCAUACCCAUUUGAAUAAGGGUCAUACCAUGUUUGAUAUUGAGGUGAAAAAUCUCCAAAACUAUCGAUUGGAGCACCUGGGCCAUCUUGAAAUGCGGGAUAUAUGUCAGUUGAUUGACCUGAGGCAAAAUAAGUUCCACAAUUCGCAACAGCCUAUUGAUCAUUAGAAAAAGCAUGAGUCUCAUAACCCCAUCUAGAAAUAAAAUCCACUCUAUCACCAAAAUACAAAAUAUUAGUAGCCAUAAAAAAAAAGAUGAACUAAAAAAGAAACAAAUUAAUCAAGCGCCAGUCCUCGGCAACGGUGCCAAAAAUUAACAGGUGCCGAACCUGUGCAAUAAUAAAUCACUACUCGAGAGAAAUACAAACUUUGCAUAUAGUGGUGAGUAGGGUCGAAUCCACAAGGAUUGGGGAUAAUUCGUUUCUUCUAAAAUUCAAAGUAUGGGGGUUUUCAGGAUUAAAUGCUAACUAAUUAAAUGUAAAAAAUAAUUAAUUAAAAGAAAUAAUUAGAGAAACUCUAGCCAAGGGUACACUUCAGAAAUGGUUCAUGCACUGAUCAUCGAUUCACAGAUAAUUCCAACAUUUAUUAAUAGAUUAGUUAUAAUUGUCAUGCACGCGAUAAACAACCAACCUUUCCUUAAUUUCUCAAUAGUUAAGGUACUACCGUUAACUAUUUUUCUAACCCGGAAACAACCCUAGGUAUGACCGUAGGAUUUAAUUUCUAGAUUGCAUUAAUAAUUAGAAAGGCCCAAUCCUAACUAACAAAUAUGCUACGAGGGUUUGUUUAAACUAGAUCGUAUGUUCCCCUGACAUAAACCCAAUUAUGCCAGUUGCUACUGGGAUGGAGAUAAUCGAACAAUUACGGAUUCAACUACCCCCAAUUAGCAAAUAGCCUACGUGAAUAAUUAAAUAUUGCGCACCUAUUCAAUCAUACACGAUAGCUAUACCAAUAAUUAAAAGUAGAAAACAUAUAAAUACCAAUAAAUGAAGGAAAUAAUUAAAAUAAUUUAGAUCUCACAGUAAUUGCCGAACCAAAUCUUCAGUUGUCCUUUGACUAGAAUUAAGAAGCUGGUUCUCCAUGAAUUAAGAAGCUAGUUCUCCAUUAAUGGAGAACCAGCCGUGCGGAAAUAAAACAAUCGGAGCUUUCUAAUGUUUUCAGAUGGGAAAAGGAAACUAAAGCUGAGCCCCCCAAUUACACGUGAAUCUGGCCCUUUUAUAUCUUCAGUAGCCGCCGCCCCCGAGAAAGCUAACGUCUGACCUUAAAAAGCAAAAGCUAAGCUAAUGACUAAAUGCCCCUCCCGUAAAUCUGGCUUUUUUCCUCCUUUAUAGCGCCGCCAGGAGCCAAGAAAACGUUUGACCCAAUUAACGAAACCAAAGCUAAUCUUUUGGAGCUUUAAUUCCAUGCUUCUCGCGGUUCACGUGAACCCAACCUUCUAAUUGCCCACUUUUGUUGCUGCCAAGCCCGCUGGUCCGGCCUUUAGGUGAGUCUCCUCAGUUUCUGGCGUGAGCACGCUCUGAAAUGAAGGGUCUUCUGGAAAUUUGCCUCAAGAGAUUACUUUUAACACCAACCACCUACAAUUCAUACAAAUAUCAAAUAUGAGUAAAAUCUUAAUACUUAGCACAGUAAGUAACCAAAAUUAGGACAAAAUAACAGUGCAAAAUGUGCCCAAUAAUUGCUCUAUCAUGGAGGCAACAAAAUAAAUCAAAAUGUGGAAUCUCUUAUCUAUUUAAGUAGUUUUGUUAUGUCUUACUUGUACCUAAAACUAUUACGUUCUACAAUUAAAGCAUAUGGUUAUUGUUAUGAGCUUGUAACUUCGAUUCCUUAGCAUCAACUUGCGUUUAGUUUUAGCUGAGUAUCAAGCUAUGCAAAACAUACUUAGAUAAGUUUGGUAUACACACCGAAUUGCAUUCACAUAUUAUAAUUCCACCUAUAAACAGCAACUCUAAAUUAUAAUAUUUUUAAACAAUAGAUACAAACAUGAAAAUCGUUAAAAUUAAAGAGGUAAAUUAGUCAUUAGUUUUGCUUUUGUCGCUUAAGUUGUACAUCACUUAGUAUAGAAUUUUCCAUGUAGUAUAUUUCAAAGCACAUAAACAUAAUAAUGUUUGAUGAUAUAAGAAGAGCUUAGAUGAAAAUAUAUAAUAAUAUAAGAAAAGUCAUGUAAAUUGAAUAUAAUAAUAUUAGUUAAAGGUAUUUGCAUUUUACAUGGUAUGGGCUUCCUAAGGAAAUGUCAAGAAUAUUCUUAUUUGACAACUAAAAUGAUUGAAGUGACCAAAAUAAAUAAAUAUAAUAUGCAUCACAUUUUAACCCGUCAUGGUUUUGUGUUUUAUUACAUAAUCCCAAUUAUUUUAGUGCUAUACCACAUAACCCUCAUAUGAUUUUUAAAAUACAUAACCCCCUAUGGUUAAUUAAUAAUUUUAGAUUUUAUAGAUAUUUUAAUUGAUUUCAUUAUGAAAUACAAAUAUAGUCAUUUUGACACUUUAGUUCAAAUUAUGAGAGGAUUAUAUAAUUUUUUCAAAAAGUCUUGCAUCUCCUUGUUCCAAGAAUGCCCUUGAUUGCCUGCUAUUUGAACUCUUUUCGGAUAAUUGUCAAAUUGGUCCUUAUUAUGGUAUUUUCGUUCUACUCCCUGAAAUAUAUGCAAAUUACGAAAAGUGAGUAGAAUCCAGCAAUUAAUCCACAUCAAGUCAGACAAUAGGGGAAAUUAAUAAUAAAAUAAAUGAUAAAAUUGCGCGCUAUCAUUAGUCAUUAGUUUGUUUUUGUCGCUUAAGUUGUACAUCACUUAGUAUAGAAUUUUCCAUAUCGUAUAUUUCAAGGCACAUAAACAGAAUAAUGUUUGAUGAUAUAAGAAGAGCCUAGAUGAAAAUAUACAAUAAUAUAAGAAAAGUCAUGUAAAUUGAAUAUACUAAUAUUAGUUAAAGGUAUUUGCAUUUUACAGGGUAUGGGCUUCCUAAGGAUAUGUCAAGAAUAUUCUUAUUUGAAAACUAAAAUGAUUGAAGUGACCAAAAUAAAUAAAUAUAAUGUACAUCACAUUUUAACCCGUCAUGGUUUUGUGUUUUAUUACAUAAUCCCAAUUAUUUUAGUGCUAUACCACAUAACCCUCAUAUGAUUUUUAAAAUACAUAACCCCCUAUGGUUAAUUAAUAAUUUUAGAUUUUAUAGAUGAGUACUUUUGAUAUUUUAAUUGAUUUCAUUAUGAAAUACAAAUAUAGUUAUUUUGACACUUUAUUCCAAAUUAUGGGAGGAUUGUAUAUAAUUUUUUCAAACCACAAGAGAGUUAUAAAUUUACUAAUAUUUGGUUCCCAUGUGAGGGCCAUAUUUAUUGUCAGAUAGUCCAUUAGCGUAGGUCCAUAUGACAAUUUGGAAGUAUUGAUGACUUGAUGUCAAGAGGCUUGAACUAAAAGACUAUUUUUUUAAAAAAAAAAAUCAAAAAAACUACUUUCAUUUAGUCCAAACAAAAUACAAAAAAAAAAAACGUACUAAAAAUUUUCAAAUAAUUUAAACUUAAAGUUUGGUGCUACUUGGACUUUUCUAAAGUGCUAUAAAAACGCAGCAGGUUCACGACAGAAAACAGUAGACUAUUGAGAGGUUGUAUCCAGGAAGAUUUAUUAAGGAUUAAAAUUGAAUCCUACAAUUCUCAGACAGUUUAGUAAUUGCCCUUCACUUUCUUCGUCCUAUGAGUCUGGAGUGGAGUGCUGGUAGUGGUCGACAGUGGAGGGAGUAGAGUGGUGGUUGUGGGGAGGGAGGGAGGAGGGACAAUGUGUUUGGGGCCCGGGGGAGGGGGGGGGAGAAAAGAAAAAAAAAAUUUUUUAAAAAAGAAAGUUUUUUUUUUCAUAUUUCUUAAAUACCUAACUAUACAGAAGUUUUUUCACAAAUUUUAUAAUAAAUUACAACAAAAUUUUAUACAAAAAACCAAAAAACUCACCAUUUAAAUGGGGGUAUUGGUUUGACAAAAAAAAAAAAAAAUGGGGUAUUGGAUAAUCAGAUAACCCUUCUUCUUAUAUUAGCUAGGGUCACAAAGCUCAAGUUAUUUCCAUGAUUUCAAUGUGUUUCUCUUGGAUUCUAUCUCACAUAUAUUAAUUGCUGCGUUGGUUUUGUACUUGAUGUCCAUUUUGGGUAUAAGUUGGGCGAAUAAAAGUAUAAUUAGAAGGUGAAUAUGGGAACAGAUAUCUGUUACAAGGUUGCAGAAACCUUCAGAAGGACCCUGCAGAUGAUAAUCUUGCAAAAAAGGGUAGCCCCUAGAGGAUAUCUCUUAUAAUUUCAAGAUGUGAUGAUAAGGUUAGAGCAAUGGGCAUUAGCACACUGAUCGUUCGGACAUACGUUGGGAGCAUUGUUUAAGGCUUCCAUCAAUUGAGUAUGAUACAUCUUAUGCUUUAAGAACUAAAGUAGAACAAAUUAUAUAUAUAUAUAUAUAUAUAUAUAUAUAUAUAUAUAUAUAUAUAUUUAGAACUAAACAGUGAAAAAUUUCACUUAAAUUCAAUAGAUUUUAUGUUUUAGAUAUAAAAGUGUCUCAUUUUCAAGUUUAGGCACCAAACUAGGGAUUCAACUAUAGUUAAACGGCACAACAUAGAAUUAACUCCAAGAGGAAUUUUUUAGUUAUCUGGAAAGAGAAAUAUUUUAUAAAUCAGUCCCCUCCUUAUUGGUGGCUUAAAUUGAACACGGCAGGCUACUAGUGCCCAAAAUGCAUUUAACGUCAUCAUCGCUAAUACGGACGGAUUGUGGUGGCCGGGGUUGGCAGUUGGGGGGACAGUUGACAGUGCCACUGGCGUGCUUCAAUUUGCCACCAUGACAGUGCCAUCUCAGCUGCCCUACUCUAAAAGAAAAGGAAAUGAAAAAAUCUAAAAAUAAUAAUAGAUGUCUAAUGAGUAAUAACAAAUAUAUAUCCUUAAUAUUUUAUUAUUUAUUAAGAAAAAAUAUUAUUUUAUUUAUUUUUUAAAAAAAUAAAAAUAUUUUUUUUUUAUUUUUUUCUAGCUCGAGCUCGACCUUGAAAUUGUCAGCUCGUCGAGCUCGAGCUCGAGCUCGAGUUCGAGUUCAAUAAAAUUAAGUCAAGACUCGACUUGAUUAGGUCAAAACUCGACUCGACUCGACUCGUUUGCAACCCUAGCAUCAAGUCAGUCUCAGCAAUCAAUAGCACUUAAAUGGUCCCAUGAUUAGGCGUGUCAAUUGAGAUUUUUGAGCUAGACUUUGGUAAGCCCAAGCUCAACUCACAAAUAAUGUGUGUUUGGAUAUCAAUUUUUUUUUUUUUAUCAAAAUACUAUUUUACUUGCAUAACAAUUAUAAUUUUCAAUCAACUCCGUAUGUUCCUAAUAACUUUUUUUAUCUUACAUAUAUCACAUUAUAAAAAAUGUUAUAGUAAUUAUUUCAAAUAAUCUCCUAUCCAAACACACUCAUCAUAAUUUUAUUAUAAUUUGCACUAAUGAUAGAAGUUACAUCAUCAAUCAUACACCAACAUUAAAGAACAGAUCUAAGAAGUACGGAGACUACAUAUUUGAAGAAUAAAUAAAAAUUAAAAUAAAAUAAUUGUAACUUUAAGAACAUUUGUGCAUGCUUCCAAUCCAAAUGAAGAUGCUUUAAUCUAGUGUAAAUUUUGCUGCAAGGUAGGGAAAAUGAAAUAAAAUGUUCAAUUUGGAAUGAAACACACAUACAAUUAUCACAAUGUAGAUUCCAUAUUAACUUGGCCUAAUAAUAGAGUAGGUAAAAGUUCGCCCGUUAGAAGAUUUCUGUUAGCAUGGUAGAUUAACUUGCAUAAGAAAGAAAAAGUUUUAUAUAAAAACAUGUAUACAAAAAGGUUUAAGUCAUAACUAAGUAUUGUUGGACUGUCAUACUAAUAGCUUAGAACUAACUUGGAACCACCUGAAGGGAUAUAAAUUUCUAUCUGAGUUGUAAACUUGUAAUUUGUAAGUCUUGAAGGUCUUGAUCUUACACAUUUGAAUUUAAAAAAUUUGAAGUGGGUGCCACUACACCCUUCUAAUCUAAACGGGCUCCAUAUAUAACACAGUUGGGGGUAAUAUAUGUGCUCCCAAUUAUUAAAAAGCAAACAAAAACCUUACCAGCAUUUUGGUCCUAUGUGAGGGCCACAUCUAAUGUGAGAUUGUCCUUAAGCAUAGGUCCAUACUACAAUUUACAAGGAUUCAUGACUUGAUGUCAAGAGGGUUGAAUUAAGACUACUUUCUUGUAUGCUUAAAAAAAAGACUACUUUCUUGUACACCAAACAAAAUAUCGAAAAAACAUAUUUUCUAAAAAGUUUAUUGGGAUGAUUUGAACCCAAGGCUUGGCACUACCUGGACUUUUCUAAAGUGCUGUAAAUUUUUUUUGUUUGGGAUAUUCACAGCAAUGAUGGCUGGAUCACCUCAACCUACUUUAAUUUGCAGCCUGCCGACUUUUCUGCCCUGCCUUAAAAGAAAAGGAAAUUAAAAGUACUUAGAUAUUAAGAAAUGUCAAAUAAGAAACUUUACCUCUUGUGCAGUCAAAUUGGACAGAAAGCAGCUUCGCUCUAACCUAAACUAGAAGAAAGUAAAGUGACUAUUUUGAAACUACACAGAUUGCAAAAUCUUAAGUAAUAGAUUACCAAAGGAAAUUUACCAUCUAUUUCUUUUUCGUUCUGCUGAAAGUAGUUUAACCAGCAUGAUUUCAAGCCACAGUACUCAACACAACUUGAAUAGGCUCACGGCGAUGGAUCCCUUCGUGGACUUGACUCGAGUACGCAGCAGGUUCAGUGCAGUGAAGGGUUAAUCCAAGGAAUUAUAAGGAGAAAGUUUCAUUGAGUUCCUCACUCCACCACCAGUUUAGCAGUUACUCUUCACCUUCAGCGUCUCUGAGUCUGGCUCAUUUGUUUAUCAAUUUUGUUUGUUAUUCUGUCAGGCGCACAGAGUCUGCUGAAGUCAAGUCCAACGAGGAGUCCAUUAUCUUGAGCCUAGCUACUGUCUUCAAAUGAGCACAUUUUUUGAUGAAUUAUUUCAUUUUUAUCUGUCAAAAUAUAUAUAAUCUUUUAUGUAUGAAGUUGAAACUACUAAUUAAGUUCGUAUAUUUUCAAAAGUUAUCUUCUUAAACAUAUAAAACCAUUAUAUACAUGUAAUUAGGAAUACGAAAGUGAUACUUGAACUCCCAAAUUACUCUUUUGCAUUCGCUGAUGGCAUUUCAUUGAGUGAAUAGAUUAAUGUUAGAAAGGCUAACAUAGGAAUGCGAAUAUCACUCAUCACUACAAGAAAAUUACCAUUUAAUGACACUAAAAAAUGCCUCUUUUUGUAUGUUUUAGUGACAAUUUUUAAUCUAAUAGCAUUUCCCCCGAGUGUUGGCAAUAUCACUGCCACUAUAGUCUAGUGACACUUGAAAAGUGCCACAAAAGAGUUACUAUGAUAACAUUUUAACAUUUCAUUGUACUAGGGAUAUGUGUCAUGAGAAGAUGCCACUAUGUCAUUUUUUUUGGGUGUUUGCGAAUGCCAACAAUUUAAGUUUUGAUACAACUUUAAAUGCGACUAUUUAAAACUUUCCUGUCACUUUGAAAUGCCACUAAAAAAUUAAGAAAAUAAAAAAAUAAUUUGAAAUUAAAAAUCAAAGUACUCUUAUUGAUCCGGGUAAUUAAUUACAACUCAAGAAAAUGAAAGUUUCGCCAUUUAAACAAGUCACUAACUAAUAAAUCUAGCAAGAAAUUAUAUGACAACAAUAUAAACAAAUUCAUGCAUUUUACAAAUGAAACAUGUCUAAAGACAUUAAUCUUUUAAGCUGAUAACUUGGAAAAGAUCAUGUCUUCUUUGCUUCAUUAAUCUCUCAAAUGCUAUGUAAUCUGCAUUACAAUGAAUAUAUUACCUCUUCUCAAGGAUUAGUUAGUAAAAAUAUUAACUCAACUCAAGAUAUUAGCAAUAGUGGUUGAAAAAUUAACAAUGAUCAAAGUGGGAAGUAAAAUGGGGCACCUUGAACUUGCCAUAGAGAAACUAAAGGCAUUCCAACAAAGAAACCUCAACACUCGCCAAUAUUUCUAAAAUAAAAAAGGAAAUAGUACCAAUCAAUUUAGAUUUAAUCCUAAAACUUGAGAAAUAGAGUAAAUAAUCUAGUAUUUCCUAAUGCUUGACCAUAUUUGAACCUACAACCACACCUUUUGGUCUGCCUAGAAAUCAUACAUCACAAAACCAAUAUCUCUUACAAAGUGAAUGGGAUGUUGGCACAUUUCACUACAUAAUAAUUAACUGAUAACAACAUGCACUGCACCCUUCAUUAUUUUUUGGGGGCAUUGCACCAAAAUACACUACAAGAAAAUUGCGUUUCUGUGACAAGCGAAAGUCGUCACUAAAAAUUCAGAAGUCGUCACAAAAAAAGUCAGUGACGACUUUUACUGCUGUCACAGAGCUGUCACUAGUUCUAUGUCACAAAAGGGAGUCCAUGUGACGACUUUUGAAAGUCGUCACAAACGAUUUCGCUUUUGUGAUGACUCUUGUCGUCACUCAUUGUUGUACAUUUUGUGACGACUUUUAUUGUCACUAAGCUGGCUAAAUUCUUGUCAUAGUCAACCCUUGGAAUUGUCACAUUAUGCUUCCGUUCAGUGACGACUUUUGUUGUCAUUGUUUUCCAUCCAUAAAAAGUGACGACUUUCUAGUGUCACUAGUAAAACUUGUUGGCAGUGACAACUUUUUUAUUGUCAUUUAUUUUUUGUAAAAAGCAAUAAGCUAAUGUUAAUUACGCAACAUAGCUGCCAACAAUCACAAAACGUUCAUUGAGUACCAAGGAGAAAAAAAAAGCCAACAUACGAAAAGAAAACCAACAUUCAUUUCCAAUAGAAGAUCAACCCAAAUACAUAUAUAUAUAUAUAUAUAUAUAUAUAUAUAUAUAAAUGUUGCCUCAAAUGAGUCAUAAACCAUGCACCAUCCAAAAUAAGCCAUUCAGUUACAAUACUAGUGAUUUCCCAUCCACAAUAGAGAGUAGUAAAGUUCUAUACAAAAAUAUGAGCACGAUUCUCAUCUAGAACAAAACAUGAGCACGAUAGGCCUUGUAGUCUUCAAUUCAAAAACCAUCUUCACAGCAAUGACUGGCUUCUUCUUCUUGGGAAUCGUGUUAGAACCUACACGUUACCAAAAUUGAAGCAAUGAGCACUGGUGUUAAAACUGGAACUACACUUCUAGAUAGGCACCAUAUUAUAAAAACUAAUGUCACUCUAAUUUGAAAUUAUAGCAAUUUAAGUAAAUUGCUUAACACAAAAAUAGAGUGAAAUUAUAUAUAUUGAAUAGUAAGCAAGAACAAACCAUUGACAGUUAAUUGCGUACUACGAAAGUAUACAACUAAUCUAUUUCUCUAUUGAAUCUUUCUUGUGGACCAAGAAUAAAAGCGUAGCUUGAUAAAGGCACUAUUAAACUUUGUACAACUAUAAAAUCUCGAAAGUUACCCAAAGUAUAAAUCAAACAACAUUGUUGUGAUUAUUAUUCUGCAUUUUCAUGAAGAGCAUGUCCGAACCUCAAACUUUUAACUAUUCUUGAUCACAGAUGAAACAGGAAGCUAAAAAACCAACUUUUUUUUUAGGGUGGAUCACUUAAAAAAUGGAAUGACAAUUGAUUUAGGGGUGCAAAGUUUAUUAUUUAUUGAAAGAUUUUCUUCAGAGCUUAGGCAACUUCAGCUGUCAGUAUUAUGAGGUCCAUUAAUUGUGGAUGAGAUACAACAUGUGGUAGUAGCUUGGUGGAAGAUUCCACUAACACAGUAACCUUGGAAAUUAGCUCUGGAAUGGGACCUGUCCCAGAAGUGUUUUUGCUGAUCUACUUGUAUCUAGUAUAGGCUUUGCUUUACUAUGUAAAUCUACAUUGCCCCCCCCCCCAAAACACACAAAACACCAAAAACGCCACCAAAAGAAAGGAUCAACUAAGCAAAUGCAUAUAUUCAUUUAGCCCAAUCCGCCAUAUUUUUUGUUUCAAGAAAGCUCCAAUGUGGUGGAGUACAACUGAACCACGUUCAAGAGUUCUAAGAGAACUUUCUAGUUUACAUUGGAUAUUAUGUGCACAUCAAAACUCCUUAAUCUCUAUUAACAAGAACAUGUUCACUUCAGAAUGAGAAAGUAUUAUGUGCAUAUCUAAUCUCAGAUAUAGAUUUUCAGUGAUAAAAGGAUUAGGCCCUAACAAUAAACUAACCACAGAAUGAGAUGCAUUCAGGACAAACUUACUUCAGGACUAAUGUACCACUUGCUAUCAGGACUUCGAUGAGGAUGUGAAUCAGAAUUAAUGAGCCCAUAAAGCAAACCACGGCUCACAUUAAUCCUAUUCAAGGAGGCCAAAAUUUCAUCCACCCGAACAAAUGCAUCAUCGUCUGUCUUCAUGACAAAUUUUGCUGAAACAACCUGUGUCUGUUCAAAAGAUUUAAGUCAAAGAGGCACUCGAAACUUUCCAUGAGCUUUAAAGAGACAGGACAUUACCCCAAAUACGCAUAUAGCUAAAGUCUUCCAUGUGAUAAGGCUAUAGUAGUCAACAAAUGGCAUCAGUUGGAUGUCACCAUAAGUUUUCGCCUCGUUCCAUAGCUCCUCAUUCACCACCUGGUUUUUAUGCUACAAAGCAGAGGUGACACUUUCAUCAUAUUGUCCAACAAAUGGCAGGUUAAAAUUCAGAAGUCAAAUGCUUGGGACAUGACUGAAAAAAAUGGUAUAUGUUUAACUAAUACAAUGAACCGCUCUUCCAUGAAGCAACAAUUCUUUUGUAAAAAGAGACAAAGUUGUUCCCUUUAAUAGUGCCUAUCAAAGAAUCUCAUCUCUUCAUUAUGGCUCACCUGUGCUGUUGAUGCUAUAUUCUAGAAUCAAGCAUGUAAACUCAAGAACUACAGUGUGCAAAUGAAUUGCUAAAAAUUGGUAGAGUUUCAGGAUUUGGACAUGUCCUAAUCCUGUUUCUAGAAGUAAUAGUUCACAUCAAUGGCUGCAGAUAUGCAUGCAGCAGUACUUGUGAUACUUUCUCCCAUUUUGUAGGGCAGAGCAUGUCAUACCCUUCGGGGAAAAAAAAAUCUCACAAUGUGUAGUUAUUAGAAAGAAAGCUAUGAAAUUCAGAGGCAGUCCUGAUAUGCUAAUCAGAUUUACAAGUUCAUCAACCAAAACUUGAGACAGGGAUAGGGAAAGAUAAAAUGCAGCAAUGAGCAUUGAACGAAUGCCCUGUUACGGCCUGCUGUUAGACCACUUGGGCAUUUCAACAAACAGUAAACGAACAUGAAAAAUUCCAGCAAUUCUUUGCUCAAAUGAAGCCACGGUUGGCCCCAAAAUCAUCAGAAGUACAAGGGAUUUCAAAUUCAAUCAUGAUAUAACAUGCGCAUGCUAAAAUUUGAACAAUCAACGGGGCAAUUGCAAUAAACGAAGCCAUGGCAGACAUGCUUAAAGGACUUGGGAAGGAACUGAAAUUCAAAGAAAAAGGGGCGACUUAUAGUGCUCUUACUUGAGCGGUGGCGACGGCGAUUAUGACGAAGCCGAAGACGGUGAGUUGGAAUUGGAAGAUGACUAGGUCUGAUUUCGUCCAAGAGCCUUCAUCUAGUGUUACAGAGAACGGUAGCAGCCCAGGAGGUUGUGCGCGGUGUUGGCGAUGGCAGGCAGCAGCAGAGCGGACGCGGACUGGUGGUGACCUGGUUCUUCCUCCUCUGUCCGUUGCCGCGUCUUUCUCUCCUGAUCUUCCCGUCAGCCGCCACUCUUCCUUCACUCUGUUUUUUUUCUUUUCACGCUCAAGGCCUCCCUUCCAAGAACCCUAGCUGCUUCUCUGCUCUUCUGUUUCUCUUUUUCUCCUCUAAAACCUAGCCGCCCUUUCUCAGGCUUCCCCCUCAGCUUUUCUUGCUCACUUGUGCGCCGCCCUUUUUUUCUCCUCUAUUUUGUUCUUUUUUUCUUGUUUUGUUCUUUUCCCUCUGUUUUGUUCUACUGCCAAAGCCCUCCUCUAUUUUCCUUCACCUGAGCUGGUGCUAAAGAGCUCGACGCGUUUGCGGGUCAAUAGAGGGGAGAAAGGGCUAUCGUCAGUGGUGAAGGAAAUGCUGAAGAAUAAAUUAUGGUGCUGGAUAGCUCGGACUUCAGCGGCUGAUGGUGGUGGAUUGCGGCGGACUUCAGCGGCUAACGGUGGCGAGCGGCAUUUCGAAUCUACGGGAAGGAAGGGUUAGUUCACCAUAGGAAGGAAAGACUGAGAAUGAAAUUUGUCUAAGUGUUGGAAGAGAGAAGCGGCGAGACUUUUGUUUGUAUGUGAACAACCAAAACGACGUCGUUUUGUAGAGAUUUCAGCCACCCGCCUGGCGCCUCUUUCAGAUUUCAGACUGGCGCUCUUUUUUUUUUGACAUCUAAGCACGUCUUUGAGAUUCCAGGAUUCACGCCUUUAGCUUCAUACAUCUUUUUUCUUUUUUUUUUUAGCCAAAUUUUUUUUUCAGGUUUCUUUUUUCAUACUUAAUCUCUUUUUUUUCCUUAAUCUCAUCUAUAAAUAUCAAAUAAAUUAUUUGAUAUUGGUUUCUUUUUUGUGCAUGUAUAUAUAUGUAUGCUUGUUUGUGUCUAUAUACAUCUUUUUGGGUUUGGACAACUCAAUAUACAUAUUAUUUAAGAAAUUACCUUACAAUAAAACUUACACAAUAAAACAUGUUUCAAAAAUUUAACAUGCAUAGAAUCGCUUAUAUACAGUAUAACACUUCUUACUCAUGCUUAUCCUACUCUUUGUCUAUUACUUAGUUUUUAUAAUAAAUUAAAAGAAACAUGUAAUCAAAUAUUCUGUUAAAUGUGUUACAACUCUCAAUCUUAUUGCACGACAGAUAUUUUACUGAAUAAUUUUAAUUUCGUAUAUACCCAUUCCAUAUGAAAAUAAUUAUUACUUAUGAUGUAUUACACGUUAUACUAAUCUUUCACAGUGCUAACAUUAGACUACAAAUUAUAUUCAAUUACACUUUUUCAAAUUAUUUCAGUUAUUGAUUUUUGGGGGUUGUUAUAAGGAAUAAUAAACAAUUCGUGAAAACAUUUUUAUGCUCAGACAUGUCUAUUAUGUCAACUUAGCAAAAAUUACAAAUAUCUAAAAAUAGUUUGUUAUUAUAUCAUUUGCAUUUUGCUAAUACGUAAUGAAUAGGGGCUAAAUUAUAAAAUUAGGGUGUCAUAUCUUCGGUGCUUUUGCUCAUAUAAAAGAAUUGGGGGCUAAAUAAUAAAAUUAGGGUGCCAUAGUAGAAUUAGUGAAAUUUGAUGAAAAUACUAUAGAAUUGCUUAUAUACAGUAUAGCACUUCUUACUCAUGCUUAUCUUACUCUUUGUCUAUUACUUAGUUUUUAUAAUAAAUUAAAAGAAACAUGUAAUCAAAUAUUCUGUUAAAUGUGUUACAACUCUCAAUCUUAUUGCACGACAGAUAUUUUACUGAAUAAUUUUAAUUUCGUAUAUACCCAUUCCAUAUGAAAAUAAUUAUUACUUAUGAUGUAUUACACGUUAUACUAAUCUUUCACAGUGCUAACAUUAGACUACAAAUUAUAUUCAAUUACACUUUUUCAAAUUAUUUCAGUUAUUGAUUUUUGGGGGUUGUUAUAAGGAAUAAUAAACAAUUCGUGAAAACAUUUUUAUGCUCAGACAUGUCUAUUAUGUCAACUUAGCAAAAAUUACAAAUAUCUAAAAAUAGUUUGUUAUUAUAUCAUUUGCAUUUUGCUAAUACAUAAUGAAUAGGGGCUAAAUUAUAAAAUUAGGGUGUCAUAUCUUCGGUGCUUUUGCUCAUAUAAAAGAAUUGGGGGCUAAAUAAUAAAAUUAGGGUGCCAUAGUAGAAUUAGUGAAAUUUGAUCAAAAUACUAUAGAAUUGCUUAUAUACAGUAUAGCACUUCUUACUCACUUUCUUACUCUUUGUCUAUUACUUAGUUUUUAUAAUAAAUUAAAAGAAACAUGUAAUCUAAUAUUUAAUUUGAAAUGUGUUACAACUCUCAAUCUUAUUGCACGACAGAUAUUUUACUGAAUAAUUUUAAUUUCGUAUAUACCCAUUCCAUAUGAAAAUAAUUAUUACUUAUGAUGUAUUACACGUUAUACUAAUCUUUCACAGUGCUAACAUUAGACUACAAAUUAUAUUCAAUUACACUUUUUCAAAUUAUUUCAGUUAUUGAUUUUUGGGGGUUGUUAUAAGGAAUAAUAAACAAUUCGUGAAAACAUUUUUAUGCUCAGACAUGUCUAUUAUGUCAACUUAGCAAAAAUUACAAAUAUCUAAAAAUAGUUUGUUAUUAUAUCAUUUGCAUUUUGCUAAUACAUAAUGAAUAGGGGCUAAAUUAUAAAAUUAGGGUGUCAUAUCUUCGGUGCUUUUGCUCAUAUAAAAGAAUUGGGGGCUAAAUAAUAAAAUUAGGGUGCCAUAGUAGAAAUAGUGAAAUUUGAUCAAAAUACUAUAGAAUUGCUUAUAUACAGUAUAGCACUUCUUACUCUUUGUCUAUUACUUAGUUUUUAUAAUAAAUUAAAAGAAACAUGUAAUCUAAUAUUUAAUUUGAAAUGUGUUACAACUCUCAAUCUUAUUGCACGACAGAUAUUUUACUGAAUAAUUUUAAUUUCGUAUAUACCCAUUCCAUAUGAAAAUAAUUAUUACUUAUGAUGUAUUACACGUUAUACUAAUCUUUCACAGUGCUAACAUUAGACUACAAAUUAUAUUCAAUUACACUUUUUCAAAUUAUUUCAGUUAUUGAUUUUUGGGGGUUGUUAUAAGGAAUAAUAAACAAUUCGUGAAAACAUUUUUAUGCUCAGACAUGUCUAUUAUGUCAACUUAGCAAAAAUUACAAAUAUCUAAAAAUAGUUUGUUAUUAUAUCAUUUGCAUUUUGCUAAUACGUAAUGAAUAGGGGUUAAAUUAUAAAAUUAGGGUGUCAUAUCUUCGGUGCUUUUGCUAAUAUAAAAGAAUUGGGGGCUAAAAAAUAAAAUUAGGGUGUCAUAGUAGAAUUAGUGAAAGUUGAUGAAAAUACUGUAGUAUACAAUGAUGCAAAAAGUUGUCACAAAAUUGGAAUCGGGUAGACUUUCAAUGACAACAAGUUAUGUUGUCACUGUAGAGAGAGCGUUUGUGACGACUUUAUUUGAGUUGUCAUAAAUUCAUUUCCCGCGGCAUCAAAUGAGAUGCGCGCCAACUAUUUCGUGACGAGUUGAGAAUGACAACUUCCAAUGUUGUCACUGAUUAUGCUUGUGCUGUACUCAUCUGUGAUGACACCUAAUGUCGUCACUGAAUUAGGUUAUCUGUGACAAGAUUUUUGUUGUCACAUAAAUUUUUGUCACUGAAAAAUAUAUUUCUUGUAGUGAUAGGAUGACUUAAUGUAAAUGAAUUCUAAUUGAUACUUAGUUGUCUAAUCACACCUACCAUUACAAUUUAGCACACAUUUUUGUUAGGACAUGGUAAACAAAGGUACUUUAUACUAUAUGAAUUUCAAAAGUCAUACAAUUAUGUUUUUGAAAUGCUAAGUAAUAUGCUUUCUUUUCCUGGCAUACUGAUUGUUCUUUUCAUUUUCAAGGUUUAUGUGAAGAACAUCAUACUAUCUCUCUUAGUCAAGUAAUACAAUUCUUUCCCUUUCUUGAUACAAAUUUCCAAAAGCAUCUCUGAACCUAGCUUGGCCAAAAAAAGAAAAGAGAUCUUGUUAUUAACACUAUGAAAGUACAAUGAUACAAUGAUUGUGAAAGAAAGAAGAUUUUAACACUAGAAUAAUUAAUACAACUGCUCAAAGGAAAGAAAAAAAUAGAAAUAACUGAUAUUUCUUAUCUUAAAAUUGUACCCAUAAUCACACAAUAUAAAAUGAUAAAACAAACAAAAACCUAUAUACUAUUGUUUUGUUCUAUGGAAUUUAGACAGGAAAGAAAGUACCUUUAAUGAUUUCUUGUGAUGGUAGACAACAAUGGAAUUGAGAUGCUAGAUGAUAGGGUUUGUGGAUAAAGAUUUGUAGAGAAUGCAAGAUUGAAAAAAUUUUAAUGAGUUUCAAUGUUUGAGGGAUUUACUUUGAUACUUAUCAGUUAAGAUAAGGAGUAAAUCAGGGAAGGAAACCCCAUCAAUUAGGCAACAAAAUCUCAUCCACUUAGCAAACUGUGUUUUUAUUUUCAUUUUUUUUAGAAAAUGCCACUAAAACUUAUGAUCCAAUGACAUCUAUAUCUAUAUAAAUUUGAGAAGUGAUUUUUAGCAACAAACCUCCACACAUCUUCCCACUACCAAUUCUAUUUUUCUAGCAUUUCACAUUUAAUUUAAUUUAUAAAAUAUUCCUCUUAACUUUCACAUCUACUUUUCACAUUUGAAAUUGUUGGUUACUUUUUAAAAUCAUUUCAUUUCAAAUUGUUGGUUAAUGUGCAUGUUAUCCUAUUUGACCUUCAACCCAUCACGUUUUCGAUUGCCUUCCGUUAUUUAUGAUUCUACUCCAAUUAAAACUUCUAUAAGACCAUAACAAGAUAUAACAUCCUUUCAUACUUUCUUAUUAAUUUAAAUAAGUAAGAUUAUUUACAUUCCAUUUUUUGUUAUUCACACUUCAAUAAUCAUUUUGAUCAUAUAGUUUUCAUUAAUUAGACGGAAAAUGGAGUGCAAAUAACAGUUUCCUAAGUAAGAAGUGGCUUCCAUGCCUUUCUAAUUUAAAUAAAUAAGAAGUGGCUCCACUUAUAUAAGAAUUUGGUUUGAAAUUUAUUAGUGGGAAGGUAAAUAAAGAGAAAACAUUGCCAAACUUAGUAAAAGUAAAAAAGUAAAUGAUAAUAUUUUAUCUUUUAACUUAGUAAUCCUAAGUAAAAGAGCAAAAUUAAAUAGAAAACAAAAAGGAAAUAAUGUCGUGGAUUUAAAAAAUCAAGAAUGGUAUCAUUCAUGAAAUCUAAAUUAUGAAAUCACUAAAUAAAAAGCCCAAUCCUAGGAUUUAAUUACUCGAUUGCAUUAAUAAUUAGAAAAACCCAAUCCUAACCAACAAACACGCUACGAGGGUUUGUUUAAGUUAGAUCAUACGUUUCCCUAACAUGAAGCCAAUCACGCUAGUCGCCACUGGUAUUAAUCAAUUAAACAAUUACGGAUUCGAUCAAUUAAUUUGGCAUUAGUUCAUUAGAUUAAUUUGAAUAUCGGGCCCUUGACAUUUAAAUAACAUAACAAGCAUAAAUAAUUAAAUCAGAAAACGUACAAAUACCAACGAAUAAAAGAAACAAAUAAAAUUUAUUCGAUCUCACCGAUAUUUGGAACCGCGCCUUCAAGUUGACCUUCGACUAGAUGAGAAACUUAGCCACGCCUCAUGAGAAAAUCUCCAAGUAAUUUAAUUGAGGUCCAGGCCAUCAAAGGAGCCAAGAAAGAAAAGAAAACUAAAACUAUGCUAAAAGCUUCGAUAAGAACUAAUGAUAAAAAAACUAUUCAUUCCAGAUCUCUAUACGUCUGCUCCUUUUUAAAGCCAAAGAGGACUAAUGCCUCUCCUAGUGCGUGGAUCCCGCCGAAUUAAGAGUCAAAGCCCAAGAAGGGAACUCUGCCGAAUUGCUUCUUGCUUCCCAUCUCUGUACGUUACUUUCUUCUUAAGAGCCAACUGACUAAUGCCCUUUUCCUUUCCUCUGUGGUCCCUGCCGAAGUCAAAGGUCCAAGCCUUGAAAUUCUCUCUGCCGAAGUCUCUGGUUGUAGUCUUCUUAGUCAACAAAAAUAAAGGAAUAGGAGUCCAGUUCUUUUCAGCACUGUGGCCUGGCCUGUGGCUCGUUUGAAGUCUCAAUUAUUUCCAAAAAAACCCUCAGGUUUGGUAGUUUUCUGUUCCCUUUCUAAAAUUAAGUCCACAAACCAAAUAUAAGUAGAUAUCCGCAAUUAACACAAUAUUUGGCAGGGAUAAAAGGGAAAAUUACUAAUAAAAUUACUAACAAUUAGCACCCUAUCAAUUCCCCCCACACCUGAACCAUGCUUGCCCUCAAGCAUGAGAACAACAAUUGAGCACCGAAAUUUAAUAAUGGCUAUUGCUCCAACUACCGUAUUGCCAAGGUACCCAGAAAAACAUAUAUCAAGGUUCACAAGUUAAGAUCCAAGAAAAAUCACCUCAAUUAGCUUCCCAACCACCAACUCCUCCAAUUUAAAGCAAACUAAUCUAAAAAAAAGGAAUGGUUGCUCACAUUUAUCAGCAAAUGGUCCAACUACUAACCAAAAUCUCGACAUUAAGAUCACAAACCGGCAAGCUGACUUAUUCACAUACUAACACAAUCUUUAUUUUAUUUUAUUUUAUUUUUCUUUUUGUUUUGUUUUUGUUUCUUUUUCUUUUUUUCUUUUUUUUUUGAGUAACAAAAGACUUAGUCUAUAGCCCUUAGAGUCUUUUGACGCGAACUCCAACAUUUGACAGAUGGAGGAGCCCGGUUACUUAGCUCCAAUCGCUAUGCGACACGCACUUAUAGCAAUUAUUACCUUUUGACGCGAGAAUCGACACUUUAGGUGAAGAUCCCCGGUUGCUCAGUAGUAACCACUAGCGGAGUACAAUCAACUCUUAUUUAUAACCAUAUAGCACAAUAACUAAAAAUAACACAAAAAAUAACAGCAGCUAGCCUCAAAUUUCCAAACAUGGAGAACUAAAAUUAUUAAUUGGACCAAUUCACAUGAAAAAUGCCAACGAUCAUUCCCUAUGUCUAGAAAAAUUAACCAAAAAUUGAAAAAGUCAAGCAAUUAGCGAUAUUCACCAGAGAGAUGUUCAUGAACUCAACCACAUCAACUUGAUACCUUUUUAUUAAUAAACUUGGCAAUAACAGAAUUAGAGAUAACAAUCCAGCAUCAAACUUGGUAUUCAUAUGAAGACUGACCACUAGAAAGAAAAAAAGAAAAGAAAAUAAACGAAAAAGGAGAUAAAUAUCAAACUAAAACAAAGGAAAAGCCUUUAGAAACUAAAAACAAAAAUACUAGCACCCAAACUGAUCUCCCCCUCACACCUAAAUGACACAUUGUCCUCAAUGUGAUAAUCUAACAGCAAAAGGAAGGAGAAGGGCAACGGUACUUCCGUGAAGUCGUCAAAACAGGGGCGGGUCAGGCAGGAAUUGAAGAGCAAGACCCGCAUGGUGUACAAGUGCUGCCAAAUUCUGCUCCAGGUAAUGCAAGUUGACGCCAACGUGGGCCACUUGAGUCUCCAGUCUUGGUGGUUCCAAUGUUAGAUAAAAGCAGGGUCAAUGUAGCCCAGAAUCGCAGCAAGUGCUCCAAUGAACGAAGUAAUUGAAAUCUCUUGCCAGAAGACUCCCAAACACAGCAAUUAGACCCAAAUAGUGCCCAAUUGGACACAAUCAACAAAUUUCAGCAAUUAGACAUAACUAAAAUUAGCUAAUGACCCAAGAAAUGGGCAACGCCAGCAAUAGUAGUUCAAAAGUCGGACAAUAACUGAAUCACAAGGUUCGUUAUUUAGCAAUCAAACAGGCAGCCAACCAAAUAAAAUCCACAACUGUAGGCUGAAUGCUCCAAUCAACACCACUGGUGCACUCCACAAAAAAUAAAACAACUCAAACGGCCAACCCAAUCAACAACAUGUGCAAGUUAGCCACCCAAAGACUAGACAAAUAUCCCAACAACACAGCAAAUUGAAUGAAUAUGCACUGAGUCUCCAAUUCAGUCAAAAUAAGAUCAAGGGGCACGAUACAGAAACUAACAAAGCAGAAGUCAAGUGAUACCAACAGGGACCCCAACAGAGCAAUGAAUUCAACCAAUUGGAGCAAGUGAAACUCAACAAAUGUCACAAAUUGGACAUUCAAUUACCCACUUCAAGAUACCAAGCCUUAAGAAUUUUAAGAAUCCCAGCAAACAAGCAAUUCCAGCAACUACCGAUUAGAAUUCGAGAAAAUUUAAGAAUUGUAAGCAACACCGCAACCAGUAUCACUGGUGUAUACACAGGAAGGAAUUAAAUCAAACGGUCAACAAUUCAAUAAAUAUCUGAAAAUAUCCCCACAUAUGGUAGCAAUUAAACCCAAAUCUGUCCAAAAUUUACCCUAGAAAAUGUCCAAAUCAACACCCUCUUUUAUCCAUCAAGAAACCCAAACACAAAAGCUCAAAUUCCAGCAAUUUAAGGACCCGAAAAAUACUAAUCGAGGCAGAAAUUUCAAUACCUCCACCUGUCAGAACUUGACAGGUGGUGACGCGCGGCAAGGAGAUGGCGGACAGUAGCAGCAGGUUGCGCGAGGUGGAGCAGCUGCGUGAUGGUGAUGCGAGGAGAAAGAGAGUGCGAGAUUGCGGUAGGGAAAGCUAGCUGGCGACCAGCGUGAGAAGGAGAGCUGGUGGUGGUCAAAGGCGCUGGUGAGUGGAGGUGGCGGGUGGAGCUUGGAACGGAGGAGCUCAGCGAGCUGUGGGUGGACGGUCGUGGGCAGGGGAGCAGCGGCGGCCUUUGGAGCUGCUGAAGGUGGAGACGAGCUGGUAGUGCAGAGUUGGUGGUGAACAGCAGCGGUGGCAGCUGGGUUGCGCGCAAGGGGCUGCUGGACAGAGCAACGGGCAGCGGAUGGCGUGCGUCCGUAGCUUUGGGAGGCAGCGGCGGCAACUGGCACGAGCAUGGCUGGCAGGAAUGGCGGCGUGCACAGAGGAAAAAGAAAGAAAGAAAGGGCGAACAGGGCAGCGGCGAAGAAGAAAGAAAAGAGAAAGAAAGAAGAAGAAGAAAAAGAAAGAAAGAAAAGAAAGAAAGAAAGAAGAAGGAAAAAAAAAGAAAAAAAUAGUUUUUUUUUUUUGGGAAAUUUUUUUUUUAUUGCACACUCAAAUUUCAAAACUCGAAUUGUGAGAACCAAAACUGAAGGUGUAAAACGGAAAAUGUUUUUAUUUUGAAUUUUUUAUUUUUUAUUUUUUAGUUUUUGGGUCGUCAAACACCGCGUGGGCACGCCAAGAUUGAUAAACGUCCACUGACCUUAGGAGAUACAAACACCGCGUGGGCAUGCCAAGAUUGCACUUCCUGAUCACAGUAGAGGAAAAUAUUAAGACCGACUACCACCCAAAUGAGAAACGACAAAAUGAAAGUAAUGAACAACGAAAAACAAUAAAAUUAAUAUUUGGGUUGCCUCCCAAAAAGCGCAUUUCUUUUAUGUUUUUGGCUAGACAUUGCCAUAUUUAUUCACGGAGGAUAAAAUCUCGUGGCUUGUUUUAGUGUUUCAUCCUCUAUAUAGUCCUGAUAGCCCUCGUAAAUAGAGUAAUCCUUCAGCACACGAGCUACGAUCUUCCGUGAACUAGUAGAUGGCGCCAAAUAAUCAAGCAGUGAUCUCAAUUCUUCAUCCACUCCUCUAUCAAGAGCACUCAAUGGUUCAAGAUAUUUGACCAUAGCUACUCUUAACUUAUUUCUGCCAUGAGACUCAAAAACUUCCGGUAUAACAAAAUCAAUCUCAUUAACAGAAAUCAUGGAGUAAGAGUUAAGAAAAUGCGGGUUAGGGAAUGGAGGUGGUGUCAUCACAUUUGAUGAUUCUUCACUGGAUUCUUUCACUUGAAUGGGUUGCGGUUGGGGUUCCAUUUCUUCCUUUUCGGCUUCUUUUUCAACUGCAUCUGUAGAUUUCUCAUUUUGACACUCUUGCAUCUCCUCAUCACUAGUCAAGCAAAUUGCACUCUUGUUUUCUUCAAAAUCAACAAUGGUUUUCGAGGGCAAUUCUUCAAAUUGAGAAGCCAAUCGAUUUAUUCUGGAUGUCAAUAGACAUAUUUGAUCUUCCAGAUUACUCAUUGCAUCCUUCAUCAUCUCAUUUCUCAUUUGUGUCUCCUGUUGGAAUUGAUAUGUAUUAGUAGCUAUUGAUUCAACUAUUUCUUCAAGAGACAUACCUGACAUAGAUGAUGAUUCUUGAGACUCAUACUGCUGAAAAUUCAUUGGCCCUGUUGUAUAAUUAUAAUUGGAGUUAUCCUACCAUUCUUGAUCAUACCCGUUUGGAUUAGGGUUAUACCACGUUUGAGACCAGGGUGAAAAAUCUCUAUAAUUAUUGAGUGGGACACUCAGAUUAUCUUGAUAUUCGGGGCACAUACCGGUUGAAUGAUCCCUGGCAUAACAAAUUUUACAGGUUGCAGCAGCCAUUCUUUCUCUAAUAGAGUUUAGUGCCUCUGAAUAUGCAAACUUAGCAAAAAAACAAGUCUCAUUGCCUUCCCAGGAAACAAAAUCCAAUCUAUCACCAAAAUACGGAGUGUUAGAAGCCAUAAACUAUAUAUAAAAAAAUAAUAGAAAAAUAAAUAAAAAAAUAAAAACAAGAUGAACUCAAAAAGAAAUAAAUUAAUCUGGCACCAGUCCCCAACAACAGCGCCAAAAAUUGACAGGGUGUCGAACCUGUGCAAUAAUAAUUACCUACUCAAGAAAAUUACAAAUUUUGUAUAUAGCGGUGAGUAGGGUCGAAUCCACAGGAACUGGGGAUAAUUCGUUUCUUUUAAAGUCCAAAGUAUGGGGGGUCGAAUCCACAGGGAUUGGGGAUAAUUUAUUUCUUUUAGAGUCCGAAGUAUGGGGGCUUUUUUUGGAGAAUAUAAAAUAACUAAUUAACUAACCAAUAAAACAACUAGUAGAAAUAAAUAGAAAUUAAUCAAUAACCAAUAUGACUCUAGCCAAAGGUGCAACUUUUUAGACACCGUCCAUUCAACUGAUCAUUGAUGCAAAGAUAAUUCGAUUACUCAUUACCAGAUUGGUUAUAGUUGUCAUACACGCGAUGAACAACCAGCCUUUUCUUAAUUUCUCGAUAGUUAAGGUACGACCGUUAACUAUUUCUCUAACCAAGAAAUAACCCUAGGUACGACCAUAGGAUUUAAUUACUCGAUUGCAUUAAUAAUUAGAAAAACUCAAUCCUAACCAACAAACACGCUACGAGAGUUUGUUUAAGUUAGAUCAUACGUUUCCCUAACAUGAAACCAAUCACGCUAGUCGCCACUGGUAUUAAUCAAUUAAACAAUUACGGAUUCGAUCAAUUAAUUUGGCAUUAGUUCAUUAGGUUAAUUUGAAUAUCGGGCCCUUGACAUUUAAAUAACAUAACAAGCAUAAAUAAUUAAAUCAGAAAACGUACAAAUACCAACGAAUAAAAGAAACAAAUAAAAUUUAUUCGAUCUCACAGAUAUUUGGAACCGCGCCUUCAAGUUGACCUUUGACUAGAUGAGAAACUUAGCCACGCCUCAUGAGAAAAUCUCCAAGUAAUUUAAUUGAGGUCCAGGCCAUUAAAGGAGCCAAGAAAGAAAAGAAAACUAAAACUAUGCUAAAAGCUUCGAUAAGAACUAAUGAUAAAAAAACUAUUCAUUCCAGAUCUCUAUACGUCUGCUCCUUUUUAAAGCCAAAGAGGACUAAUGCCUCUCCUAGUGCGUGGAUCCCGCCGAAUUAAGAGUCAAAGUCCAAGAAGGGAACUCUGCCGAAUUGCUUCUUGUUUCCCAUCUCUGUACGUUACUUUCUUCUUAAGAGCCAACUAACUAAUGCCCUUUUCCUUUCCUCUGUGGUCCCUGCCGAAGUCAAAGGUCCAAGCCUUGAAAUUCUCUCUGCCGAAGUCUCUGGUUGUAGUCUUCUUAGUCAACAAAAAUAAAGGAAUAGGAGUCCAGUUCUUUUCAGCACUGUGGCCUGGCCUGUGGCUCGUUUGAAGUCUCAAUUAUUUCCAAAAAGACCCUCAGGUUUGAUAGUUUUUUGUUCCCUUUCUGAAAUUAAGUCCACAAACCAAAUAUAAGUAAAUAUCCGCAAUUAACACAAUAUUUGGCAGGGAUAAAAGGGAAAAUUACUAAUAAAAUUACUAACAAUUAGCACCCUAUCAACUAGCUAGCGGAUAAUAGAAGAGGAAAAUGAUGAUGAUUUUUAAUAAUUUUGAGAACUCUAAAAACAUAUAUUAUAGAGAUUUUUUUUUCAAUUUACGUUAAAGUUUAUGAAAAAUGCUAAUCUAAAUGCAGCCAACAAUUUUAGCGGUACACGAUAUGAUAGGAGAAAGAUUUUUUUUUUCUAAAAAUGGAAGAAAAUAAAUUGGUUAUAAUUUGUUUUUUAUAUUAUAAAUUUUGAUAUAUGGGUAUAACAUAAUAUAUUUUGUCACCUACCUAAAGCAUGAUAUUAUGUCCUUUAUAUCAGAUAUGCAACUAGAGCCCUCCGAGGAUAGAAUAUGUACAAGUGAUUGUAUGCGCUAUAUCCAAUCCACCAUGAUGGCCCACUUAUUUUAUUUUAUUUUUUUGUAAUUCACCAAAAAUUAAUUAAACUUUUACAUUGCCUGAAAAGAACUAAAAGAGCCAAUACUUAUAUGGCUUGCAGUAGUAGGUUAUGUAUAUAGUAAUUAAUCUAGCAUGCCUUUUGUUUUAACAAAGGAAUUAUUUCAUUGAUGAGCAGGUACUGUCUUGAAUGAAAAUCAGUACCUGACUUCCAUUCCUUAAAACUUUAUGUUUGUGACCCUGCUAAAAAGGUAUUUUCUCAUUGCCAUUGCAUUAACUACAGGGAAAACCUCUGGAAGUGGCAGUUUCAGCAAAUUACCAGAUUCAAAAUUUCAAAUAUAUAAUGCCAGAGCUCAAGUGAACGGCCAUGGUAGCAGUUUCAGCAAACUACCAGAUUCAAAGUUUCAAAUAUAUAAUAGAAAAUCACAAGUGAACGGCCAUGGUAGCAGCUUCAGCCAACUACCAGAUUCAAAGUUUCAAAUAUAUAAUAGAAAAUCACAAGUGAACGGCCAUGGUUUCAGCUUCAGCAAAUUACCAGAUUCAAAAUUUCAAAUUUAUAAUAGAAAAUCUCAAUUGAACAGCCAUGGUAUCAGUUUCAGCAACCUACCAGACUCAAAAUUUCAAAUUUAUAACAGGAAAUCUCAGGUGAAUAGCCAUGGUACAAAUCCAACUAAAGAUCAACUCUACAAUGACAAAAACAUUACAAUAUUCUUCCUUGGAAAGGAUUUGCACCGCGGCUCAAGCAUGAAUCUGGAGUUUGUUGAGUCGCUAAAGAUUACUACACUAUUCCUGCCAAGACAAGUUGCUGAUUCCAUUCCCUUUUCCUCCAAAUCUGUUCCUGAGAUAUUGAACAAAUUCUCACUGAAGCCACAAUCAGAAGAAGCCGAAACUAUUAAGAAAACAAUUGCAGAGUGCGAGAUGCCUGGAACAAAAGGGGAAGACAAGUACUGUGCGACUUCACUCGAGUCAAUGAUUGAUUUCACUACUUCCAAGCUGGGGAAAGAUGUUCGAGCAGUUUCAACUGAAGCAGAAAAAAUAGAUACCAAAAUCCGAAAAUAUACUAUUAAGGAUGUUGCCAAGUUGAACACGGCUGAUAAAGUCGUUUCUUGCCAUAAGGAAAAGUAUCCGUACGCAGUAUUUUACUGCCACACAUCGCAGAGUAAUGCAUAUAUGACCAAUUUGGCUGCUGCUGAAGAUGAAGCUAAAGCUAAAGCUGUGGCUGUUUGCCACAAGGAUACAUCACAAUGGGACUCAGAGCAUUUGGCCUUUCAGUUGCUAAAGGUGAAGCCAGGAACUGCUCCAAUCUGCCAUUUCCUUCCUGAGGAUCACAUCAUUUGGGUUCCAAAGUAAUAAAUAUUCUGCAACAAUAUUGCCGGCAUCCCCUGUCCGGGAGUGUAUCAAUAUUUGUCAAUUUAACAUGGCAUUUAUAUUUGCUGCAGUGUGGGAGUUCCAAUCACAUGCUCCUUUUUUUGUUUUUUUGGUUGUUUCAGUCGCAUGUUCUUCCCAUGAUUAAAUGAAACCUUGUUUAGUUUCGUCUCUAAUGGUUGUACUAUGUCGAUGUAAUAUCACCCAGAUGGAAUGGUGUCUGGGUAAGUAUUAUUAAUGGUUCAAUUGUCUGUGGGCUGUUUUUCAAUGUGUUUGUGGGUUGUUUCUAGAUGUGCUACUUUAGUUUUAGACUGUUUAAUAAAAAUUGUUUUUCUAAAACACCUCAAAAAUAGGAUUGUCUACCGGUAUGCUCGAAUUGGGCAUGGGGCCUCACAAAUUCCAUUUUAAACCAGUUUGCCUUUAGAGUAUGAACAAAUUGGAAAAGAGUGUAAGACAAAUUUAAAAUGACCAUUUUUUAAGGUCAAAUAUACUCUCAUGUCUUCUUAAUUUUCGGUGUUUAUAUACUCUUUUUUUUUUCUUUUCGUGGUGAUAAAAUGGUCACAGCUAUAGCAGGUCACCUUAUCGUGGGUGAGACGAGGUAAAUUAUGCUAAUAAGUUCUUUUCAUGAUUUGAAUGUCUUUCUCUUGGAUUCUAUGAUACCUAAUGUAGAACAGGUUGCGCAAGGUUUCAUGGACAAAAUGGAGCGUGCAAAGAAUCACAAGACAAGGCCAGGAGGGACAAACUUCUGAGCAUGUCCGGCGCCAAACUUCGUGGAAAUCAACUUGCAAGGGUGAUUGGUGUGCCAUGACCAGCGCUGGUCGUCAUCGGCAACUUUAUUUUUAUUUUUCUUUUCUUUCUCUUUUUUUUUAAUGUAAUUUCAUUUUUUUUUCAAUUUAGAACUUCUAAUUUAUAUGUAGGGUCGUACUAGGUUAUUUGAUGCUGUUAUUUUGAAUAAAUUAUUUAGCACUUUUGCUUUUAUAAUCAAUGAUUAACUAGCCAUUAAUUGUGAUAAUUUCAAGGUGUUAAAUUUGCAAUGAGAAUUGAAAUUUAAUACUAGUUCAAAAAAGUGUUAUACUUAGGGAAUACACUCACGGGAGUAGGGGCACACUUUUGUGAUUUUGAUGGUUUGUUCCAUGUAAUUUUAUAGAAGAAAGGAGAUUGUAAUUAAUUUCAUAACACAAGAGUAGAUAUGGAUUAACUACAAGUAUAGUUGAUUUACUAUGAGAGUAGAUUUCACAUGUAUUAGGAAAUUAUGCCAUAACUAGUCAAGAUAAUAAUAUUCAAUUAAUUGAUAAUUUCACUUGUAAGAAAAGUAAAGAAUUCUACAACCCUAAGAGCUUUCUAUUGUCAUUUUUGUGACUGUUAUUUUAUGUUUGUAGUGUAGAUUUAAUUUUCUUGUAUUUGUGAUAGUCUAAAUAAUAAAAAAUUUAAAAAUUAUUGGUAAUUCACAAUCUUCCCUAUGAAAUCGACAUUUAAUAUCCUCUAUAUUCGAUAAACGAUAUGUAUACUUAUAGAAAAUAAAGUGUUUAGCUUUUAUUAAAAUUUAGUAUAUGGUAGAACCUCACUAAGUUUUUGACACCGUUGUCGGGAAAGCUUUGGUUCAAUAUCGGUACUAAGAACAAUUUUAUUAGUUUAGAUAUUUUUACUUGUUUUUCUUGUAUUUAUUGUGUCAAGUUUUUUGUUUGUUGUACUUAGUGUCUUGUUGAGUCUUUUAUUUUGUGUUUAAUGUCUUGUUUUUGUUUGUGUCUUUUAAAUUAUUCUUCUUGACUAAUUUUGCUUUUUAGAUUGCUUGAAAGCACUUUUAGGUUCUAAGGAGGAUUGUUUAGUAAACAAACGUAGAUAAAAUUUUGAAAGAAAAAAAGUUCAGAAAUGUACUACAAUUUUCAAAAUUACAACUAUGGAUGUAAUCAAAAGAUAUCCGAAGAUAUGCCUUUUAAAGAUGGUUUAAGUAACUUAAAGGUUAUCAAGAUUAAUUAAAAUUUUAAAAUUUUAUAAAAAAUCUUUUAUGUGUUUAUGAAUUAGACUUUUAAAUUAUGAAUAAAAUUGUAACUAAUGCAUGAUAGUUUCUUUUCCUUUCCUUUCUUAAUCCAUACAAAAUGAAUGGAUUUUGAUUUUCUCCACUCUCCUUUUCUUUUGUACUAGAAUUCUCUCCUUUACUUUCCUCCCCUCCCCUUUCCUUCAAUCCAAACAGAGCCUUAAGGCUUUGUCAAAUUGGCUAGUAUACCGUGAAGACGCAGACAUUCCAAAUGUCUACAUCUAUUGGCCCAAAUCACAUGUGGUCUCCAAUUUGUAUCUUAGGUGAGGAAAGAAUAAUCUCUUGUCUAUUUGUCCCCUCUAUUAUUUUAUUGUUUAUGGUUUCAAUUAUGGCUGUACUUCGGGGAAUACUUACUGUCAGUGUUUUUUUAAUUUGGAGCUGAUUGAAUAGUUCAACCGGUUUGAUCGAGAAUGAGGUCAUUAUUCAAUCCGAGUUAUUCACAUAAAUCGAGCAAUUAUUGGUCUAGUAAAAGAUUCAGUAUGAUGGGGAAAUCAGGUUCUUCAAUAUUCUUUCAUACUUCUUUGUAUCUUCAUAAUUUAUAUACAUGUUUAUAAUAUCAUGAUAACUUCAUUCACUUUUCAUUUCUUUUUUAAUUACGAUACAAUCAAUCAAACCUCUCAAACCCUAAACACCCCCGGCCCCGCGCGGGAAAAAAAAAUUUGUGGUGUGCUUUUUAGUAUCUUAUUCGGACUCAGUUAUAGAGUCCCAUUGACAUAGCUACUCUAGUGCAAAAUGAAGGCGUCGGACAUGAGCACGGCGGGGCAAAGUGAAGAGCCUGAGUAACAUAGGUUGCAGCUGGUUCCAUCGACUUAAUAUAACGAACUUCAAGAUUGAAUGGGACUCUUUGCUCGUUGUUUACUUCUCAAUGAUAAGCUUGACAAGAAUUUCAUGGGUUCACGAUCAUCUUGUAGUAUUCAUGUCGGGAACCACUUCUGAAGCGUUUUGUUUUUGUUAGUUCGGUGGUAAGUUUCGUUAAUACGAGGUAAGUCAACUUUCUGCAAAAAGAUAAAAGUUCACCUGAAAAAAACACAGAUACACUUGCCAGUAUGAAUUUAGCACAACCUGACUGGUACUUACAUGAUCUGAAAACCGGUAGGUGAGUUCAGGGUUGGUCUGGAAGAGUUGAUGUAUUUGACGUAGAUUCAUCAGAAGUUUGAUAUGUUGAUGAUCGUACACAACGUAAAAUAGUAGAUAUACAGAUCAACUACAUACAACCAAUAUUUUGAAAAUUGGAUUGGAUCGGUUGGUUCGAUCGAUUGAACUGCAAACCGAUCAUGUCUCCGGUCCGAUUUACUUAAAAAUUCAAAGAAUUAAUUGAACCGGUCAAAACCGGGGAGGUUUAACCGAUUUUAUUAAGUAUUUAUUUUUUAAAAUAAAUAUUUUAGUUUUAUUCAAAAUGUUUAAUACUAAAAUGAAUAAAAAAUUAUUAAACCUUUAAACCGAAAUCGAACCGAUUGAACCGUAAAUCGAAAGAUUUUUCGUUUCACUCCUCUGUCCGGGUUUAAAAACAUUGCAUACAACUGAACCAAUAAAAAUACUCGAUUCCCCUAGUACCUUUACAUUUGGAGAAUAUUACACUGACAUAAUUGAUAAUUAAUACAACCAGAAGAAACGAGACUAAACAAGGAUUUAUUCAAUUAUGGGAAGAUAAUUAAUAGAAGUCCCAGGCUGCAGAAGACCACACACAAAACAUCAAAGCGACAAAUAUUGAUCACUCGUGCGAUAUCAACAAGCUGCUGCUGCGGAAUAUUUAGUGCUUUGGAACCCACACAAUGUGAUCCCCGGGAAGGAAAUGGCAGAUUGGAACAGUUCCAGGCUUCACCUUGAGCAGUUGAAAAGCCAAAUGCCUGGGGUCCCAUGAAGACGUGUCCUUGUGACAAACAACCACAGCCUUGACUUUUGCUCCAUCAGAACCAACCAAGUUAACCAUAUAAGCAUCGAUGUUCUGGAAGCUGUGGCAGUAAAAAACCUGCGUAGACAUAGUUUUGCUUGUGACAUGCAACCAAUUCAUCAUCAACGAUUGCUUUAUCAUUGUUCAGCUUGGAAACAUCCACAAUACCAUAUUUUUGGAUUUUUCCUGCAUUUUUUGGUGCUUCAUUUGAAAAUGCUAGAAUAUUUUUGCCGAGCUUUGAAGUAGUGAAAUCGACCAUCGACUCGAGAGAUGUCGCACAGUACUUAUCUUCCCCUUCAAUUGCAGGCUCCUCGCAUUCUGCUAUGGUUUUCUUGAUAGCUUCGGCUUGUGCUGAAUGUGGGUUCACUGAGAAUUUAUUCAAAAUUUCAGGAACAGAUUUGGAUGAGAAGGGAGUGGAAUCAGCCACCUGGCGGGGUAAGAAGGCCGGAGUAUCAUUCACUGAUUCAAUAAACUGCAUAUUCACGCUUGAGCCGCGAUGGAGGUCCUUUUUCAAGAAGAAAGCUGUUACUUUUUGGUGAUAAUGGAGUUGGUCUUC